CUGCAAAGUGGCGCCCAAGGCAGAUGCCUUGUUUGCCUCGUGAUACACACGUCCCCGGUGCCUGUGUGUGUUACUGUAUUCAGGCAACUUGGUGGGAGGUGGGGGGGGCGCCGUGAAGACUUUUUGCACAGGGCGCCUAAUUGCCUAAGGCCGGCCCUGGACGUGCACACCUGUUUUCGGGUCGAAGGUCACGUUCUGGCCAAUCAGUGUAUGGAGAGGCAUAUUUAAACCCUGGAUAGCUUUUUUUACCAUGUCGUGGUUUCCUCUGGUUGGUUGUCAGAGAGUGUGUUCUAGUUCUUGAUCUCUUUUUGGUAUUGACCCCCCCUGAGAUAGUGCAGAGGGCUGGAGUGGUUAUUGUACCUGGAUUGUUCCUUUAAUCUACUAGUGCCCCUCCGAGAUUAGGUUCUGGAUCCACCCCUACUUAUGUGGCAGGUGUUAAUGAGCACAUGCUAGAAGAGGGUGUGGGGCUGGGGAAAGUGUUGAGAUAAGAAAGAUUUGAGAUCUCUUAUAUGAUUGCAGCAAUCGUUUUAGUGAGGUGAGUUGCAAAGUUUGCAAUGUUCAAGUUAAAAGGAGAAGGAGUGGCAAUAGGGAGAAGAAAAGCAUUUAAAGUGUGAAAUAAGCUUUUGGGUUCUCUGGAGAGUGUGGUUAGGGUAUAUUGAAAUAAUUUUCUUUGGUAGAGGAAAAAGACAAAUUGUAGAAGUGCAGCAUUAAUUUAUAGUGGAGGAAAUUAAAUGCAGAACAAAACUUUCUCCAGCAGCAUUUAGUAACUCUGGGUCAUUUUCUUAGUAUGCCAAGGUUGUAAGUGGGGUCGCUUGCCAUGUUUAAUGUUGGAGGUGCCAUGUUUUAUAUUUCAGUGGAGAGGAUAUAGUUUUAAAGGGAGGUUGCAGAGCUUGGGCAAGUGAGGUUUGCAAUGGGUCUGAGAAGAGUUUGGAAAUUGGUGGAGAAUUGUUGUAUGUCAAGACAGUGGAUGUUGUUGAAAUUAAUGUACAUAAGAUGCUAUAAGUUGGAAAUGGGGUAUACCGGUGCAAAAGGUCAACAGAUGAUGGUCUGUGGAUGGAGCAUUAGAGAGCUUAGAGUUGGGGCAGAGAUUAAUAAAGAUGAGAUCAAGAGUGUAUAUGAAUAUGUAUGAGUUGGCAAAAUCAGUCCAUUGAGUGAGGCUGAAAGAAGAGGUUACAGAGAGAUGUCAGGAGGCAUCAGAGCUACUAGGGGUGUUGAUUUGAUUUAUAAUUAUAUUGACAGAACCCCGGUUGUUCUUGUAUCCCCCCCUGUCUUUAUUAUGUAUGCUACCCAGUGUGUUCGUGCAAAAUGCCUGCUCCCCGUUCGGUAGUGCCUCCGCAAAGGGAAUCCAUUCGCCUCACGAACGGGGACCACCCCAAUAAUCCAUUUAGAACGCUCAUUAGAACAUUCUCACCUCGACCUGAUGCCAAAACUGCAAGGGAAGCCUUGAUGCAUGCCGUCCCCUGGGUGGCUGCCAGUUCGUAUAGACGAACCCCAUCCAGGGGGAGUAUUCGUGAACUGCUUCCCACCCCAUUCGGUUCCCGAACAGGGACCUUCCCAGUGCCCAUUGGAAUGUUCAUGCCAAUCAAUUAGAACGUUAACAACUCACAACAUAAGUGUGAAACCGCAAGGAAUGUAACUAAUGAGUGCUUCCCUGGGUGGCCGCCAUUCGUAUAGACGAGCGCCAACCAGGGGGAGCAUUCGUAUCCCGAAAUGAGUGGCUUCCCUUACCUGGCUUCACAUAGGGACCCCACGAAUGGAGGCUAUUUGCGACAGGUACCCUUAUGGUAUGUGGGCAUCCUUUGGGGACAAUGGAUGGGUUGGGGCAGGUUUUCUAUGCCUGGAAGACAAAGGGACAUUGACCCCCCUCUUUUCCCAUGAUUUGUCCUCCAGGCAUGGGGGAUCCUGGGAAGAAGACCCCCUGUCACUGGAAGUGGGAAACCCUGUACUUGGGUGGCGGGAACAGGGGACAAAGGGACUGGAACUCCUGUGUCACGCUAAGACCCCUGGGAGCGGGAGACUGUGACUGUGUGGUGUACACCUCUUGCAUGGGGUUCUGCUUUAAAACGCCGAGUGUGGUAAAGAAAGUAUUGUUGUACCUCCAGAACUCGGUGUCAUCCAGUUACUGGGGGGAGGAAAUGGGUCUCUGUACAUUUUAAGUGGUUCCUGACUGGCUGAAGGACAGGAACUAGAGAAGGUAACCGGUCGAGUUAGCCGUUGUCCGCUACAUGUAAUAUAUAUAGAAACAUAGAAUGUGACGGCAGAUAAGAACCAUUCGGCCCAUCUAGUCUGCCCAAUAUUUCUAAAUACUUUCAUUAGUCCCUGGCCUUAUCUUAUAGUUAGGAUAGCCUUAUGCCUAUCCCACGCAUGCUUAAACUCCUUUACUGUGUUAACCUCUACCACUUCAGCUGGAAGGCUAUUCCAUGCAUCCACUACCCUCUCAGUAAAGUAAUACUUCCUGAUAUUAUUUUUAAACCUUUGCCCCUCUAAUUUAAAACUAUGUCCUCUUGUUGUGGUAGUUUUUCUUCUUUUAAAUAUAGUCUCCUCCUUUACUAUUUAUUAGUCUUCAAGUAUGAGAGAAGAGAGGAAAUAGGGGAUAAAACGUGUUUGAGGAAUAGGCUAGGAUUACCAAGGGACAAGAAAUUAUGGCAAUCAUUAAAGGAGUGCUUUUAAAUAUGCAGCUAGAGUGAACUUCGAAUGAUGGAAAAAAUAGGGAUAUGGUAGAUUGGUUAAAGGUACAUUGGGGGAAGAGAUGGAUGCCUACACCCCCUUCCCUUACAGUCAUUAGGUCAGGGAGUGUAGGAGAGUUAUAGACAACAGAAGUAUAAAGAAGCAAGAGGGACACUGUCAAGUCUCAGUGAGACCCUUUAGAGCAGGGGUGGGGAACCUUCGGCCCUCUAGGUGUUUUGGACUACAUCGCCCUUGAUGCUUUGCCAGCAUUAUGUGAGAUGUAGUCCAAAAUAUCUGGAGGGCCAAAGGUUCCCCACCCCUGCUUUAGAGUGAGACAGUCUGAAAUUAAGAGAUCAUGUAAAGCUGUAGAUAUCAAUUUGCUGCAUACAGUAGGCAUUCUAGAAUGCACACUGAACAGUGAUAAAUGAGGAGAAAUGACUGGGUGCUGGAAUGAGCUUGAUAUAAAUUGUAGAUGGCUUAGUGUGAGUAGUGGAGGUGAAAGGCCAUGGGAUGGGACCAGAUAUCGCCAGCUGCUAGAAGCAGGAGGAGAGACAAUAAUAGUGGGUUUUGUAGGAACGGGGUCGAUAUUGAAAGAGGCUAGAAAUGAGAAAUAAGUGCAGGGCAUUAAAUGCGAUAAGAGGGAAGUAUAACAGGGUAAGGAAAAUAGGAAGAUUGUGAGGUGGAUGUGGUAAGUGGGGGGUAAAGUGAGACUUUGACACUGAGUAAUAUAUUCAUCUUCCUGGUCUAAGGCUGGCUGAAAAAUAUGUGAGUUGAAGCCUAUCAAUGGUAUAAAAUGGCAGAUGGAAACUCAGACACUUAAUACAAUGACGAAACCCCUGCGCUAGUAUUUCACCUUUAGCCCCUUAAGGACACAAGUUCUGGAAUAAAAGGGAAUCAUGAUGGAAUAUUUCCGUCAUGUGUCAUUAAGGGGUUAAGACUCACUAAUGGUUAAGACUUGUUUUAGGUGCUGGAGAAUGUUUUUCAAUUCUUAUAAUUAUUAUUACACCACUUUUUCAAAUAUGUAUAAAAAAUAAACCACUGAUCAAAACUACUCUCAAAAUGUGAUGCGAUGGUAGGGACAACACAAAGUCAUGGGUCACAUAGUCUUGCUUGUUCAGGAGAAUUCAAAUGUUAGAUAUUACAUUGUUUUUUAAAUAAAUGUAAAAUUAGAACUUCUUUACAAAAACCCUUUAAACGUGGUUGGGGUAAUAAACCGCUAUGGUGUGCUUUGGAUUGUGUGACAUUUUUAUAAAGUGCAAAUCUUUGUACUUUACUUCUAUUCAUGCAAUAUCUAUUUACGUGCUGCAUCCAUGCACAUUUGCCUGGCAAUCUAUACUAGUCAUGUGGUUUGUUACCCAUUUUGAAAUGGUCAGAAAUGUAUAAAUUCAAAUAACCAAAAAAUAAAAAAGACGGACAAAAUGAUAAAUAUCUAGUGUGUGUGUUCUGCCAUCUUCAAUAUGCAGCCCAUAUGUCAUGCAGUCUGGCAGGCAUAUUGACUUAUGUAGCCAACUUUGAAAAAUCCUGUUGUAAAACAUAACCCUUUUCCUAUGGAUGAUGCCAGUUAUCAGUCCAUGAAACAAACAAACUGCCCGGAGAGGUGCACUGUUCAUAUAAGAAAAAUAUUUCCAGAGUUAUUGGCUAAAGUGAAAAUUGUCAGCAAUUCAAAGUGAAUUUCCCAUUUAAGGCCAAAACUGAAGCCCAUGGAUCAGCGCAGUCAGGGGAAUGGGCCUUGACAGAGCCAAGGAGUAGGCAGGUGGAGUUAUAAUUUUAGGGGUGGGAAUUUAGGAAUGGAUUGUAAUAAGGGGUGGAGAAUAGAGGGAGUAUAUUAAGCGGCCAUUUUAGCAAGUGGCCAUUUUAACCAGAAUCUGCACUGUUAAUUGUUUUGGCAGGUCUGUGUGGUUUCUUGUUCUUUAUUUUGCAGAUGGCUUCGCUGGACGAGAUCCUGGACGGAGUGAGAGCGGCUGUGCGUGACAGGGGGAUGGCCUGGCUUCAACAGCAGCUGGGGGUUCCUGGGACCAGUGAUGCACCCCCUGUGGCAGCGGAACGGCGGUCGGUGAGGAGGGCGAGACCGCCCCAGCGGCUGAGUCCGGGCGUGAUGCCUGCAGCACGGCGGCGUCUGAGCCCGUCCGCGGACGCGGGCGGGUCCCUGGCUGUGGGGGCCGGCCGGGAGGAGCCAGAAAAAACGCCGCCGGCACCGUCUGUUCGACGCGGUGCCGGUCGGGCACGGACGGCGGUUAGGCCGGGGACGGCUCUGCGGCCUACCACGCGGAGCGCCGCCCGGCGGACGGCGAACGGCAGGGUGCCAGGAGUGGCGGCGGCCUCCAGGACAGCCGUGUGUGCAGAGGCCAGUGGAGGGGAUGACACAGCACAAGGGCGUCCCGGUGAGUCUGCCUCCGGUGUUACACCCGGGCGGCAAAGGGGCAGGCAGGUGGAUGUGGGGGACGGGCUGACAGCUCCCCUGGGGGCAGAGGGGGCUCAUACCAGUAAGGGCUCAGUGGGUACGGCCGGGGUUGGGGCCAGGCAUGACAGCAGGGGGACAGCCGACCGGGUUUCCCAGCUAGGACGUCAGAGGGGGGACCGCAGGUGCACCUCCCAGGGGCGCCCAGGAGUUAUACACAACCCCAGACCUGGAGUCAGCAGGGAACGGCGCGAGGAAAGCGCCAGGCAGGAGGGUACAUGGAGCGCCAGGGAGAGGAGCCUGUCAGCUGAUAGUUGCAGUAGGCCGAGGUCGGCCUACAGGGACAAGGGGAGGACGGAACGGCGCAGCGCUUCUGGGUCCUCAGACGAGAGCUCCCAAGGACAGCGGGAUAGCAAUUGCGGCCAGGAGGGCCAGGCAACUAAGCGGGGCAAGCGUAGGAACGCUGGAAGGGAGCGUAGGGAGGAAGGGCGGGUAGGGGGAUCCAUGAACAGACUACCCAGGUGUUCUUCUCCUUACAGGUCGCGGAGCAUUACACCAACGGUCCCGAGGCGGGACCAGGCAGAAAGGAGUCGGCGUCUCUUGGACACUCCGGAGCUGUGCGCGGCGGAUGGAAGGAUAGCGACCCCGCGGCAGAUUCAUGGUUAAGCGGUUUAAAGUCGUUCUUAGAUUCUUGGGCCAGUAGGGAGGGGGUUUCUCCACAAUUUUCGAGGGUGUGGGGUCCGGUGGCGGGUCUUACGUCCGCGGGACAGGCUAGCACGGGGAGUGGUGACACCAGGGUAGCCGCAUCCGGGUCGGUAGGGGGGACGGGCGAAAAGACGGACGUAGGCGGCGAGAUUACCGACGCGGCGCGGCAAAAUGUUCACGUUUCUUUCGCGGGCCCCUUAGGCUGUCAUCUUAGGGCCGAGUUGAAGGACAAGAUUUGGAAAGGUGAGUUCGUGUAAGUUUUUGCCCUUCUUCCUCUGGAGGAGUUUCUUGACCUGAAAGAGGAGGACAAGAAGGACGCAAAGAAGGAGGAAGAAGAGAAAAAGCGUAGAUAUAGGAAAAUCCCCAAAACGUUUGCGAACUGGCUACGGGCCUUUUGCAUAUUGGCCAGUGUUAUCGGGGAAAAAUUCCCCGACCGCUGCUCACAACUUUUUUGUUAUCUGGACGGGAUUGGGGACGCGUACCGAACAUACGGGGGAGUAGCAUGGUGGAAAUACGAUGAGCAGUUCCGCCAGCGUUUAGCGGCGAAUCCUAGUAUGAGGUGGGAUCAAAUGGACCUACCCUUAUGGAUGAGACUGAUGAUGGCGCAGAAGGCUGCGCCCUUUCACGGGGCGGCCGGUGCGGUACCCGGAGGAUCGGCACCGGCCGGACAAAAGAAGGGUUUUUGCUGGCUCUUCAACGAGGGUCAAUGCAAGUGGGGUACAUCGUGCAGAUUCAAACACGAGUGCUCUGGCUGCGGGGGUACACAUAGGGCUAACAGGUGUUUCAAGAGAGGGAAGCCGGCUUCAGGAGGAGGUCCCAGCAACGCAGCGGCCUCCACAGCUACCGCUGGGGGCAACCCCAGUGAAGGUAGGCGUGAUGCUGCCGUGGCUAAGGCGUUACGCUAACCGAGCGGACGCAGAGUUUUUGAGGAGGGGGUUUACUAUUCCAUUUAAGGGGAGGGGACCAGGGGCUUUAUGUGCGAACCUGCGAUCCGUACGGGAACAUCCAGGGGUGGUGCGGGACAAAUUGCUGGCGGAGGUAAAGCUGGGUAGGAUGGCAGGACCUUUUGUGGCCCCGCCACUGCCAAAUUUGAGGGUGUCCCCGCUCGGGGUGGUCCCCAAGAAGGAACCAGGCAAAUUCCGUUUAAUACACCAUUUGUCUUACCCAAAGGGGACGUCAGUCAAUGAUGACAUUGACGCAGCCCUAAGCUCGGUCUCAUAUGCAUCAUUCGACCAGGCGGUCGAGUUGGUUCGGAGAGCUGGGCGGGGGGCGUUAAUGGCGAAGGUUGACGUGGAAGCAGCUUUUAGGUUACUUCCUAUUCACCCGGAAUGUCACCAUUUAUUGGGGUGUUGUUUCGACGAAGCCUUUUUCGUCGAUCUAUGUUUGCCCAUGGGCUGUUCUAUUUCCUGCUCGUACUUUGAAAAGUUCAGCUCCUUUUUCGAAUGGGUGGUACAGCAAGAGUCAGCUGGGGGUGCGGUGGUGCACUAUUUGGAUGACUUUUUGUGCGUAGGGCCAGCGGGCUCCGACCGCUGUGGGCAGAUACUGCGGGUCUUACAGUGGGUGGCACACACCUUUGGGAUCCCGUUGGCCGGGAAAAAGACAGUGGGCCCGACGGAGUGCUUGAACUUCCUAGGGCUGGAAAUCGACUCGGUAAAAGGGGAAUGUCGGUUGCCGGUGGAUAAGCUGUUGGCUCUCCGCCAACGGGUGGGGGAAGUACGGGGUUCCAGGAAGGUGACCUUAAGGGGCCUGCAGUCUCUUGUAGGGAGCCUGAAUUUUGCAUGUAAAAUUAUCCCUAUGGGGAGGGUCUUUUGCAGGCAGUUGGCUCGAGCUACGUGUGGAGUGCGGUCUCCGGGUCAUUACAUCAGGGUCUCAGCUGACAUGAGGGCGGAUUUGGACGUAUGGAUACACUUUUUACGGGAGUUUAACGGCCGUGUCUAUUUUAGGGAUUCAGCUGCGACGUCGGAGGACAUAGGUUUAUUUACCGACGCCUCGGGGAGCGUGGGUUUUGGGGCGUACCUGGGGGGGAAAUGGUGCGCGGAGGAGUGGCCUAAGUCUUGGAAGGAAAGCUCCUUAAUCAGGAAUCUGGCCUUCCUGGAGUUCUUCCCAGUGGUGGUGGCAAUAGCUCUGUGGGGCGAGGAACUCGCGAACAGGAAGGUGGUUUUCCACUCGGACAACAUGGCGGUGGUGCAAGCGAUCAAUAGUAUUUCGGCUUCGUCGCUGCCUGUAGUACGGUUGUUGAGACACUUGGUUCUUCUUUGUAUGUCAUGGAAUAUUGUUUUCAGGGCCCGGCAUGUUCCGGGCUUGUUGAAUGUUGUUGCUGACGCGCUGUCUCGUUCACAGUGGGAACGUUUUCGGGAAGCAGCUCCGGGCGCACAAGAUACGGGACAGGCGUGCCCAGACGACAUAUGGCAGCUCGGGACAUCGUGCUUGGGGAUUUCGUAAGGAGCUCCUUAGCGCCAGGCACCUGGGCGGCAUACACUAAGGUUUGGACGGAAUGGGAGGAGAUGGUAGGGCAGACGGGAGGGGAGUCCUCUGCUGUAGGUAGGUUUGACACAUUGUUAUGGUUGUUGUGUCGGUUACUGGCAGGCGGGGCCUCGCCCUCCAGGGUGGACCGUUACAUGUCAGCACUGGCGUUUUGGUUUAAGUUUAAUGGAUGGGAGGACUUUACCAAGAAUUUUAUAGUGAAACAAGCCCUGCGCGGCUUCCGUAAAGGGAAGAGGACCGUGGACACGAGGCGGCCGGUGUCGUUUGCCAUCCUGCAAGGGCUGGUAGGGGGGCUGCGCGAUGUGUGCACAUCGUCGUUUGAGGUGGUGUUAUUUUCGGUAGCGUUUGUUUGUUCUCGUUACCUGGGUCGGAGGUCUGCCCGGUGGCGUGCGGGCGCGAGUUCUUACACAUUCGCCCAGAGGAGUCAGGGUGCUUUUUUAUUCAUGAAGACGGUUUUGCACUGUCACGUUUUCAAUUUAUACGGGUAUUUCGCAUGGGGCUUAAGCGGUUGGGCCUACAUCCCAUGCAAUUUGGCACUCAUUCGUUUCGGAUCGGGGCGGCAACGGAGGCGGCACGACUGGGCCUGGGGGACGAACGGAUUAAGCAGAUCGGUCGGUGGGAGUCCAUUCGUUUUCGUUCAUAUGUGAGACCAGAUUGGUUGGUAUAACGUGGUUGUGGUCAGGUUGGGGGGUUGUCAAUACGUGCCCCGCAAGUUAAUUGAUUCUGUUUCUUUACAGGUAUGGUUGCCUGGUUGGUGGGUCACUCUUACAUUUUUUGGGCGCAGAAGAGGGCCGCAGUUCGGAGGAAUGGAACACAGCUGGGUUUUCUUCUGGAAACGGUGGAGUUACAGUGGUUUGGUUAUCGUGGUUUCAGUUGGCAGAACAUUAGUGGAGUAAUUUUUAGGAUGGUCUCAGGGGGUCUUCCCCUGAUAUACUACUUAUUCACGGUGGGGGUAAUGAUUUGGGAUUGAUUCCUCAGAGGGAACUAAUUAGGAGAAUGAAGCGGGACCUGGAUCGGCUACGGGAGCUGGUGCCUGGUGUGGUGGUAGUAUGGUCCGAGAUGGUGCCGAGGCUUAAUUGGAGACAUGCCAGGGACUCAGCUGCUGUGGCGCGAUGCCGGGGAAAAGUGAAUAGAGCUAUGUCAGUUUUCGUCCGGAGGUCGGGCGGGGUUACAGUACGACACUGGGAGUUAGAGGGCAUGUUGCCUGGGUACUUUCGCAAGGAUGGGGUGCACCUUUCCGAAGUGGGGUGCGAUUUACUAAAUUUAGGUUUUCAGGAGGGCAUAGCUCAGGCCCUAUUUUUGUAUGGUGGGGGGCGCUCGAGACGUUAAGGUAUCAAGUCUCGGGCUAUGGCGGGAUAGGGCUAGGGUAAUUGGGAUGGAAGAGGAGUAGUAAGUGGCUAGGCUAAGGUUAGGCUGUAUUAGGCCAGAGUGGUAAGUGGUCUGUUGGUUCGAGCUCUUCGGUGGCUCCGAACCUGGUGGUGUAGGGGUGUCUCGGUACACCCCUACAGUUAAGAAAGUUAUGGUUAUGGGGCCUCUUUGGUAGGCCGUGUGUUAUAUAUUAUGUGUUAUUUAUAUUGUUAUAUAUUGUUUAUGGCAUGGGGUCAUUGCCAGGGGUAAUGCUGUACGGAAGGGGGUUGGGGUAAAUUUAUUAUUAUAUGGCAAUGACCCUAAUUUGUUAUCUUGUUUAUAAUUACAUAAAAAUAAAGCUGUGGACUUUAUAUAUUUCCAACAAAGAAUUUGGUGUCUGUGUUUUUUGGGGUGGGGUUUUUGGGAAAUGCCACAAGCCGAAUAACGACUGUGCGCAUGUCAUGAAGCCCAUGGAUCAGCGCAGUCAGGGGAAAUGGCCUUGACAGAGCCAAGGAGUAGGCAGGUGGAGUUAUAAUUUUAGGGGUGGGAAUUUAGGAAUGGAUUGUAAUAAGGGGUGGAGAAUAGAGGGAGUAUAUUAAGCGGCCAUUUUAGCAAGUGGCCAUUUUAACCAGAAUCUGCACUUACCUGUUAAUUGUCCCUCCCACCCUCCCUUGUUUUUGUAAUAGUUCCCGUUUGGUCACAGCGGCGGGAUAGGGCUAGGGUAAUUGGGAUGGAAGAGGAGUAGUAAGUGGCUAGGCUAAGGUUAGGCUGUAUUAGGCCAGAGUGGUAAGUGGUCUGUUGGUUCGAGCUCUUCGGUGGCUCCGAACCUGGUGGUGUAGGGGUGUCUCGGUACACCCCUACAGUUAAGAAAGUUAUGGUUAUGGGGCCUCUUUGGUAGGCCGUGUGUUAUAUAUUAUGUGUUAUUUAUAUUGUUAUAUAUUGUUUAUGGCAUGGGGUCAUUGCCAGGGGUAAUGCUGUACGGAAGGGGGUUGGGGUAAAUUUAUUAUUAUAUGGCAAUGACCCUAAUUUGUUAUCUUGUUUAUAAUUACAUAAAAAUAAAGCUGUGGACUUUAUAUAUUUCCAACAAAGAAUUUGGUGUCUGUGUUUUUUGGGGUGGGGUUUUUGGGAAAUGCCACAAGCCGAAUAACAACUGUGCGCAUGUCAAGUCGAACUGGGAAUAUUCUUCAAGUCAUCUAUGCUUCCAGUUUGGCUAUUUUGGUCCUAAAUGUGAAAUUCACUUUGAUUUGAUCAUUUUGAAAAAGUUUUAAGUUGGUGAAUAACCCUAUUAUUGUGUAAACGGAGGCAGAUUAGAAGAUUGAGCAUGUAUGUAUGUGUAUAUAUAUGUGUGUGUGUUUGUGGUGGUCCUCCCAUUGAUUGUGGAUUAUGCUGAUGCAACAAAACACUCUGUCAAUAACGAAUAGUCAUAUAUCAGCAGUCAGUCAAUUUUAGUGAUUAACGAGCAAGUCAAUUGCAUUAGAGUUCUUCAAAUAGGUCAUGAAGCAGACUUUUUUGUUUUAGAAAAGAGGAAACAGGAUUUCAGAGCUAAUGACACAGUUAAAUAGGUCUAAUUUCCCCAACAGCACUAAUCCUUAAAUUCAUUUUGUACGACUAUGAAGCUGAUCACUAUGUGAAUAGGAAAAGCCAGGAAUUUGAAUUUUUUAUGCCAACCUCACUAAUGAAAGAAUUGCAUUAAAGAGCUGAAAUUAAAGGGCGACUGUAGGUUUUUUGUGGCUCUAAGCAAAAACACAAGGGUUGGUGGGUUAAUUAUAACAAUUGAUUUCAUUAUACAAAAGCAAUGGUUGAAUCCCUAUAUUUAUUGAUGUAAUAUAUGUGAUAUGAUGAACCUGUUGCAUGGUCCUCCCUUACACUUUUUCAUGGGCCAAUACAUUACAGGGAUUUCUAAACAUUAUGCUUCAGUUUCAUAUUUAAUUGUUGGAAAAAAUGGUUUAUCUAACCAGAGCUUAUUUUGUACUCCACGUGCCUGUUGGAUAUUCGCAGUAUGGCUUUAUUUAAUUUCACUACAAAAAUACUGAUGAAAAGAACACAUGGCUAUGCUUUUUACUUAUUUCUAAAUUGUAUCUGACUGUUAUAGUUCCAAAUAAUCAGUGUUAUCUCAAAUAGUUUAUUUGCCUAUUUAUAUGUUUAUUUUAAACUGUUGGUGGUUGUUCGACCCCCAUGAUCCAUAAAUAUGUUAUUUAUGUUUUGCAUCAUAUCUUAAUUGCCUUGUUACAAAUGUAGCCUUAUAAAACAGGCAUUCUAUCAGUCCUAAAAUUCUGUUAUUAUUUUAUUAUUUAUAUAGCACCAUCAGAUUCCGUAGCGCUGUACAAUGGGUGGACUAACAGACUUGUAAUUGUAACCGGACAACUGGAUGUACAGGAACAGAGAGGUGGAGGGCCCUUCUUAAUGAGCUUACAUUCUAAAGGGAGUGGGGUGUAGUGACACAAAGGUUAAAAGUAGGGGUACAAGAGCACAGACCAGCACUUUAGCCACAUCCGGGGUUAAAUACACGCUAUGUUUUUGAGAUGGAAGUGACAGGAUUUGGCGAUUGAUUGGACAUGAGGGGUGAAGGAGAGGUUGGAGUUUAAAGUUGGUGUUAAAAUGUAUUCUUUAAAGGGGACAUUUUUACUUACAAUAUACACCAUUGAAUUAAAUAGUGGAAAUCACUAAGAACUUGUGUUAACAUUUUUUUUUUUAUGAGAUGCUGUUUCUUUUACAUUUAUAUAGAAUAUUUUGCAAAUAACAUCAUAAUUCCAAGAUUUUACUAUUAACAUGACGUAAAGUCAUGAUUUUAUUAAUUACACGGAGGCGAGUAUUAUGCUUCUCUUUCUUUAAUUUUCCCUCAGCAGCGAAGAGAGAAAUGAAUGUUAAAGAGAAAAAAUAGCAUACCAUUAACAUAUAUACAUAUUCAACAAUGCUACUAAUAGGAACCACCCCUUUCAGUAUAUAAGGUGUAGCACUCUCUUCCUCUUCCUCUUUCUGUAGAAGACCAGUCAAAACCGAACAAAAAAAACUCUGAACCGGAACUGUAACAUCGGAAAAGUCGUACAUCCCUUCCUAGGGGAAAACGGUAAAGCCGACCUUUAAACCUCUUCGAUCACUCCGACAUGGGAAUUCAGGCUAAAAGAGAGGAGAAAUAUGGUAAAAUCUCGAUUGAUAACUGGUUGUAACAUACCCCAGCAUAUCUAUUGUUAUCUAGAUCCGGAUAAAAAUCAACGUCAUAACAUCCUGACAUGAAAACAUACAAACUUAACGUAUAACCUAGACUAGGCAUACAGUCUGACAAUAAAGGCAGGGGAGACCCGCCCUGUAUGGUAUGAGAAUAGGUGUUGACUCAAUCUAAUCCUGUCUGGUUGAAAAAUCCCACCAAUUCCAAACCAGGGAGGGAGGGAGGGAAUAAUACUCGCCUCCGUGUCAUUAAUAAAAUCAUGACUUUACGUCAUGUUAAAAGUAAAAUCUUGGAAUUUUAUUAAAGACACGAAGGCUCCUAUUAUGCUAUUUUAAAGCUGAUCUAUAAUCUUAUCAGAAAAGUGUUGUAUAGGUCUAAAGUAAAAGUUCCGGAAUGUGGAUUCCGUAGACCAAUCUUCAGCCGUCAAAAUGUCUUCCAAGCGACAUCCAGCCGCCAAUGCUUUAGAGGCCAUAGCGCCCCUGACGGAGUGGGAUGAGAAUACCGAGACAUCGAUCCCGGCCGUAGCUAAUAGCCAUUUGAUCCAACGUGCGAGUGUUGGAGUAGAUACAGGUAGAUGUGGUUUCUUCAGGGAGAUGAACAGAGGUCUGUCAUCAGAUGGCCGUAGAGUAGAGGUGUGAGACUCGUAUUCUUUCAGGCAUGAUAUUGGGCAUAGGUUGGGUAAACUCGUGAUUCUCGGAUAAAAAACUUGUUUAUUUGCUGAUUUUGUUCUCCGUGAGAUAUCGAAUGACACUCCCUCCGGAGUGAACGUGCGGGCCCGCCAGUCCAAGGCUCUUACGUCUGACACUCGUUUACAGGAUAAUAGUCAGAACAGCAUAAGCAAUUUUGCCGAUAAUUGUUUAAAGGACAACUCUAGGUUAGAGGGCCAGCCAUCUAAGAGUCUGAACACGCAGUUGAUGUCCCAGAAGGAUCCGUAUUUGGAUGUAGGAGGACGUGAGAAGCGGACUCCCUUAAGCAGACGACAGACUAGGGGGUUCUGUCCGAGUGGGAGCCCAUCCACCUGUUCAUAUCCAGCUGAGAUAGCGGAACAGAAUAAGUUGAUCGUGCGAAAGACCUUGCCUGAUUCGAACAGAUGUGUCAGGAAGUCCAACACCGAUUUCACAGGGGCUGAUACAGGAUUCAACGAUCGUUCCAAGCACUAAUUGGCCCACUGUCUCCAGGCCGUAGCAUAUGCAUGUCGUGUUCCAGGCGCCCAUGCGUUUGCCAGGAGUUGCAUAGUUGUGCUCGAAACCUCUGUAAUUUCCCAGGGUCCCCGGAAAGGAGCCAUGCCAUGAGGCAGAGGAGGCCUUGUUCUACUAGGGUGUGACUCUCCCCGUCCGGAUUGGUUAGCAGAGAUGGGUGGUCCGGUAGUAACCAUGGAUGGUCGAUCACCAUUUCCAAUAGGUGUGGGAACCAAGGUUGGGAUCUCCAACAUGGGGUUACCAGGACCAUCGAGCUCUUGAAGCGUCGGAGGUGUGCCAGACAACGAGCUAUCAGAUUGAAUGGUGGGAAGGCAUAUGCCCUGUCCCUGGACCAAUCUUGGAGGAAUGCGUCGGUCGCCAUGGCCUCCGGGUCCGGUCACCAGCUGAAGAACUCCGGUAGCUGUGUGUUUAGUCUGGACACAAACAGGUCCAUGCUCAAAGGUCCCCAUAAGAGCAAGAACUUGUGGAACACGUUUGGUUGAAGCCUCCAAUCUCCCGAGUCCCUCAGGUAGAUCUCUGUGUAUUGCCACUAUCGGGACUGUCAGGUAUGCGUCCUGCAAGUCUAGUUUGACCUGCUCCGGUAUUGGACAAAGGUAUUUAGGGGUCGUAGGUUUAUAACCGGGUGAACCCCGCCUCCCUUUUUUGGCCCUAAAAACAGGUUGCUCACGAAACCUGGAGUAUCUAGAGGGAUUUCCUCUAUGGCCUUCUUGGUCUGUAAUUCUCUGAUCUCCGCAGAGAUGAGGUCGAGGUGUGAUUUUGGCAUGUGGAUUGCCCCCGGGGGAGUGCCCUGAAUGGGAAAGGCCGUCAGUUCUAGGUGGUAACCCUCUAACGUCUGUAACACCCAACUGUCGGACGUGAUCAUAGCCCAAGCCCGAUAGAACAGGGCCAGUCUGCCCCCCACAUUUAUAUGGGAAAAAUUGGGAAAAAGGGUACUCACCACAAGGGCGUUUUCCCGUGGGUGUUCCUCGACUGCCGCGGGUAUGCCAAGGCCGUCUUCAUGAAGGGAAGAACGGGGUGUAGGACCGUUCCUGAUUUAGCCUCUGGGGGUUGAAGGAGCCUCUUCCCGGUCUGGAAAAACCCUGGGGGUUGCGGCUGGGUAGACGGCUCCUACCUCUACCGGCCCCGCCAAAACCUUUGGGCUUAACACCCGUUUGAUGGAAGAUUGGGCUUUGUCCAAAGCCGUAAAGGUCUUGACAUAGGAGCCCAGGUCCUUCACGAAGGACUCUCCAAACAGUAAGCCUUUCGCAGAGGCACCUGGUUCAUUGGGGGCCAUGCUCGCAAGCUUGGGCUCUAUCUUUAGCAGGAUGGCCUUCCUGCGCUCGGUAGACAUUGCCAUGUUGACGUUGCCAAUCAUACAUACUAGGCGUUGGGGCCAUCCUAACGCCACCUUAAAAUCCAGUUGUGUCUCGCCUGACUGAGCCGUUUCAAGCAAUUCGUACAGCUUGGUGACCGGGCCCAGAGUGUCGAGGAACUUGUCCUGACAGUUGCGUAGUGAGUAAUCUAGGCCCUUCUUGGGCUUCCAACCAGUCUUGGUCAGAAACUGCACAAUUUGCGGGUCAACUUCAGGGUUUUUUGCUACUGCAUCAGGUAUGAUAGGUCGGGGCACUCCGCUCUCAGUUUGUUAUGACCCUCUUGUGAGAGGGAUUUGCGGACUCUGAGAGCCAGGUAUUGAGCGAUGUGCUCAGCGGGCUCCCAUUCAGCGUAGCGAGGGUGCCUGAGAUUGUCUGGAUCAAACGCAAAGGUAUCCUUUGCGUCACGGGUUGACUCUGCCCCAGGAGUCCCUGACUGUACUUUGGCCUGAGCCGGUCUAGAAGGGAAUUGUGUUCCCGGGAGAUUCUCAUCUCCUGAGGUCUCCUCCCCGUAGGGAUCUGAGUACUGGUCAUCUGACCCUUCCUCCCCAUCUUCGUCUGAAUCAGACAGUAAAUCAUGGGCCCGUGCCCGCUUCCACUCUCUGGCCGCCAUAGCCCGGCCAGUUGCUCUAUUGCGCGGUUGUUGCGCGCCAUCACAGACAGCCUGAGGCGUGUCAAUCAAACCAGGCUUUAACUGGGUGUGGGGGGGGUCAUGAGCGUGUUUGCACUUGCCUAGCGCCUUGCGUCCUGAGGUAGUCCCUUCAGGGGGAGUAUGAGACUGUACUAACCCAGAUUGAGCAGGGAGGGCCUGUCUAAGGGCCUGGGAGAUGGACUGUGAAAUACUGGAGGACAUAGCUCCCAUGGCAGAGGAGAUGGCCUUACUAAUGGAAUUGGACAUAGUGGCGUCCAGGAGGCUUUGGAAAUCCUCUGAGCCUAUGAGGCUAGGGUCAGCCUGGGGAUCAGAGCUUGUGGUGCCCUAGGGGGGGUAGGGUGGUCAGUUAAAUCACCACUAGCAGACUGCAUGAUAGCAGAAAUGGAGUAGGCAAUAGGUAUGAAGUAAAUAAAUAAAGAAGGUGCUGGAUUGCUUAAUCCAAGCACAGGACAGAGUAGCAGACAAAAUACCCGGGUCCUGUGUGGGUGGCAGGAGCAGUGUCGAGUACAUCCUCCACAGAACCGAAACCGCAGUACAAGGUGACUUAAAAUGGCCGCCGGCACGUUCAGCGACAGAAAACCAAAAAGAUGGCCGCCGCGAGUGUUCCGCGCAUGUGCGGAGCGCGCGCGCGUCGAAAAUGAAAACAAAAUUAACCGCCGGGCUGUAGAGCCGGCGGGGGCCUGGAGGGGGCCGGAAAACGGUCGAGGAGGGGUGGGGGGGACAUGGGAUGGACCCGGUCGGUAUAGGGAGGGAGCCAAGGCAACCCAAUAAUGGAGGGGAAUAGAAACAGCCCUGGACCCACUCCAGGACCCAGAAACAUACAGAAUAGUAACACAGUAUAAAGGACAAAUCUACAAGUGUAGGAAAAGAACAGCAACAAACCCUUAUUAGCAAAAGGGGAUAAUAACUGUAAUUCCAAGUGACAAAAUAUACAACAAGCAAGAGAAUAAAAUGUACUUAGCUGGUCUGAGGGAGCAGCGAAGAAAGAGGAAGAGGAAGAGAGUGCUACACCUUAUAUACUGAAAGGGGGUGGUUCCUAUUAGUAGCACUGUUGAAUAUGUAUAUAUGUUAAUGAUAUGCUAUUUUUUCUCUUUAACAUUCAUUUCUCUCUUCGCUGAUGAGGGAAAAUUAAAGAAAGAGAAGCAUAAUAGGAGCCUCCGUGUCUUUAAUAAAAUCCAAUUCAGACAAGGCAAUAUCCAUUGCAAAUUAAAAAGAGACAUAGAAACAUUGUUUCAUGUGUUCCCUUUUUUUUAAUGUUUUUUGUACACUGACUUCUUUUUGCAAAGGACAGAGUUUAUAGUGAUUAACAAGGAGAUAAAAUGGAUUAGUCCAGUUGAAGGAUAAAUAAGUGUGGAUUUGACAAUUCAUUUGAUUUUUUACACCUUGCAAAUACACAUUAGCUAAAUAUAGGAAUGCAUAAACAUAAAAUUAAAUAUCCAGGGCAGUGGACAAUCCCCUUUAACUUCAUCUGCCAGAUAAGUAAGUGAAAGCUUAUGAACCCUUUGUAAUUACCUGUAUUCCUUAUAAUGUUAAUAAGCAAUGUGUCUGAUCAUCCUGUAAAUCAUAUUAACCAUAUACAAUACCAAGUACUUUUAGCUAGCACAAAUGGUUAAUGUCCCGCAUCUGUGUAAAUGGUGCAUUUACCAGGAACUAGCUGAUUUUUUGCUUAGAUGCAGGCACAUGGUUAAUGAACAAAUAAAAGAAAUUAACUAAAUCUCAGCAUGUGUGUCACGAGGACGAAUGUAGAUUAUCAAGGUUUAACAGUAGCAUGUCAUAUUACAGAAGGGCAUCUCUUCCCUAGUGGCACGAGUUGGAGAAGCUUGGUUAGAUGUGAGAGAGAUUAAGCUACCAACUAAACGUACUAGUCGCCAUGCUUAUGAGAUUUUGUGAGUGGGUUAGUACCUGCCGACUAUUAUAGUGUAAUCAGGCUAAAUAUGCCACUGGGGCCGACCUCAUGUAUGAGAGUAUAUUUCUCACUAACACAUGAAGGAUCAUGGUAUAAAAAACUAAGCAAGGGAGUGCACAAGGGAGUGCACAUAUUAAAACAUUGGUCAACAUAAAACUUGGUCUGCGAUUUACUGUGGUAGGGAGAAUGGCAACCAGAGCCCGCCAAGCAGCACCAGCGGUAGUAGGGCAAGUCCAGAGUCACCCUAUGCCCAGACUUGGGAGGCAUUUUAUGGGAUCAAGGUAGGCACUGCCCGUAGUGGCGCAGUGUUUGCAGGGCAUGAUAAUCCUCAAUCCCCAGGUUUGUGCGACUGAUAGCUUCAGUGAGUCCUGAGCUUUAGGUCCCUGAGAGUCCUGUCCUGUCCCCUUUCGGGGGUAUUAGGGGGUCUUGUGAGACUGUCGUUGUUAGCGGGGUAUCCUCUGUCUUUGUGGGUGGUGCCUUGGUGUGCCCCUGGCGGCCCUCUGCCUGGGCGGGCUUGUGGUAGGCAAUGGUAGUGUUUGAGUAGGGGUGCUGUCUUACCCCGCUGUCUCUUUGAGUCUGGUGGGGUGUUAUGCGGAUUUCAAGUUUUGCCCAGAAGCAUGUGAAGAUCUCCUCCAGCCGCUUCAUUGAUCACAGCAGUGGGUCAGAAGGGUCUCCCUAAUGCUGCUGUGAGGCGCGCUCCUGUAAAGUAAGCAAGGCCGCCAUCUUGGAUGACUCCUCUGAGCUCACCAUGUGGCUGUAUGCUCUUGGGUGUUCGGUCCUGCAGGGCUUGCUGUGAGCAGGUGCGUCAGGUCGGUUUGCCAGUGGGGACCAGGAUAACCCCCACCGGUCCAAGGGGGGGAGAAACAGGACCCUAAAUACUAGGUUAGUGAGGUGAAGAGGUGGGCGUCCCCUCCACUCCGCUUGACACUGUAGGCCUCCGGGGCAGAUUGUGAUGUGUGCUUGGUAUUUUUCUCCAAGACUCUGCUGGGCCUCUGGCAUGGUGUAUGCAGUUGAGUUAGUCGAGUUUGUCUUCGAAAAUCAGGUGAAAUACCCCUGUAAUCUGUUUAUCGUCAGGUUUUGUCGAGGAGCCCCUGCGACACACAUCUGCCUCAGUCGGCUGCCAGGCCCCACCCCCGCUCAUUGAUAUUUUACACCGAUAUUUUAUAAUACACAUGGGUAACUAGGUACAGAAAAUUGUUCAACCAUGACUUCCUGUUUUAAAGGGAUAUAAAUAUGAGAUAACAAUAGGCAAGACCAUGGAAUAUAGCUGUGAUGUGCAGCAAAUGGUUGUGGAGCUUCACAAAAUGGUAAGUGACUAUAAGAAAAUAGCAAAAGCAUUGGAAAUGCCCAUUUUCAUCAUAAGGGCAAAAGGUGCGAUGCUGCAGUCAACUGGAAAUGUUGUGAAUCAACCCGGAAGAGGGCCUAUUUCAAUAUUGAUUCAAUGCACUGAAGAUAAUGGUUAGAUUGGACAAAAAAUCUCCAAGGAUCACAUUUGGAGAAAUGCAAAAGUUGGUUGCAUCUUUGGGACAGAAAGUCUCCAAAACUACAAUCUGACGUUACCUACAUAACACAAAUUGUUUGGAAGAGUUUCAAGAAAAAAAGCCUCUUCUCUUCUCUUAUCCAAAAAAUAAUUUAAGUGUUUUCAGUUUGAAAGAUAUUACUAGAACUUCAAAUGGAAUUUGGGUUCUACGGUCAGAUGAAACCAAAAUAGAGCCUUUUGGCAAUAAACAGCAAAGGUGUGUUAGGGGCACACACAGAGGUAGCCAUAAGGGAAAUUACCUCAUGCCCAUGGUUAAAUAUAAUGGUGGCUCUUUAAUGUUUUGGGGCUGUUUUUUCUGCCAGAGGAUCUGGACAUUUUGUUAGGAUACAUAAUCCAAAACAUUCAUGAAAAUCAACACAAAAGUGGUUUAGUGACCACAAAAUCAAGGCACAGCUAUGGCCAUCCCAGUCCCCUGACUUGAACCCCAUUUUGUAUGGAGGAAAGGCCUCAUAUCUCUUGACAUGUGUUCUCCAAAAUUGGGUGUUAAACGAAAAGACUUAGCGCUGUUAUCUUGCCAAAGGGAGAUUGCACAAUGUAUUGACUAAAAGGGCACCAAUAAUCGUGCUAAACAUAUAUUUAACAAAGUUUUUUUUUUUUUUUUUGAUAAACCUGUUUUGUAUUUGCAAUGUUGGAUAUCCAUGAGAGCAGAGUAUUUUAAUGCAUUUUUGAAAAAAAUAAAAAAAUUCUCCUUCUUUGCUCAUAUUUACAAAGUGUGCCAAUAUUAGUGGAGGGCACAUUUAGUAAGUGAGCAGGGCCGGACUGGCCCACCGGGAUACCGGGAAAUUUCCCGGUGGGCCGUCGGCACCUGGGGCCGGGCGGCCAGCUGGCUCCCCUACGGCCGCAGAGGGAGCUCCUUUGGCGGCCGCAGGGUUUGCUGGCUGUUCUUGCGGCCGCAGGGGGAGCUGGCUGUUGUGUCUCUGCUCCUCCUCCCCAGCGCACUACAAAGAGACCGGGGCCGGAAUAUGACAUCAUAUUCCGGCCCCGGUCUCAUUAAGCGGCGCGCAGGGGAGGGGGAACAGAGACAAAACAGCCAGCUCCCCCUGCGGCCGCAAGAACAGCCAGCAAACCCUGCGGCCGCCAAAGGAGCUCCCUCUGUGGCCGCCAGCCGCCAGUCCCCACAGGUAGAAAUUGUGUAUGUGUGUGUGUGUGUUUCAUUUGUGUGUGUGUGUGUCUGUCUGUGUCAUGGUGUGUGAGUGUCUGUCUGUGUCAGCAAUGUGUGUCUGUGUCAUUGUUUGUGUCUCUGUGUCCUGGUGUGUGUGUCACUGUCUGUCAUGGUGUGUGUGUGUCUGUGUCAUUGUGUGUGUCUCUGUGUCAUGGUGUGUGUGUCACUGUCUGUCAUGGUGUGUGCGUCUGUGUCAUGCAAUGUGUGUCUGUCAUUGUGUGUGUGUGUGUGUCUGUGUGUGUCACGGUCUGUGUGUGUCAUGGUGUGUGUGUGUGUGUUUUUGUCUGUGUCAUGUAAUGUGUGUCUGUCUGUCACGGUGUGUGUGUGUCUGUGUCACGGUCUCUCUGUGUCGUGGUCUGUGUGUCACGGUCUGUCUGUGUCAUGGUGUGUGUGUCUGUCUGUGUCACGGUCUGUGUGUGUCAUGGUGUGUGUGUGUGUGUGUUUGUCUGUGUCAUGUAAUGUGUGUCUGUGUCACGGUGUGUGUGUGUCUGUGUCACGGUCUCUCUGUGUCGUGGUGUGUGUGUCUGUGUGUCACGGUCUGUCUGUGUUAUGGUGUGUAUGUGUGUCAAGGUGUGUGUGUCUUUUUUAAAGUGUGUCUGUCAUGGUGUGUGUGUGUGUGUGUCUGUCUGUGUCAUGGUGUGGGUGUGUUUCUGUCUGUGUCAUGGUAUGUGUGUGUGUAUGUUUGUUUUUACUCACUUUUUUUUCCCCCACGUCAUGCUGAUCUCCCCUCGUCCUGCCUCUACGGCUGAGAUCAUCAAGCUUGAUGAUCUCAGCCAAUCCGCACUGACACAGGAAGCACCUCUAGUGACCGUCUGAGUGUCUGUCACUAGGAAGCAAUGUAAACACUGCCUUUUCUCUUAAAAGUCAGUGUUUACAUUGAAAAGCCUGCAGGGACCGGCUAUAGACACCAAUACCACUACAUUAAGCUGUGUGUGUGCGCGCGCUUGCUUGUGUGUGUGUGUGUGUGUGCCUGCUACUGAGUGAGCUUGUGUUUUUAUGUCAAUAACCUUAUGUAUGAGGCUGUGUAUCAAUCCGCUUGUGUCAGUGAGAUUGUCUGUGUAUGCAUGUGAGUAUGCUUACUGUAUGUCCUGACGAAAUCAGGGGAUCAAGCUGAAACGUUGACCUUGUGUUGUUUUAGUGGAGGUAAUAAAAGUUAUAUUUUAUAUUAGUCCUUGGAGUGCUAUCUCUGGCAAUAUUUUUUGCAUUUUUGGCUGACAAGCACCGGGCAUUGAAUAUUGAAUUGGUGGAGUGCAAGAUCCGUUUGUUUUUUUUUAUAUAUAUAUAUAUAUAUAUAUAUAUAUAUAUAUAUAUGUAUUAAGGCAAAUUGCCUGCAUUUGUGGGAGGUGCUGGUUUUCUACCCCUAGCCUACUUAAGGCACUCCCCUUGCCUGGCUCCUUACCGUUCGAGGUCAGCGUUGAAUGAGGAUCCACUUCCGGGUUCUCUCAGACGCCAUCUUGGUUUCAGUAUCCAGGAGGUUUCACCACGUUAAGCUGUGUCCAGGAAUCCUGUUCAGGCCUUUCCGCCCGUCCAGCUUCUUCUGACUCCGGUCUCCGUUGUAGAUCGCGUCCCAGGGACUCCUAAACCGUAAGUCAGACCUUCCUGUCACGCCAGGACUAGUUCCCACGGCGUACGGUACAGCACGGGUCCUCGCUUUACGGCUUUUCCCUGGUUAUGACAUGAAUGUUUCAAGCCAUUCGCGGGCUUUUCAUUCGUACGGUCAUUCGGCUGAACAUGUUUUAAAUCGUUCAAUAGUCAUUUCGCAUAUCCUAUUCAUGUUAUUUAAACGAAUGUUCAUUCGGUUGUUUUGCCGUUCGGCAAAUGUUACAUACGCUCAUACACGCUUUGGUUCGCAUAAAUCAUACGGUUAAACUAUUCUAACUUCUGUGUUCCCCUCACAUUUGCUUUCGGUUGUUCUGUGUGUUCACGUAUAAUCCUUUCAUGAAUUAUAUUCACCAUUUCAUGUGUAUAUAACAUUCGGUUAAAGUAUUGCUUGCUUAAAUAGAUUAUUGUUGAUUACUUUUAACAAAUUGUCAGUAUUGUAUUACGCCCACAAAUCAAGUCCACUUCUCUGUGUAUACCAUUUGAUUCCCACGCUUUCAGGGGUCUGCAUUACUUAUCCAUUUAUACGAAUGGACUCAGCCUAUGUUACAAGCAUCAUUUCUGGGUUAUUAAUACAACAUAUACAAGGAUAGGUUCAUUUAAGCAAUAAUUCUCGGGUUGAUACGUCUUUGCUAUACAUACAUAUCAUAGAUAUACAUCACUUUACAUCAUGUUAAAUCAUUUUGGGGUAUCCCUGCCUUUGGUCUUUCUGCUACAUAUCAUACAUAACGCUGUGUUAAUUAGGCCAUGACCUCAUCCAUGUCCCUUUCUAUAAAACCAGUUACAUUUCGGUACAGAUCAUUGAACUCUCACGCCAGGAGUUUUAUAACUAUCCAUUUCAUUUCAAUUUACUCAGCCUACAUUACAGGCCUCAUUUCUCUGUCAUGACGAAGACACAUAAGGCUUAAAUCCUUCUGCAUGCAUACUCGGGUUGAAUCACACGUACUGAUCCAACCAAUCAUACUUCCCCUACACAGUCAUAUACAUAUGUAUAUAACCUACGUUUCAUGUUUUCCUUUACACACCAUUAUCACGUAACACAUAGAUUGUUUGUACAUAGGCCACGGCCUCCCUCAGAUGUCUUAUUCAAGAAUGCAAACAUUUCUGAGCCACUCAUAGCUAUUCCCAUGGUAUCAACAUAUUUUAUACAUUGCUGCUACAGACUAUAAGUCUGGUUCUUUUACACCCCACACUCAUCGUACUACUCUCUUUUACCCAUUUUUAGGCUGUCGAGCUUAUAUAAUUGCUCCACACGGUUUAUUCCUGUGAUUUAUCAUACUACCAGGUACGUACACCUGCUCAUAUGGUAUUCUACCAUACAUUUCAUUUCAUCCCCCUAGUUUAGAGUACUGGCAAUACGGUCACAGGAUUCCCAAUAGGUAUUUACCCCAUCUUGGCUGUCGCCAUUAGUUAGUGGUCCCGCGAGGCCAACACCCCGCCUCAAACGUUUCGGAGGCAAACACCCAUCGGGCCACACGUUAGCUAGCCGCCUCGCAUGUUGCAAAGAGAGGGCCACACCUGUCACUCCCUUCCCCUGUUUUCUGUCGUACAGUCACCGAGAGGCCUAAAACUCCUGCCACUACGUCAAGUGGCCUCAAUAACCCCUCGCGCCAACGCAUAGAUAGAGCCUCUCAAGCCGCUUGGCAAUUAGUAGGGCCUCACCUGUCACCAAACAAGCAUAAUACUUUCGCCAUCCGCCUAGCUAGCCUGCCAGUACAAUUUGGUGGUUCUAUAUACUAAUUAUUGUUUUAUUUAUAGUAUGUCUCAGGAAGGGGUAGAGGAUUUCUCCCUGCCUAGCACCCCGGCUAGAGCUGUCACUCCCACACAAGGAGGAGAGCUAGCUAGCCCAGCAUCAAUUAGAUCCUGGACAAUCCCGCGCAUAACCACGGAAUUAAGGAGACGACAAAUCCCCUACCCCGCUACAGCAAGGAAGGCAGAACUUUUCAAACUGCUACGCACGUCAACCAAUAACAUGGAAGUCGGGGAAGGAUCUAGCCAGUCCAACCCAGGGGACAUACAUGCCAUGUUAUCCUCACUCAUGGCAUCCAUGGGCAAGGUCAACUCCAGGCUGGAGAAACUUGAGUCGGUCACCACGGCCCUCACUCUAGCAGGGCCAACCGCGGCUGCAGUACAAACACCAGCCUUGCCAUUAGUCGCUCCAACCAGCCCCCUGGAUGACCAGGAAGUUAGCCCGGCCCACAUGAUACCUGAGCAUAUCAAAAGGGAUAUCCUGGAAGGUAAAGACGUCAACCUGGCUUCCUGUUGAUUGCCUCCCAGGACAUUGUGGAACAUAAGACGUAUGCUUAUGAUGAUGUUUCUGUUAUUGUCAGAUCUAGGGAUGCCCGCCUGAACAGGAAACUGACUAUCCCUGAAUUUGUACUAGCGUUUGGUAUUUACAGGGAUGUCGUCUGUGCCGUUUAUCCCAACAGAAGAGAGGAGUUUGAUCUCUAUAUGCACAAGCUGGUAGACCUGGGCAACAAAUAUGGUGGUUCAGCAUUCUAUGACUACCAUAGGUCUUUUUCUGCAAAAGUGGCUGGAGCCUUCUCCCAGUACGGUACACGAUCCAACUGGGGAAGGAUUGAUUCUUAGUCUUAUUCUGCAGACACUUUGCAGGUCUAAGAACACCAGCUUGUGCAUACUGCUCCUCCACAGCCCAUACUACUAAUUUUUGUCCCAACACGGCAGACGGACAUGCCUCCACACAAGGAACUAGUUCCUCUGGGGAUCCAGGGAACUAUCCAAAGACAAAUUGGGACGCCCAAUCAAGUUUCUGGGCAAGUCCCAGAUAUGUAAUAAUUUCAAUGUUGGGUCUUGUAAUUACAGUGGAUGUAGACUAUUGCAUGUCUGUUCAAAAUGUUUUAGGGCACAUGCUAAGACCAUGUGUCCAAAUAAAAUGUAUUCUAAGCCUUACCUUACGUCCAUUAAUAUGCCAGUAUUCACAGUAUUGAUGUCUCAGCACCCAUCUAGACACCUGGUAGAUUUUCUUAUUUCUGGUUUAACAGAAGGCUUCCACACAGGUAUCCUACACAUACCAGCUGGCACUCUGGAAUGCCCAAACCUACAAUCCGCCCAACACAACCCCACAGUGCUUGACACCCUCAUAAACCAAGAAGUGAAGGAGGGCUUUGUAUUGGGGCCUUUUAGAACUCCCCCAUUCACAGAAUGGCGCACCAACCCUAUUGGUAUUGUCACAGGGAAAUCUUCCCAAAAACAGAGACUCAUCAUUGACUUAUCGGUUUCCCACUCAUCGGCCAACCCCAGUCUUAAUUCCCUCAUACCCUCUGAGGAAUUCUCUCUGCAAUACACCACCAUAGAUCACGCCAUUACAGCCAUCAUACAAGCAGGUGUGGGAGCCUGGCUGAGUAAGACCGACAUUACUAACGCCUUCAAAUUACUCCCUAUCCACCCCACACUGUGGCACCUGCAUGGCAUCAAGUGGUCCGAGAACUACUAUUAUUUUCUCCCGGUUAACUUUUGGGUCCAAAAGUAGCCCAGCUAUUUUCGACACAUUUGCCGAAGCACUAUGCUGGUUACUAUUGAACAUAGCCGGAUGCCCUACAGUAUUACAUUACUUGGAUGAUUUCCUACUGGUCGAGGAGAAUACUGCACCUCCCACUAGCCUCAAAGCUACCACUAAGCUGUUUGAGCAACUAGGUGUACCUAUCUCCCCAAAGAAAACAGAAGGGCCAGACACGGUUAUCACUUUUCUGGGUAUCCAGUUAGACUCUGCCACAAUGCAAGCAAGCCUACCUUACGAAAAGAUAGACAAUAUUCUCACUUACAUAAACAACUACCUACAGCUCAGCACUUGCAACCACAAAGAACUACAGUCCCUGCUGGGGUCACUAAAUUUUGCAAUGCGCAUCAUACCUCAAGGCCGCUCCUUUAUUUCACGACUAUUGCAUCUUUUCCCACUUUUUCUACAUGACACGCACUGGUUGUCCUUAGAUGCCCAAGCUACGGCAGAUCUAAACAUGUGGAAGAGGUUUUUAACCACUUGGAAUGGUAAAAGUAUGUUCCUCCCUCAAUUGACUGAAUCAUCUCCUACCAUUUGGUCAGAUGCGGCAUCUACCACUGGUUUUGCAGCAAUUUUGGGAACGAAUGGCUUUGGGGCAGCUGGCCUUCAGCAGUUCUGGAUUUGGAAGGUUUUUCCACUACCUCAGCUCUUUUUGAGAUCUACCCCAUAGUGGCGGCUGCCGUAGCGUGGGGUCAUUUAUGGGCUAAUACGCCAGCGCGUUGUUACUCAGACAACCAGGCGACCUGUCACAUCAUCAACAAAGGUCGUUCCAAAUCUCUUACGAUUAUGAGAUUUCUGAGGAAAGUCACUUGGUUGGCAGCUUGUCAUAAUUUCUUCCUAUGUUGUUUCCAUGUGCCAGGUGUAUACAACACAGCUGCUGACAGUUUGUCUCGCUUUAAAUUUCAGGAGUUUCAUCAAGCACUCCCGUCAGCAGCACCCACAGCCACCAUCACUCCAACAUUUCAACAACUCAUACUGACUAGACGUCAUCAUGCAGCAUAGCAGGACAUUGUCUCAGUUGGCACUUUCACACAAUACAAACAAAACAUACAACAGGGCUUUCACACUAUUCAAACGAUUCCUUCUGGAACAUAACAUCAUACAACCGUUUGUUAUGACAUCUUUUUGGGGUUUGCUUCCUUUUGCCACCUUAAACUCAAAUUGUCAUAUAACACCAUCAAACUCUAUCUCACUGGCAUUCAACACCACAUGCUCAUCUUACACCCAAAUAACAACAGUUUCAUGGCCUCUCACCAAAUUAAGACCAUACUCAGAGGUAUUCAAAAAUCAGAACCCACACAUUUGGCCAAGAGGCUACCCAUAGAUAACCAUAUCUUCAAAGCUUUAUCUAACCUACUCGACCUGAAACCGUUUGACACUAAUACGAAUUCUAUCAUCAAAACAGCAAUAUACAUCGCCUUCUAUGGAUUUCUACGACCCAGAGAAUUCACUACGACCUCCACGACCCAAACCACUCCAUUCCUCCUCUAUUCCCACUUGACAAAACAUAUGGAUCAUUACAUCCUGUCUUUACCUCACUCCAAAACCAGUCAGCACAUACCUGUAAACAUUCCGUACUACCCCACGCACAACAGAUGGUGUCCCGUAAAAGUUCUUGAUGCCUACAUACAGCACCAUCACUUACUGCCCUCGCAACCGCUAUUACAACUACAAGGUGCAGUACUCACCACUACAACCUUCAUGACCUACGUCAGGUCCUUGCUCACACAACUGGGCCUCAACGCAAACAAUUACUCAGGACACUCCUUUCGUAUAGGAGCCACGUCCACAGCCUCCAGUUUCAACGUCCCAACUCAUGUUAUCAAAACACUGGGGCGCUGGAAGUCAUCCGCUUACUCACGGUACAUACCGAACCCAGUACAAGAGUUAAGAGAUGCUUUCAUAAACAUGUCUGGUUGAUAAAUGUAUAUGCAAAAAAUUACAACGUGUGCUGGCACUCAAUUACAUAUAGGUGCCGGUAUUCGAGGUUAACCCCAAAGACAACCUCCAAACAACAAUCCUAAAAACUAUAUAAUGAAUACCGCACUCAAAUAGUAAUAAUUGAUACUAGAAGUUAUUGCUGUGAAAAAUUCAUGAUAUUUAUUCUAAAUAAAGUUAUAUGAAGUAUGAUAAUAGAAAUUUUCAUUUCAUCCUGAGUACACCAAUUAUAUACAUUGAAUAUAUACAAUAUAUACAGUAUAUACAGAAUAUUCCAUAUAUUGGAUAGAGUUCAUCUAAUGUGUAUACACUUGGUGAAAAUUCAUUGAAAAGUUUGUUGAAAAUACUGAAAAAAUGAAAAAAUGAAAAAUAUGAAAAAAUGAAACCGAUAGGAAAAUGAAAAAAAUAUAAAUAAAAAAUAAUGAAAAUAAUGAAAAAAUCCCCAAUCCAAACCAGAAAAAAGGAAAGGGGAAAUAAAAAGAAAAAGAAGAUAAGGAAUGAAAAGAAAAAAUAUAUAGAAAAAUAAGCAAAAUAAUCUGAAAGUCCUGGUAGUCCAAUAUAGUGCACUAUAUUUAGCUGUAUCUGGAUAGAUCUCACCAAUUGUAGAAAUCUUGUUCUUGGUGUACCAAAUCAAAGUUGUAAUCAGAUGAUGAUCUAAACGAAGGUGAAGGUAAUAGUAGUUGUAGCAAACGGAAAGUCACUCCAUCAGCUCCCAGUUGUUGUGUGGUCAGAAGCAGCUCCCAGUGGGUAUGUGGUCUGAACGAACGGCAAUGAACUAAUGCAGGCAAUCCAGUCUAGGGACGGGCUGCGCGCUCGGGACUUAACUGUCCCUUCGACGGCCCCUGUGACGAAUGAAUAUAUAUAGAUAAAUAUCAAUAGACACUUACCAAAAAUGUGAGUGAAAGAUUCCCUGUUCGUCCAAACCCGGAAGUGAGACAGUGUGCACCACGUGACCGGCGUGAUGACGCAAGUGAUUACGGUGUUGCUAAGCAACGAUAGUGAACAGAUCUGGCAAACGUGUAAUGCAGAUCGGAAAGUGAACUAAAGUGACUAAGAACGAUCACUGAAAGGUGAUCUAUGUAGGAAAUGUGUAUACACACAAACUAUGGAGGAAAUAAAAACUUAAUAGUAUACUUAUAAUGAUUAUCAUACAAUACACUAUGGACAACAUAAAAGUAUGUCCUAGGCAGAUAUAAUGAUAAGAUGUUAUGUAUUUUGAUAAGAGUAUUUGUACUAACCAAAGGCAAAUUGUGACAAAUGAAUAGAAAAAAAUAUAAAUAAAUACCCAUAAUAUUCCAGAGACAAGAAAUAUAUAUAUAUAUAUAUAUAUAUAUAUAUAUAAAAAAAUUAUAUAUAUAUAUAUGAGAAAUAUAUAUAUAUAUAUAUAUAGCAUGUAUGAUAUGCCAAAAGGAGGGAAAGAAGUGAUCCCAUGCACAUGCAAACGUGCACAGUAUAUACAUUCAUCUUACAACAUGUGGUCAUAAAGAAAAAUACAGAUACAUCUCUUGAUAAUGAAAAUAACAUUACCAAAUAGAUUUAAAUAAACUGCAUGGCAUACAUACUAGGGAACAAUGUUAAUGAAAGAAUAUGAAAAAACAGCCAUAGAGGAUAACGGUUAGAUGAUACUAAAGCCAUAACGACAAACAUCUAUAUCUAUAUUGGCUAUGUAAAAAUAAACAUAAUAAACAGCCGAAGCUGCCUGUGAAAAGACUAUAUAUAAGUCAUAUAUCCAAAUGGAAUCAAGGAUAUAUGAAAAAAUAAAACAAGUAUAAAUAAAAUAAAAAAAUAUCAUAAAAACAUAGAAAAAGUGUUGUACUCAUUUAAGCCUUUAGGUGUAACAGUAUCCAAUUUGAAAAUCCAAUAAGCUUCUCUUUGAAGUAGUAUUUUAGACCUGUCACCCGCACGAGAUAAAGGGGGGACAUGGUCAAUGGCCAUGAAUUUAAGUGUGGGAAGUCUAUGUGAGGCGGCUAAAAAAUGUUUAGCUACCGGUUUAUCUGUCUUUUGGUCCCUAAAAGCUGUCAUAAUGCCGGAUCUGUGUCCUCGGAUACGAUCUCGAAGGGUAAGGUCUGUCUUCCCAACAUCCGCUAAUCCGCAUGGACAUGUAAUAAGAUAAAUCACAUGAUCCAUGGUGCAUGUGAUAUAAUGUGGGAUGACGAUUCUUUUUCCACUGUGCGGGUGAGCAAAUGAAUUACCAGAGAUCAUGUGGCUACAAGUGACACAGCCACUACAUUUGUAACAUCCGUGUUUCCUUUGUGUGAUGGUUUUCUUGUAGUUCUGUAUGGGAUCACUGCGGACUAGAAUGUCCCUUAAGUUUUUGUUUCUUUUAUAGCUGAUGAUAGGUUUAGACCAAAAUAUAGGAGAUAAUUGUUUGUCCGCAUGUCCCAAUGUCUGUCAAUUGAGUGACAAAUUUGUGUGGAACCUGUAUGGAAAGUAAGUGGUAAGUAAAUCUUUGGAGUAUCAGCCUUUAAUUCUUUUGAUGAACUUUGUGUUUNNNNNNNNNNNNNNNNNNNNNNNNNNNNNNNNNNNNNNNNNNNNNNNNNNNNNNNNNNNNNNNNNNNNNNNNNNNNNNNNNNNNNNNNNNNNNNNNNNNNUUUAUGGGCAUACUCACCGUCAGGCCCUGGGGCCCAGACCUUGAGCUAUGUAAGAGGCCCCAAUAAAUUGAGCUGCUUCUCGUUCUCCCAGAACAUUGAAUUUUGUGACCACAGUUAAAAAACAGCCUCCAGAGAUCCUGUUCUACACCAGACCAGUGGAGCCAGACUGCAGCCAGAGCCCAUCACCAUCCUCAUCUGAUUGUAAGUAGGCAAUCUAGUAUAUUAUUAGUGACACUAAUCUCUAAUUUACCUCACAUUAAAUGGACACUAUAGUCCCCAGAACCACUGUGUGCAGCACUGGCACUAGUUCAUAUGGCAGAUCAUAGGGGCGGGGCGGCAAAUCUUUCUUUUGCCUAUGGCGGCAAAAAUCNNNNNNNNNNNNNNNNNNNNNNNNNNNNNNNNNNNNNNNNNNNNNNNNNNNNNNNNNNNNNNNNNNNNNNNNNNNNNNNNNNNNNNNNNNNNNNNNNNNNACUUUAAGAACUGCGUUUUUUAUUUAUGGUGCAAAUUAUUCUGAAAUUACCAAACACAACAUUUCAACAGAUUAUUUAAGCCACUGACACCUGGGGUGUGGUACAAGCUGAAUUUUAGCAAAAUGAGAACUAACGCCUAUUGGGAAUGUAUAUAUUUUCUCGAAUUAUCCACUUCAGUUUGAUUUGUGCUGAUUUUUUUGUGUCAGAUAUGCAGUUUUGAGUAGAUACUUAUGAGCUGAAUCCUUUUAAAGGGUUAUGCUAAGCAUCACUGCAGUCUUCUGUAGUGGCUAUGAUGCCAGAGAUUUUCUGGCCCCAUUCCCUGGUAAUAGGACAAACAAUUUUGCAGUGGUUUUCCCCCUUCCGUGAGUUCCCACCAGGCUCAGAUGCUCACUGGUGCUCCAGUGACACUCUUCCGGCUUUUCCAGAGCCGCAGAAAAUAUAAGCUGUGGUGUCCUCAUUUGUUGGCAGAGAGCAUUAGCUGAGCACUCUCAACCAAUGACUGCAAUUCUGUGCAAUGAAAGUUGCACAGAAUUGACAUUAGCCAGACCAUCACUCUAUUUCUGGGAUUGUGUAUGGCAACCCUAUGAAGCUCCUAGAGGUGGAGUUAUACCUAUGGCACCAAAAGGGGUUAAAAUCCAUAUGUGCAGCGUUUCAAUGACAAACACUGCACAUAUAGACUCCAGGCAACAUGAUCACUUCAAAUCCUUAUGUGCACAUGCCGGAUAAUAAGUCCAGGAUCCUUUAGCUUAUGUCAUCACUGCUAUUUUAUUAUUUCACGUAGUACGACGUGUUAACAUCGUGUGAUUUGGCUCACUUGACAGUAUUGUUUCUUUAUGAUGAACAUUUACAAAUCAUGAUAAAAUGGAUAAUUCAUGUCUGGGAUUUAUGCCCUUUUCCUAAUGAAAAAAAAGAAGCUGAAUUUCUCAAGUGUAUAAUUAAUUUCAACAGAUAAGAACUACAUAGUCAUGUGUCCUCCCUUUAAUUAAAUUAUAUUCAUGAGAAGAAGCAUCUAUGAGAUAUUUGUGCCAUUAGGGACAUACUUGCUUAAUUGUAGCAUUAUGAAGCUAAAGCAUAUUGUAUACUAUUAUCUUUUUAAUUUGUGUUCUAGUUUCUAAUAUGAUUAUUUUAUUAAGAAUAUAAGUAUUAUUUUUGUCUUUGUCAUAUUAAAAUAACUUACACAUCUCUACAGUAAAAACAUUUUCAUGCUACCAUACAUGAAGAAAUUUCUACCUAUCGACCUAUGUAUCGACUUAUUUAGACAUUAUUAAAACCCCACUAUACAGAGCUAUUUGACCUUAAUUUUCUUAAUGUUUUCUCCGAUCGUUGUCUUGUUAUCAGACUUCUCCUCUGUCAUUUUACUUCCUAUUCUCUCCUUCGUUCUUCUUUUAGUAAUGAAUUAAAAUAUGCCAUUUAAUAAUUAUCCACACAUUAGCGACUGCUGAUGAGUCACUUACGAUGUUGACGCAAUUGCAAUCUCUCUGUUUUUAUACUUUUUGAAAAUUGUUUUAUCAUUAAUGGCUCAGUGAAAAAGGGCCCUAUAACCUCAUUAUAUUUCACUUGCAAUCACUGAACUGGAUUCUAAUGGGUUAUUUUUGUAUGUUGUUGUUGCUGAUGUUUUUUUGGCUGUUGUAUUGGACAUUAUUAUUUUCCGUUGAGAACCUGUUACAUCAAUGUUAAUAUUAAAUCAUUUAAUUAUUUGUUUCUUUCUUUUUUAACAUUAGUACUAACUGUAGGGGCAAACAACAAAAAGGAAUUUACAUUAAGACUGUUUACUCCAGGAGGUUACCCCCCUUGCCUUCAAGCGAGAUGGGUUCAGGGCGCUUGAGAUAUAUUUCAGGGAGCUAGAGAACUCACCACCUCACUCCUCUGUCCUCAAGCAUGGAGGACAUAAUUUAAAAUAGCAGGCCAUAGCUAAGUAUGCCAAGAGAAACUGGAUGCUGAGCAAGCCUUUUGGAUGUUCCCCAUGGUUUUGAAAAAUUCUUUCAUAGAUGUCAUGUAUAAGCCCAUUCUUUAAAAAAAAAAAAAAAAAAGAUUUAUUAUUAGAGUUGAGCGGACACCUGGAUGUUUGGGUUUGCCAAGUGCGGUCGAACUUCGUCAAAAAGUUCGAGUUCGGCUCAAACUUGUCACCGAACUUGACCCCGAACCUCAUUGAAGUCAAUGGGGACCCAAACUUUUGGGCACUAAAAUGCCUCUAAAAAAGUCCUGGAAAGGGCUAGAGGGCUGCAAAAGGAAGUAAAUGGGGGUAAGAGUAGGACAAGUGCCCUGCAAACAAAUGUGGAUAGGUAAAUCACUUAAAAUAACAUAAAAUAAACAGCCGUUUAGUAGAUAACUCCCUAAUUCCCACGGUAUUAGGGAGCUAUCUACCAAAAGGCUGAAAGACCUAAAUUGGUCUGUCAGCCACAUUUACUAAUACUAAGUAAAUUCAGCCCCUAGUCGCUAUACCACGAGUAGGGACAUGUCUAGUAAACAGUGAGCAGCCACUGGCUGCUCACUGUAAAAACCAAAAAAAAACAAAAAACCCUAAAGUAAAAUAAGGGGGGGGGGGGACCUACUGUCCUCCCCCACAGCCCCCACCCCUGGUCGGUGAUUGGGGGUCUUAAAUAACAAUGAGAGGGGGACCUACUGUCCUCCCCCCGGGCCCCGACCCCUGCGCGGUGGGUGGGGCCCUAAAUACCAAUUAGGAGGGGUGGGGGCCCUUAAUUAGAAUAAGGGGGGACCAAAUGUCCUCCCCCCUGACUCCCACCCGUGAACGGUGGGUGGGGGCCCUAAAUAAAAAUUGGGGGGGACCUAAUGCCCUCCCCCCUGGCCCCCACCCUAAAUAAAAAUUUAAACCCCCCCCCUGUAAACCACCUCCCCCCAAAAAAUAACCCCUACCUACCCCCCUCAUCCUAAAAAUAAUGAGGGGGGGGCCCUUAUCUAAAUACCUGUAAAAAAAAAAAAUAAAUAAACUUACCAUUUGAUGUCUUCUUUCUUCAGCCCCAAAAAAGGCCAAAUAAAAAUCCAUAAUAACCGACGCACUUAAAAAAACAAACAAAAAAAAAUGAGUGCAAAUUUUUUUUUUAUGGUGGCCAGCCUAAGGCCUGUGCAAUAAUCGUGUUGUCUAAUCAGCAUCUUGAUAUGCCACACCUGUGAGGUAGAUGGAUUAUCUCGGCAAAGGAGAAGUGCUCACUAACACAGAUUUAGACAGAUUUGUGAACAGUAUUUGAGAAAGUAUUUGAGAUUUUUGAGUUCAGCUCAUGAAAAAUGGGGACAAAAACAAAAGUGUUGCGUUUAUAAUUUUGUUCAGUGUGUGUGUGUGUGUGUAUAUAUAUAUAUAUAUAUAUAUAUAUUAUAAGUUUUUAAGCUUUUGCACUCCUACCUCCAGCCAAUAGUAUCGGCUGCCAAGCCACACUGCAAUAUAGAAAGUAAUCAAUUGCCUUCACUCCUGGAUUUCCAACAUCAAUAUGGCUUAUUGUCUUGAACCGAUGUUUCAGUUCCUAGUUUGGAACUUUCAUCAGGACACACAAAAAACAUCUUAAAAAUGACAGGCUUAUAUACAGAAUAAAUGAAAGAAAUAAUUACUCACCACUAUCAGCGGUUUUCCAUGUGGAACGGCUGUACCGGAGUUAGGACGCUUGAUUGAAUCACCCAGAUGAUUCCAUGUGCGUCGUUGGCUAGGGCCACCCGUUCACUACAUACUUCUGGCGUCUAUGCGUUGCUCUGGCUGCCGCCGAUAACAAUUGGCUAUUGGCUGCUCAAAGGGCCGCUGACAGCAGACGGAAUCUGUGUGUGGAUCCCGCCCAUGCCUCAUGUGCAUCAGGACGUGUUUCCAUAGCAACCGGACGCCAGUUUCACUUAGACGGGAUAAAACUGAGUACAAACUUAGGUUAAUCCGAUAAAUUACUAAGUAUAGCAAUUAGAUUCAACAUAGAGGUAAUAUACAUACCAAUAUAAUUCAGCUUAUACUCCCCUAUAACCAUAAGCAAUAAGUAAACUUUAGAUAAACUAGCAAAUACUUGUGAGUCUUAGAGAGGGAACUUUUGUUCCAAUGUACUUGUGCAAAAGACAAACUUUAAAUAUGAUAACAUAAAACAUAAUCAUAGCAUAUUAAAUUCUGUGAUCCAUUAUUUAAGUGAUGGUCCAUACUUCGUGGGACCAAAGAUAAUUGUGUUAUUCCUACAAGGCAUACAUCUAAGACAGUAGAAUAGUAUAAUCUCACUAAAGAAGUGCAAAUUUAAAGUGACCGUGCAUAGGACUAAAGUGACAGCGCUAAUGUUUAUUCAAAAAAGGUAGAGGGCAUCUCAAAAUAAAUAUGUACCCUGAUAAUCCAUAAUAUGGGCAGUGUCAGUGUCCUAAGUAAGUACUAGGUAAUCAAAUUAAUUAUUAAAAAAAGUGAAAAGUGCAAAAUAAAAUCUUAUAUGUGAACAAAAUGAACGUGCAAAAUACUUGAUCCAAUGUUUUGGAUCCAUAAGAAAAUAAACAGUAUCCCUCCCCAAUUGUCCUCCAACAAAAUAGUUACAAGGAAUUAUAUUAUAUAUCGACUGGAUCUGUUCCUUGUUCUACAUUCUAAACUACGUCCUUGUUGUUGCUUAUAGUACCUGUGUAUUUGGUGCUACAACUCCCUCUCUUCUAACAUACAGUGCCCAUUAAGACAGUUGUGCAUAUCAUUUGAAAGUGCACUAACUGUUUCUGGGAGCUGUAGUUCAUAUAUCAGCCUUCAUAAGUAGAAGGUGAUAAGUGAACAAAAAGUCUCAGAAGCACCUACUCUGACCUGAACUGAGGCCAUUACAAUUUGCUAGUUAGCCUCCCACUACACACUAUGAAGACAAAGAGGCAUUUUAACGGAUUUACAGGUGUAGGUAUUCUGCAUGUAGUCACAUUUCUAAUGUCUUGCAAAUAGUUAACCAGCUGGUGCCCAAACUGUACUUUAACACUUGCAGUGCUGGGUAAACAUUCCCAGCAGUUUAAAUGUUUCAAACCAUUUUGAGAGAUGCCCGAGUGACCAAAUUACUUCUUUGAGAGAGCUGGUGUUCGAGAAGUUGUGCUGAAAGCAAAAACAUUAAAAGUGAAUUUUUGUUUACCGUUAUAUUUGCUUAUAUUUUAGAAGCAUUUUCUAUAACAUGACUAGAAAAUAAUGGGUCCAUUCCAGCCUGCUGGGUCCAUUUAAAAAAUAAACUAAAAAUCAAGGAGUCUUUUGGAAUUAUUGUUCUGGAAAUGAAGUAUAAUGCUAAGUUUUGCUAUUGUUACUCAUGCCUAGUCUCCCUCCUUUGUGACCUGCUGUAAGGGAAUGACUGGUUUGUUGACGGUGUUACAGUUUUUCCUCUACAUAAUCACAGUUAUCACCCCAUUUCUAGAUGUAAUUUAUGCUCCCACAUGAAUGUGCGAAUAACAAGCGAGCAGAUUUUAAUAAAAAACUGGCAUGUUUAUCACUCAGAAUGACAAGAGGUGGCAGGAUGAAUAUUUUGUGUGUCUGCAUAGAUUGAUGCAACGCAAGCAUAAUAUAAUAAUCUGUGUCACAUAACUAUAAAGAUGCAAAUUAUAUUUGUUUUCCAUAGCUGAAUUUUGUAGGCGGUGAUCAUUUCUAAUUUUUGAAAGGGCAAAUAGGCACAUGUUUUUGUUCCAUAUCAUUAUGGCUAAUGAUAAUUACGUGCACAUGAUUAUUCCAUAUAAGAAGGGAUAUACUGAGACCAUAUUAUAUCAGGCUAUGGAACACAGGCAAUAUCAGUGCAGUAACAGGCCUGAGACAUGUGACUGCAACACAGCUGUACUUUGAAUGCAUAUGUAGUCUAAACUUAUAGAAAAAUCUAUGUUACUGUCAUUUGUCAAUUGUUUAUUACCCCCAAUUUCCAGCUAACUCAGUUUCUAUAAUAUUGGAACUCAUAUUAUGUUUUACAAUAUUAGUUAUGAUAAUACUGAAAUUAGAUUAUUUUCAUAAGGAAAUUGUCUCCUGAAGGGAUCCAGUUCCGGAUUUGCCAUAAGGCCACUGAAACCACAGCCUCGGGGUGGCACAGCCAGUGGGGAGAUCAAAGAUCUUCCUCACCAGCAAGCCUACUUUUCUCUUUUUGGUCCUUCUUGGUCUACCCCACCAGCCCUGAUCUAUUGUACCAGAGCAUUGCAACAGAUUACUACAGUGACGCUCUGAUAAAUAUAUGGUACCGAGCUGUUUGCAUGCACAAGGGGUGCAGAUAGCAACAUCUCCCACCGGACCACUAGGGAUCAGGAUUUACCCUUAACUGGCCCAAGGUAAGUCUCAGGAGCAUUGGAUUGGACCCCGCCGGAGGAGGCCCUGCCUCUUUCAUGAUGAUGCCUGGGAAGGAGGGAGCCUGAGCAUUGGAAAUAAGGUAAGUAAAGAAGGGAUUUUAACCCUUCCCAGGCCUAAUGCACAAUACUUUGAGGCGCAUGGACACUAUGAUGCUAGAUUUGUAUUCCUAAUGUUAUAGUGUUCAUUUAAGUGGGCAGGUGGGAAGAUAAGUACCAGGAGCCUUUGCUAGUGUCCUCUGUCCUCUGUGAGCCUCCUAUGCUUGAUAGCAGAGCUCCAGAGAGUUUUAUAAGGUGUAAAAUUCAGUUCUGCCCCAGGUCUUCCAGUAUCUGUGUAUACAGUGUCGCUUUGUAGGCUGGACAGGAAGUGGAAGGCAUACGUACCCACUAACAUAUGAAAUACAUAAAAAUCAGGGAAAGCACUGAGUGAUGUACAUUGUAUAACAGUUACUACAGCUCUGCUAUCAACCAUAUGAGAGUGACCGGAUUACUGAAGACUAGUGAUGUCGCGAACCCGAAAUUUUCGGUUCGCGAAUGGCGAACGCGAACUUCCGCAAAUGUUCGCGAACCGGCGAACCGCCCGAAACGCCAUUGACUUCAAUGGGGAGGCGAAUUUUAAAACACACAGGGACUCUUUCUGGCCACAAUAGGGAUGGAAAAGUUGUUUCAAGGGGACUAACACCUGGACUGUGGCAUGCCGGAGGGGAUCCAUGGCAAAACUCCCAUGGAAAAUUACACAGUUGAUACAGAGUCUGGUUUUAAUCCAUAAAGGGCAGAAAUCACCCAACAUUCCUAAAUCACAAUCAAUAUGGAUUGACACCUGACAUAUGACACAUUGACACCUUGACAUAUGGAUUGACACCUGUCCUCAGAGCCCCUGAUGCACACGGACACAGAGCAGAAUAGAGACUGGUCCCCCUACAUAGGGUCACUUGGCAGAUAUGGAUUGACACCCGUCCUAAGGAUCCCUGAUACACACUGACACAGAGCAGAAUAGGGACUGUUCCCCCUACAUCGGGUCACUUGGCAGAUAUGGAUUGACACCUGUCCUAAGGUUCCCUGGUACACACUGACACAGAGCAGAAUAGGGACUGGUCCCCUACAUCGGGUCACUUGGCAGAUAUGGAUUGACACCUUGUUACAAACUGCUAUUUGUAACGGGCCCUUUAAAUGGCAAAUUGCCCUGCUUCCCUGGGUUGUGGAGAAGCCUACUUGCCAGCCUCCUCCCGCAUGACUAUGGCCCCCUGGGAGAUUGUGAAAAUGUAUGCACUUUUAUUUGGUGUGUAUGGCCCUUUAAGACUGUCGGUGGGCAUAUUGGGGCUUAUGGACUCUUUAUGUGACUGGUGCUGGCCCUUUAAACACCUUUUUUGGGACAUCAGGAAGAUUGAGACACUGCCCCUUUAAGGCCGUGUCCCCAGACUUGUUGGGGACACGGCCCCUUUAAGACGGUGUCCCCUGUGUCCCCAGACCUGGUGCAAACUCUUUGUGCCUGCCUUGCUAUUUCCCACUUGGUUCAGUAAAUGGGAAAUUAUUUCAGCUGCAGAGACUAAGUCCCAUUCAGCGAUGGGACUUAGUCUUUUUUUCAGCCGUUUUUUUCAGCCUUAUUUCAGCUGCAGAGACUAAGUCCCAUUCGGCGAUGGGACUUAGUCUUUUUUUCAGCCGUUUUUUUCAGCCUUAUUUCAGCUGCAGAGACUAAGUCCCAUUCGGCGAUGGGACUUAGUCGUUUUUUCAGCCUGAAAUAGACCGACCUCACAGCCCAAAUCUAUGGAACUGUUUUGGGCAGGAAAAUGUGCUUGCGGUCGGUCAUAAAGGGACCUCCAGCUAACUUUUUAACCCCUGGAUGGAUUUGGCUGAUUUUUGGUUAUGUUUAUGUUUUAAGUGUGCUGAUUCCAAAUAUGUAAUUAUGAAGAUGGGAUGUGUAGUUUUAAAGUUACAGGGUAUGGCUAAAAACUGUAUUUUUACUGCCUGUGUUUAAUUAUGUUAAUCUCUUCCCAAACGUCAUUUCGUUCAAAGUGGAGAGAAUGUUAAAAAAAUAUAUUUUUGUUCUGAGUGUGAGAAAUGCUUUUCAGCGCUUCUAAUCUUAAGCAUCAUUUGAGGAGCCAUACAGGAGAGAAACCUUAUUUGUGGUGUGUUUAGUAUUGUUCUGAUCAGUUUAAUACCUUCCGCGUCUCCUAUCAGUGGACGUGUAUAUGGCAGCCAUUUUAGGAACCGUACACCUGGGACCCGAGCAAGGUCACCUCGUUCAACGGACGACAACAUUUGUCCCUGGAAAACUAUCCUGGACAUUCUGUACAAUUUGUAUGGAUAUGGCAGUGAUUUCUGUAACAGGGAGAUGGAAGAAGAUGCUUGGUCGGUCCUCUUAUCAAAUUUGGGGCACUGCACGGUCAAGCUAAUGUGCCACCAGAUAGGAGUGGUGUGUUUAGUAUUUUUUGAUCAGUUUAAUACCUUCCGCGUCUCCUAUCAGUGGACGUGUAUAUAGCCAUUUAGGGCCAUUACACCUGGGACCGAGCAAGGUCACCUCGUUCAACAGGCGACAACAUUUGUCCCUGGAAAACUAUCCUGGACAUUCUGUACAAUUUGUAUGGAUAUGGCAGUGAUUUCUGUAACAGGGAGAUGGAAGAAGAUGCUUGGUCGGUCCUCUUAAUUCAAAUUUAGGGCACUGCGCGGUCAAGCUAAUGUGCCACCAGAUAGGAGUGGUGUGUUUAGUAUUUUUCUGAUCAGUUUAAUACCUUCCGCGUCUCCUAUCAGUGGUCGUGUACACGGCAUUGAUUUUUGUAACAGGGAGAUGGAAGAAGAGGCUUGGUCGGUCCUCUUACUGCAAAUUUGGGGCACUGCGCGGUCAAGCUAAUGUGACACCAGAUAGGAGUGGAGUGUUUAGUACUAUUNNNNNNNNNNNNNNNNNNNNNNNNNNNNNNNNNNNNNNNNNNNNNNNNNNNNNNNNNNNNNNNNNNNNNNNNNNNNNNNNNNNNNNNNNNNNNNNNNNNNUCCAGCCGCUUCAUUGAUCACAGCAGUGGGUCAGAAGGGUCUCCCUAAUGCUGCUGUGAGGCGCGCUCCUGUAAAGUAAGCAAGGCCGCCAUCUUGGAUGACUCCUCUGAGCUCACCAUGUGGCUGUAUGCUCUUGGGUGUUCGGUCCUGCAGGGCUUGCUGUGAGCAGGUGCGUCAGGUCGGUUUGCCAGUGGGGACCAGGAUAACCCCCACCGGUCCAAGGGGGGGAGAAACAGGACCCUAAAUACUAGGUUAGUGAGGUGAAGAGGCGGGCGUCCCCUCCACUCCGCUUGACACUGUAGGCCUCCGGGGAAGAUUGUGAUGUGUGCUUGGUAUUUUUCUCCAAGACUCUGCUGGGCCUCUGGCACGGUGUAUGCAGUUGAGUUAGUCGAGUUUGUCUUCGAAAAUCAGGUGAAAUACCCCUGUAAUCUGUUUAUCGUCAGGUUUUGUCGAGGAGCCCCUGCGACACACAUCUGCCUCAGUCGGCUGCCAGGCCCCACCCCCGCUCAUUGAUAUUUUACACCGAUAUUUUAUAAUACACAUGGGUAACUAGGUACAGAAAAUUGUUCAACCAUGACUUCCUGUUUUAAAGGGAUAUAAAUAUGAGAUAACAAUAGGCAAGACCAUGGAAUAUAGCUGUGAUGUGCAGCAAAUGGUUGUGGAGCUUCACAAAAUGGUAAGUGACUAUAAGAAAAUAGCAAAAGCAUUGGAAAUGCCCAUUUUCAUCAUAAGGGCAAAAGGUGCGAUGCUGCAGUCAACUGGAAAUGUUGUGAAUCAACCCGGAAGAGGGCCUAUUUCAAUAUUGAUUCAAUGCACUGAAGAUAAUGGUUAGAUUGGACAAAAAAUCUCCAAGGAUCACAUUUGGAGAAAUGCAAAAGUUGGUUGCAUCUUUGGGACAGAAAGUCUCCAAAACUACAAUCUGACGUUACCUACAUAACACAAAUUGUUUGGAAGAGUUUCAAGAAAAAAAGCCUAUUCUCUUCUCUUAUCCAAAAAAGAAUUUAAGUGUUUUCAGUUUGAAAGAUAUUACUAGAACUUCAAAUGGAAUUUGGGUUCUACGGUCAGAUGAAACCAAAAUAGAGCCUUUUGGCAAUAAACAGCAAAGGUGUGUUAGGGGCACACACAGAGGUAGCCAUAAGGGAAAUUACCUCAUGCCCAUGGUUAAAUAUAAUGGUGGCUCUUUAAUGUUUUGGGGCUGUUUUUUCUGCCAGAGGAUCUGGACAUUUUGUUAGGAUACAUAAUCCAAAACAUUCAUGAAAAUCAACACAAAAGUGGUUUAGUGACCACAAAAUCAAGGCACAGCUAUGGCCAUCCCAGUCCCCUGACUUGAACCCCAUUUUGUAUGGAGGAAAGGCCUCAUAUCUCUUGACAUGUGUUCUCCAAAAUUGGGUGUUAAACGAAAAGACUUAGCGCUGUUAUCUUGCCAAAGGGAGAUUGCACAAUGUAUUGACUAAAAGGGCACCAAUAAUCGUGCUAAACAUAUAUUUAACAAAGUUUUUUUUUUUUUUUUUGAUAAACCUGUUUUGUAUUUGCAAUGUUGGAUAUCCAUGAGAGCAGAGUAUUUUAAUGCAUUUUUGAAAAAAAUAAAAAAAUUCUCCUUCUUUGCUCAUAUUUACAAAGUGUGCCAAUAUUAGUGGAGGGCACAUUUAGUAAGUGAGCAGGGCCGGACUGGCCCACCGGGAUACCGGGAAAUUUCCCGGUGGGCCGUCGGCACCUGGGGCCGGGCGGCCAGCUGGCUCCCCUACGGCCGCAGAGGGAGCUCCUUUGGCGGCCGCAGGGUUUGCUGGCUGUUCUUGCGGCCGCAGGGGGAGCUGGCUGUUGUGUCUCUGCUCCUCCUCCCCAGCGCACUACAAAGAGACCGGGGCCGGAAUAUGACAUCAUAUUCCGGCCCCGGUCUCAUUAAGCGGCGCGCAGGGGAGGGGGAACAGAGACAAAACAGCCAGCUCCCCCUGCGGCCGCAAGAACAGCCAGCAAACCCUGCGGCCGCCAAAGGAGCUCCCUCUGUGGCCGCCAGCCGCCAGUCCCCACAGGUAGAAAUUGUGUAUGUGUGUGUGUGUGUUUCAUUUGUGUGUGUGUGUGUCUGUCUGUGUCAUGGUGUGUGAGUGUCUGUCUGUGUCAGCAAUGUGUGUCUGUGUCAUUGUUUGUGUCUCUGUGUCCUGGUGUGUGUGUCACUGUCUGUCAUGGUGUGUGUGUGUCUGUGUCAUUGUGUGUGUCUCUAUGUCAUGGUGUGUGCGUCUGUGUCAUGCAAUGUGUGUCUGUCAUUGUGUGUGUGUGUGUCUGUGUGUGUUUGUCUGUGUCAUGUAAUGUGUGUCUGUCUGUCACGGUGUGUGUGUGUCUGUGUCACGGUCUCUGUGUGUCGUGGUCUGUGUGUCACGGUCUGUCUGUGUCAUGGUGUGUGUGUCUGUCUGUGUCACGGUCUGUGUGUGUCAUGGUGUGUGUGUGUGUUUGUCUGUGUCAUGUAAUGUGUGUCUGUGUCACGGUCUCUCUGUGUCGUGGUGUGUGUGUCUGUGUGUCACGGUCUGUCUGUGUUAUGGUGUGUAUGUGUGUCAAGGUGUGUGUGUCUUUUUUAAGGUGUGUGUCUGUCAUGGUGUGUGUGUGUGUGUGUGUCUGUCUGUGUCAUGGUGUGUGUGUGUUUCUGUCUGUGUCAUGGUAUGUGUGUGUGUAUGUUUGUUUUUACUCACUUUUUUUUUCCCCACGUCAUGCUGGUCUCCCCUCGUCCUGCCUCUACGGCUGAGAUCAUCAAGCUUGAUGAUCUCAGCCAAUCCGCACUGACACAGGAAGCACCUCUAGUGACCGUCUGAGUGUCUGUCACUAGGAAGCAAUGACUCUUAAAAGUCAGUGUUUACAUUGAAAAGCCUGCAGGGACCGGCUAUAGACACCAAUACCACUACAUUAAGCUGUGUGUGUGUGCGCGCGCUUGCUUGUGUGUGUGUGUGUGUGUGUGCCUGCUACUGAGUGAGCUUGUGUUUUUAUGUCAAUAACCUUAUGUAUGAGGCUGUGUAUCAAUCCGCUUGUGUCAGUGAGAUUGUCUGUGUAUGCAUGUGAGUAUGCUUACUGUAUGUCCUGACGAAAGCUUGAGGGGAUCAAGCUGAAACGUUGACCUUGUGUUGUUUUAGUGGAGGUAAUAAAAGUUAUAUUUUAUAUUAGUCCUUGGAGUGCUAUCUCUGGCAAUAUUUUUUGCAUUUUUGGCUGACAAGCACCGGGCAUUGAAUAUUGAAUUGGUGGAGUGCAAGAUCCGUUUGGUUUUAUAUAUAUAUAUAUAUAUAUAUAUAUAUAUCUCAAUCAUCUAGGGUUGCAAGACAUAGCCUACAUUAUUACAUGCGACAAUAUAUGGCGCAAUGACUUAUGGGGCUGGCAUAGAUUUUUUUUCCAGGGCUGCUUUGGAAUCCCCAGUCCGGCCCUGCAAGUGAGAACAUAAUUCAGUUUAGUCCAGUCACAGGCAUGGCACACAAUGUAAUUGAAGAGAACAGUAAAACAAUUUAUGUCUUCUCUUCCAUUUAAAAUUUAAAAUAAAGGGCAAGAUUUAGAACCAUAAUUGUCAUUUUAUUCAAGAUGGAGGCACCUAGUUCCAGGAUAGGGGUACAUACAGCAGGAUGGAUUUCUGAAUUAAAUAUUAUUUUUCAAAUCUAAAAAAUAAACAAAUUUUAUGAAUAUAAACGUAACAUUACAAGUCCUGGAAAGUGACAGUUUUGCUAUAGAGCAUACUGAUCUGGGAAAGUGACAUGUCUCCAAUAAAAGCAGGCUUAUCUGGACCAUACAUUAAAGUGUGUUUUCAUCAAUGUCCCUUAAAUUUGUCAAAAGAGCAUCCUUGCAUAUCAACAUUCAGCUCUUCUAAGACUGCGGAAGCUUUUUUUUUGAUGACUAGGUUUUGAGUUAGGUUCCAUUAUCUUUGCCAUUAUGUUAGGAUAGUGCACAGCUGUGCAAGACAUUGACAUGGAACAUAUUCAAUACUAUCAAUUAGCGACUGGAUUUGCAAUGUGGGUAUUUUUUAUUUUAUUUUAGAAUUUGCAGAGUUAGUAGAUGUGGUGUAUAUAAGGGUAAAGUACAUAAGGCAAUUAGUAUUUACUUGUCUUGACUAUUAAGGGAAAAAAUAUAUAUAAAUAUAUAUAUAUAUAUAUAUUUUUGUAGUAGCUCAUAUAUUAUUAACUAUGUACUCUACAAUGUCUUUAAAAUAUAUUUACAAUAAUGAGUUUCACUAUUUUAAACCGUACUUAAGUAUAUAACUAUUACUAUUCUGUAUUGAUGUAUGUGUAAUGUUUUUUAUAGAAACUUUUAUAAACUUAAUAUAGAUUAAACGAUUUAUAAACCAGUGAACAAUGGAGAGAUGUUGAUAGAAAGUCGAGCACAAGAUUAGAGGAUUUCAUAACAAGGGAUCUGUUUGGUUAUCUCUGUUCUUCUUACACUUUAUUUAAAUAUAUGCUGCUGAGUUAUGGCCGUGGGAGUAGCCAAACCUGAUGGCAUCUUGAGCUAGCUCCACACCUGCUCACAAUAAUGGGCUCAUCCUUAGCCCAUGUUACUCCAUAAAUGGGAUUAAAUAAUGUCAGAAAUGGUCAGCAAUAACCCUUCAACUGUGUACCAAGUAAAACAUAUCACACGUGUAGGGUGCUAAAUGGAGUAUAACAAGAAAAUGGAGAAAGAAGAAACUAUAUAGAAACACCAUAGCACACCUCAUCUAUUCAGAUGAUUCUUUAUUAAUACAAUAAUAAAUAUGCAAUAAAAAUACGAUGAGAAAAGAGGAACAAAGCAAAGAGUGUAUCUAUAAAUGUGAGACAGGAAAAAUCCAUUAAGACUUAACUUUUAUUAUAGUUAAAUUAAAAAGACAAUGUAAAGUAUAAUAUAAAAUCAAAUAUACAGAUUAAGUCCUCUCUGUAUUUGUUAGUAAUAGGCAAAAGAUCCGGAAAAUAGCAGUGUAUCCAACAGAGACAAUAUAUUAUUGUUGCUAUAUGGUAAUAUCAAUAUAGAGCAGCUUAGGGGUGGAGAGGAAAAAAAAAUAUAUAAAGAGAGGAUAGUAAAUAACCGAAUACUCAUGAUAGUAACGGCUAAUGUGCCUUCGAGGGCCACCACUUAAUAAAACCUACUCUCACACUAAGCCACCCAUCUUGCCCAAUCCCAGAGGAAACUAAGUGAUAGAGCAAAAUUUGAGGACUAAUCAGUUGUAUAGAACAGAGGUAGCUGAAUUUCCAGGUAUCAGUUGCCGCGGCUGGAUGUGCGGUAGUGAAAGGCUGACACAUAUGGUAUGCUGAAUCUACUACCUGAGCCCCCAACAGGAAGUAUUUAAGGACGUAAGCAGCCAUCCAGUUAUAAAUAGCAGAGAGGCAGUCAGAGACACAAAUCAAGGGGGGUGGCAAGAGAUCAGGAGAAGACAGAUUUGCAUGUCAUCCACAUAGAAAUGAUUUGGAAGCCAAAGGAGCUGAGGAAGUUAGCAAGGGAUGCAGUAUAGAGCGAGAGCAGUAGGGGACUAAAAUUAGAACCUUGUGGAACACCAACAGAGAGGGGUUGCAGAGAAGAGGAAGAGCCAGAGAAAGAAACAUUGAUGAGAACCAGGAGAAAGCAGUGUCUUGUAGACUGAGAUCACUGAGCAUGAUAAUAAGUUGUUGAUAGUCAACAGUGUCUAAAGCAGUAGCAAGGUCAAGGAGAAUUACGAUAGAGUAAAGACCACUAGACUUUUCAGCAAUUAAAUCAUUGGAAACUUUGUGUGUCGGACCGCCUGGUACCUCGCCUGGGUAUCUCCGCCAAUUGCGCUUCCUAGUAGUCGCCGAGUACCAUAAGCACUGUAGCCCCCCCUAGCCGCCUGGAUCCAGCUCCCAGUGGGAAGACCUCUCCUCCAAGAGAGUAUCGCAGAUAUAGCAGUGAUUAUAGCAGUAUAGCGGUUCCCCCCACACAUGAAUCAAGGAUUAAUGCUGGGAGUAGUCUGUUUAUUCCAGCCAAAUAGCUCACUUAUAUACAAAAUCUGAGCACAGUGACAUGCUCAAAACACACCCAAGAAAAACAGUGUCACCAUGACUCAGCAAACCUAUACAAAAUAUAAAAACACAUAAAAAUACAUAUUUCCCCACAUAGGAACCCCCACAGUCUAUACAUCCCAGGAUAGCCUGGUUCUGAGUGCCCAGGUUGUCCAAAUAGCACUCAAAUCCCACAAACACAGCCAAAUCGCCACCGGGGUAAAGUUCAGACCGGCCGCACAUGAUGCUUCUGCCCAAAAUAGUUCCAUGAAAUCAGUGCUAGCGGUCAGUCUCUUUCGGGAGUACAAAAGUGAAUAAAAUACCGAACAUAAUCAUAAUUACAAUGUGUAGCUUGUUCACCUCAUCCAUGUAAACGAUUCCACCGAACAGUCCACUUCCAGGUUGAGUAGACACGAACGCAGGCGAUGAUGGAAGUCCAGUGGUGUUCAGGAGUUUCAGUGUCCGUUUUUGGUUCCGCUGCCUGCGUUCACGGGAACAAGAUGGCUGCCACCUCGUGGUCGUUAAUACGAACUGUGGUCACUCAGACGAACAAUUAGAACACUGAGGUGGAAAUCGCUACAAGGUGUCAAAUGGGCUUAACAAGCACAAGGGUAGCCCCUAGUUUGUGCGGUUGUUUGGUUCCUGAACGGUAUAGGGAAAUUACACGAACCAAGCCAUUUAAAAUGCAUUUUACAGUUCUAUCUGCAGGGCCCAUAGUCCCGAGGCAGGAAGCUGGUUACGUACGUCACACUUUGAUCAGAGCCGUUUCAACAGAGUGACGAGCGCAGAAUCCAGACUGAAGUGGGUCAAGCAGAGAGUUGGAUUUAAGGAAGUUGGUCAGUCUUGUGAACACAACUCUCUCAAGGAGCAUGGAGGCAAACGGUAGUAAGUAAGAUCGGCCAUGUGAUGGAAGCUCUUAUGCCACAGCCUUCUUAAAUGGCGUUAAGACUAGCCUACUACCCACAGACUAUCGGCCUGGCCCCAAGAGCUUCUAAAAGGUACUGUUGUCUCUGUGGAGGUGGGGCCCCGACUGCUUGUUGUAUUUGUAAUAGAAGUUUUAUAUACUCAUAUAUACAGAGUUAUGAGUGUCUGUAUGUUUCCCUAUAUGACAUAGUUAUAUGUAUUAAAUUGAAUGUAUUAAUUGUCUGGGUUCUAUGUGCUUUUCCAUAUUCCCUUUUUUCCUGUCUUAUUUUUUUCCCAGCGGGGCAUUUUUCCAAUUGUUCCUGGGACACUUCCAGACCAGUCCUAAUUGUCUGCCCUGUCACUCCUUUAAAUUUCCCAUCUGGUAUUCAGCCGUUGUUAAUGUUGUACCACAGUUCUCCAGUCAUACUUCUUGUACUAUAAUUAAGAUUUUUAGUGUGAUUGGUUGCCAUCCCAAGUCCAAACUGCCAUUGGUGGACUUGGGCUCACUGUCCUGUUUGGGAGGCAUUGUGGUUGAGGAUCUGAAGAGGAAUUUUGUGUUCCCCUGUAACCCUAUUUUAUGUAAAUGAGGCGGUUGGUGGUAUAAAAGCUGUUUUCAACAAAGGUUGUUGUUCUCCCCUUGACUAAGUAUCAUUAAAGUGUUUGGGGAGGUGGGCUAUGAUCAUGGAAGCAGCAUUUCAUCCAGCCUGAGGGGACUUUAGCGGAGAUACUAAGCUGGAGUAUUAGAGCUCUGCUACAUUAGGUGGCAUCGGCAGGAUGCUCCCUCUCCUGGGAGAAUCUCUAAAUGAGAACCGCUGAAAACUGAAGCAGCCAUAGCAUCUGAAUUUCAACUGUGGGAAGAAUUUAAUCUGCUUAACAGGCCAGUUUUCGAGAAGGAAAGCUUGGGGCUAAGAAAUCAUAUCCGCUUGGAGUUGUAGGAAAGGCUCUCCAGUUUGAGAGGAUAUGAUGCAACAUAUAUCUCUCAACUACAGGGCUGCACAUUCAGGAUCAAAUAAAGUGGCAGAUGCCAUUUUUGGGAGAGCAGCCCAUGGAUGAAUGGAUUGGUGAACUCAAGAUACUUUAAGUACAGAAGAUUGGCUGGAUGAGUAUUACCAGUAGUGGCGUACAUACCUGGGUCACAGGGGUUGCGACUGCGACCGGGCCUGGCCCACCAGGGGGCCCAGCUGCCCUGCGACCCGGUAUGUACCCACUGUGGCCAGCCUCUUCUCCUGGGGGGCCCAGGAGCCGGCCACCUCAGGGCCCUGGUGUCACCCGGCUGGCAGGCUGGCAGGCACGCGAGGGAGCACUCUCCCCUGAGUGCUUCCUCUUCAGCUCCCUCGCGCACUGCACUGAUACCGGAGCCGGAAGAUGACGUCAUCUUCCGGCUCUGGUAUCAGUACGCGGCGCGCGAGGGAGCUGAAGAAGGAGCACACAGGGAAGCGUGCUCCCUCGCGCGCCCGCCAGCCUGCCCGCCAGGUGACACCACUGGACCCCAGGGAAUCCCCUCAGCUCUCCAAAAGGUAGGGAGGCUGGGGGGAUUAAACUUUAAAAAAAAAAAAAGUGUUAGUGUGUGUGUGUGUGUGUGUGUGUUAGUGUUAGAGUGUGUGUGUGUUAGUGUGUGUGUUAGUGUUAGAGUGUGUUAGUGAGUGUGGUACUGUGUGUGUCUGUUACUGAGUGUCUUAGUUUGUGUGCGUCUACUAGUGAGUGUGUGUUUUGUAAAUGAGUGUGUGUGUCUAUCAGUGAGUGUGUAUGUAUGUCCCUCACUGAGUGUGUGUCUGUCAGUAAAUGUGUGUGUCUGUUAGCUAGUGUGUAUGCAUCUGUUCAUGAAAGUGUGUGUGUGUCUUAAGCACUUACCUUUCUCCAGCGCUGGACUCCCUUGGCGCUGGGGAUCUCUCCGCCCCGAUCCGCCUCUAAGCUCCGAAUGCGAAUGCCUGGCAAGAGCCGCGCGCGCAUUCAAACCGCCUAUAGGAAAGCAUUACUCAAUGCUUUCCUAUGGACGUUCAGCGUCAGCGUCUUCUCACUGUGAUUUUCACAGUGAGAAUCGCAGAAGCUCCUCUAGCGGCUGUCAAUGAGACAGCCACUAGAGGCUGGAUUAACCCUCAGUGAAACAUAUCAGUUUUGCUGAAACUUCUAUGUUUUCAGCUGCAGGGUUAAAACUAGAGGGACCUGGCACCCAGACCACUUCAUUGAGCUGAUGUGAUCUGGGUGUCUGUAGUGGUCCUUUAAGUGUAUGUGUAUCUGCAUGCACUGGCGUACAUACCGCGGUUGCAGGGGUCGCAGCCCUGCGAACGCUGCGACCAGUUGCCCGCCGCCAUGUGUUGCGGCCCCAGCCCGCACAGAGUAAGCGCGCGGGGGGUCCCACGGAUCAGUUUUUGCACCAGGGCCCCAUGGGUUGUGUUUACGCCACUGAUUACCAGGCCUUGUGGUGGCAUGCGAUCCAGCUAUAUCCGUAGCUGAUCGAUAACAACCAUACCGAGGGUAAGGACUACGAUGGACCUGGUCUAUUGUGGGAGUCCUUUGAUGACAAUAUUGAGUUCGGAAGUCCUGAGGAGUUUGGAUUCUGGAAUAAUAGGAAAGACCUACUGGACCUCUUAGAAGUAACAAAGCUGAAACCAGCUCUGAUUCAUCUGGCCACCAUGGAGUGGGAGCUUCAGCUAGACAAUGAUCACUGAAGUGGCAUUUCUUACAGCCUGAAGUGACUUUAGCAGAGAUACUCAGCCAGAGAAUUGAAGCUUUGCUACAGGGGGUUAGUUGGAUGUGGAGCUUUUAGAAUCAGGGUCGCGGUUGCAUGCUUGAGGUUUGAAGGAAAAAUGCCAGAUGAGAGGGAAUGCCACGUCCUGUUCCAUUCUACGGAUAUUUCUGGCCUUGGUUUCUGUUAUCCAAUACUCUUUUUACAAUUCUUGUUUAGUUUUUCUGGUUUUCUAUUCUAUGUCUGGUUUUCUUUAUGCUGGGUUUUCUGGAUUCAUUCCUUUAUUGCGUUCCUGGAAUUCCCAGUCUCCUGAAUUCCCUUUAAAUGUUUGUUUUUUGUUGUCACACCCAUUCCUUUUCCAUUAAUCCUUUUUAUUUUAGAGUGUUUCCUGCUUGCAGUGGUUUCAUUUCCUCUGCACCUUUCCUUGCAGGUAAAUACUGUGUGCUUUAUGGUUAUACAUUUGGUCAUUUAUAUCUAGGCAGUUAGGACCAGUGGCGUACAUACCAGGGUCGGUAUGUACCCACAGGGCCAGCCUCUUCCCCUGGGGGGCCCAGGAGCCGACCACCCCAGGGCCUCCUGAGGCUGGCCCUGCUGACACCCGGCAGGCGGGUGGCCGGUCGGGCAUGCGGGCGCACGAGGGAGCACUCAGUGCUUCCUCUUCAGCUCCCUCGCGCACCGCACUGAUACCGGAGCCGGAAGAUGACGUCAUCUUCCGGCGCCGGCAUCCCUACGCGGCACGCAAGGGAGCUGAAGAGGAAGCACUGAGUUCUCCCUCGCGCGCCCGCCUGCCCGACCGGCCACCCGUCCAGGAGCCCAGCAGUACCACUGGACCCCAGGGAAUCCCCCCAGCACUCCAAAAGGUAAGGAGGCUGGGGGGAUUACAUUUAAAAAAACAAAACAUGUGUGAGUGUUAGAGUGUGAGUGUGUGAGUGUUAGAGUGUGCGUGAGUGUUAGAGUGUGUGUGAGUAUUAGAGUGUGUGUGAGUGUUAGAGUGUGUUAGAGUGAGUGUUAGAGUGUGUGAGUGUUAGAGUGUGUGAGUGUUAGAGUGUGAGUGUUAGAGUGUGAGUGUUAGAGUGUGAGUGUUAGAGUGAGUGUUUGUGUGAGUGUUAGAGUGAGUGUUUGUGUGAGUGUUUGAGUGAGUGUUAGAGUGAGUGUUAGAGUGAGUGUUAGAGUGAGUGUUAGUGUGUGUGUCUGCUAGUGAGUGUCAGUGAGUGUGUUACUGUGUGUGUCUUACUGAGUGUGUGUGUUAGUGAGUCUGUUUGAUGUCUGUUAGUGAGUGUGUGUUUGUCAAUGAGAGUGUAUGUUUUGUGAGUGUGUAUGUAUGUCUGUCGCUGACUGUGUCUCUGUCAGUAAAUGUGUGUGUCUGUUAGCUAGUGUGUAUGCGUCUGUAAGUGAGAGUGUGUGUGUCUUCAGCACUUACCUUUCUCCAGCGCCGGACUCCCUUGGCGCUGGGGAUCCCUCAGCCUCUCAGCUCUGAAUGCGACCGCGCACGCAUUCAAACCGCCCAUAGGAAAUCAUUACUCAAUGCUUUCCUUUGGACGUUCAGUGUGCUCCUCUAGCGGCUGUCAGUGAGACAGCCACUAGAGGCUGGAUUAACCCUCAGUGAAAUAUAGCAGUUUCUCUGAAACUUCUAUGUUUUCAGCUGCAGGGUUAAAACUAGAGGGACCUGACACCCUGACAACUUCAUUGAGCUGAUGUGAUCUGGGUGUCUGUAGUGGUCCUUUAAGUGUGUGUGCAUCUGCAUGCACUGGCGUACAUACCGCGGUCGCAGCCCUGUAACCCCUGCGACCAGGUGCCCACGGGGGGGGGGCCCACGGAUCAAUAUUUGCACCGGGGCCCCAUGGGUCAUGUGUACGCCACUGGUUAGGACCCACCCUAAUCAGAGUACUUUGGCGCAGUGGUGGGCUGCAUACAUCUUCGCCAUUUAUGUAUGUCUAAAUCUCCAAUGUUUAUUACAUAUAUAGUACUUAGUUAUUUCUCCUCUUGUUUUGCCUUGUAUCUCUUGUCUUGUUUUAUUUUGUCUUGUAUUCCCAGUUCAUGUACAGUCCUGUCCUGUCCUGCCUUGUCCAUGUUUCUCUCAUGUAUUGUGUACAUGUUCUGGGUUCUGCUUUCUGUCCUGCUCAGGUUCUGGGUACUUCCAGUCUUGUCUUGUUUUCUUGUUUGGUGCCUGUUCUAGUCUUGCCUUGUUUCUGUACUUGAUACUUAUCUGCUUAAUAUCAGCUCCUGGCAUCCGUUAAGCUGCAUCAGGCUCUGGUAUGUGGCCGCACAAACCCUGGUGCUCAACACCAGGGGGCGUGUCGUUACCGUGCACCAGACCCUGAUUGUCCAUUUCCACUCUGAGACUCCCAUCAUCCUCAUCAGGUACACAGGGGUCACGGUCUUCGGACCGCCACCCGUGACAGGGAAAGAUUUUAUAUUUUAGUGAGGGGCAGAGCAAGAGAAGGAGACCGAGUGUGAAUGACAUAUGAGGGAAAAGGAUUGAGGAAACAAGUAGUGGGGUGGCAAGACCAGAGCAGAGCAAAAAACUCUUCUGGUGUAGUAGGUGCGAGUGAACAUAGAACGGCGGAGUAAGUGGGGAUGGAGGAAGUAUUGGUAGGGAAAUGAGAGAUAUUAGAGAUUUCUUUCCUGAUCACAGAAAUCUUCUCAGUGAAGUGAAUUGCGAAGUUUGUAGUGAUCAAUUUAGUAGAAGGAAGAGCAGCAACAGUAGGCAUGUGCAUGGGGAAAAUUUUCGGUUCGGCAUUCUGAAAUUCGGGAUUUUCGCAAUUCGGGACUUCGGCAAUUCGCACUUCAGCAACUUCGGAACUUCAGCACUUCAGCACUUUGGAAAUUCAGUCAUUUCGGAACUUCAGGACCUCUGCAACUCGGCACUUUGGCAGUUCGGACAUUCGGAAGUACCCGUAUGUCCGAAUUUCCCGAAAUUCGUCCGAAUUCAUAUUCGGACCGAAACGAAUUGCACAUGUCUAAGUAACAGGGCGAAGAUAUCUGGACAUAAUAAUAAUCAACAGUUCCUUAACAGGUCUUAAAAUUAGGUAAAUGCAACCUCAGAUAAACAACACACCUACCUUACAUUGAACUUGUGAUGCACAUGAUCUGUGAAUGACUUUGGAUGCCUCAACUGCCCAACAGUGCUAAGGAUCCCAGAGGGCUUCACUGAGGACAGACAGAGAACAUUCCCAAUAAUUAUCUGUUCAUUCUACAAAUGGUUGUGAAUGGGACAGUGACCUAGGUCUGCAGAUCAACUGCAUGUAGAUCUGAUUCGGUGUACUUCUGUCCGUCCAAUCCUACAGCAAUAAAUCACACUUAAAAACAACUUGUUUUACUCUUCUCCCAACCACACAAAAACGUCCUACUGAAAUGAGCUAAGGGUGCAGAAAAUGCCAACAUAUUCCUGCCCUAUACAGAAGAAGACCUACGUGGUGGCAUGAGCGAAAAAAAUCUAUUGCAUUUAUAAGAUUUUACUGAAAAGCGAAUUCCAUUAUGAGUGUGCAAGUAAUGAAAUAUAAUAGCAUAAUCAAAAUAUGUGUUUAGGAAUUGUCUUAACAAACUAUGACUAUAUCAUAAGUUCAUGCACCUAGCUGAUGAAAUGCAGACAUGUCUUCCUACAGCGAUCCAUUCUCUCCAAUAUUAGCAGAACCUUGGAAUCCUGCCAUUGAUAGUUAAGGUGUUUUUCCCAAGUAAUUGUGUAUAAGCUAAUUGAUUGUAUUUAUUUGAUUUAUAGAUCCUGUGUUCAUAACACGAUAAUUGUAUAUCCUUGACAGGAAAUUACAGCAAUCGGUUGUAUUUUAAUGAUCAAUUUAAUGGUUAUUAUAGAAAUUAUUUAAAACCCAAGCUUGCUUUACCAUCAUGUUCACCCUUGCUCAAUAAAUUUAGUUAUUUACUAAAGAGUGAAAUGUCUGUGAUUUUGGCAAAAUAGCCAAACUGAAUGUUGACUUAGAGAUAUUAUUUUUCUAAAUUGUCCGUUUUAGUCUAAAAUUUGAAAUUCACUUGAAUUCCUUACAGUUCACUCUUUAGUACAUAGCCUUGUUUGUCUUUAAAACAAAAUAGCUUUUGCAGGUAAGCCUAGUGGUAAUGCUGAAUGUAGAUUUUAAAUUUAAGGUAAAAAUACCUGAACUGAAAAAAUUAUCUAAGUCAGCUAUGCUUUCUACUUAUGCAGGUGGAGCGCAAAAUCAGUUCCAAAGUCUCAGAAAGAUCUUGAGAUUGCUUCAACUCAGAUAUAUAUAAAAAUAGAAAACAUAUAAUAGUGAAGCACAGCAACAAUUAAAUACAUUUAUUUUCCACACUAGACAUAAAACACUCCUAUCCACAUCAAAGGGUCAGAGUCGUGGACAUUACAAUAAUAACAGAAAAAAUAGCCUCUCAAGAUUAAAAAAGUGAGUAUAGGCAGUCGCAGCUGCUACUCACAAAUGCUUAGUGGUGCCUCUGCACGGCUCGAUCAACACAGCAGCCGGCUUCCACACAUCCUCCACCAAUAGACAGUCUCACUGUGAACUCCGCCCACCAGUAAUUUCGCCGUUAAGCUUCAUCAGGACGUCAGACAGUAUCCCAUACUGUUCAAGUGAGCUGUGCAGAAACACUGGCAUUUGUAUGAUAUAUGAAGAUGUGACUUUAACCAGGUAGUGCAGAAAUAACCAUAUGAUUAAAUUAUAUAUCUCUCAUCCCCUUGAGCCUUCCCUGUGGUAAAGUAACACAACCUAUGGUUGGAACAAAUUAGGUUUGCUCAUCUUAACAGUAAAACAGUAAGAUAAGGCUAAGUAAUGGAUGUGAACACUUUUGAUGUAGUCAGAGGGACAAUAGAUCAAUAGUUAAACAUAAUACUCUCACCUUACAGAAACUGCACAAGGAUGCUGUUUGUAUGUGCUGUGUGUUUGUAAUCACAUAGACCUUGGCCCUCUUUCGACUUUAUUCUAGCACUCAUCCUCAUGCUAUUAUCUUGGCUAUCUCUUCUUUAACCCUUUCAUUUUCUCUAUAUAUUUUUGUGUUAAAUGGUUUUUUAUUCCGUUUGCAGUAUAAUAGCAGACAUAGAAUGAGUUUGAAAGUUUGGUGCAUUAUUGCCUGCGCAGAGGCUUAGUAUGUCUAAUAACAGUAAUUUUACAUGAGCCUACGCAGAGGCCAUAUAUGUCAAGACAUUAUAAUAUCAUUCAUCAUUACGUAGUGAGUACAUAAGAUCAGAGUCGGGUACAUGAGUUGCAUAUUACUUGGUGAACAUUUCUGGCAUGUGAGAGGUAAGUAGGGAUAAUUACUAGGCAUGUUUGUGUUGCCUUCCUUCUUGUUUCCCGUAUUUAGUGGUUUAGUUAGCUAGUUUAACAUUUUCCCUGAUGAGGGUGUUUUGCAUAGGUAGCGGGAUUCAUGCCGUGUGUGAGUACGAGUGUCGGGUGGGUAUGAGUGGUGUGGGCGUCUUCCGCGUCGUGUGACGGUGCUAUCAGGGUUAUCCCACGGUCUUCGAGUUGGGUAAGUAUGGGUUGGUUUUUCAGUCCGUGGAGAGUUAGAAAGAAAGAAGGAGAAAAAAAAAAGGGGGGGUUGCGUUGCCCCAGUCACCGCCCCUGCCUGCCCUAUAUAUAUUUUUGUUUCUAUAUGAUUGUCUUGUUUUAUGCCAGCUGUCAUCUUUCCUUCGUCAUUCCUUCUACCUUCUUUAUUUUAUUCCAGCUCUCUCUUUUCUUUCAAUUGAUCUAAUCUCUUCCAUUUUAUUUCCGUUAUCCGCAGACCUUUAUUUCAGUUAUUUCUCAAUUUAUUUUAUCUUUUAUUUAAGAUUUCUUCUUUUCUUUUAUUUCUACUCACUCUUCAUCUCCCUGUCCCAGCUACAACUUCCCAUUUGUAUUCCAGCUAUAAUUUCUUUCUCUCUCUUUAACAGCUUUUUAUAAGAGGCGCACUUUUCCAUAACUUCAGAAAUAGACAACAUAAAAUAAGCAUGAUGGUAUGUAUGUAAAAACGCAGUUCAUAAAUGCAUGUUUGUAGUUCAAACACGUGUCAGUGAAGUCAGAAUUCUUUAACUGCUCCGAAGUCAGUUACCAGAUGUUACAAUCCCAGAGUGUUAUCCAAAGGGGAAUUCACUAUAAAUAUGCAUGUAUCCAGUGUCUGAAUACAUGAAUGUCUACAUGCUUUUGUAAUGUUGUGUGUGUGUGUGUGUGUAUAUAUAUAAUUGUGGUGAAUAGACCUUGGAAGAUUGUUUUGCUACAAACUGCUAUUUGUCUGAAUUUGGUGAUCAGAGGAUUGUUUGAAUUCCUGAUUUCCGAAAAAAAGAUGAUUGAUGGCUAGGGCAGCCACUAAAUGUUAAUGUUUAUAAUAAAUGCUCUUACUCACAAAUCUAGUUUGUGCACUUGUUUAAACAUGAGUUGCACAAGGUUUAAGUAGUUUUUUAAAUUACUGUAUGAUAGCAGAAAAUAUUUGAGGACUGUAUUACUUUAAGAACUGCGUUUUUUAUUUAUGGUGCAAAUUAUUCUGAAAUUACCAAACACAACAUUUCAACAGAUUAUUUAAGCCACUGACACCUGGGGUGUGGUACAAGCUGAAUUUUAGCAAAAUGAGAACUAACGCCUAUUGGGAAUGUAUAUAUUUUCUCGAAUUAUCCACUUCAGUUUGAUUUGUGCUGAUUUUUUUGUGUCAGAUAUGCAGUUUUGAGUAGAUACUUAUGAGCUGAAUCCUUUUAAAGGGUUAUGCUAAGCAUCACUGCAGUCUUCUGUAGUGGCUAUGAUGCCAGAGAUUUUCUGGCCCCAUUCCCUGGUAAUAGGACAAACAAUUUUGCAGUGGUUUUCCCCCUUCCGUGAGUUCCCACCAGGCUCAGAUGCUCACUGGUGCUCCAGUGACACUCUUCCGGCUUUUCCAGAGCCGCAGAAAAUAUAAGCUGUGGUGUCCUCAUUUGUUGGCAGAGAGCAUUAGCUGAGCACUCUCAACCAAUGACUGCAAUUCUGUGCAAUGAAAGUUGCACAGAAUUGACAUUAGCCAGACCAUCACUCUAUUUCUGGGAUUGUGUAUGGCAACCCUAUGAAGCUCCUAGAGGUGGAGUUAUACCUAUGGCACCAAAAGGGGUUAAAAUCCAUAUGUGCAGCGUUUCAAUGACAAACACUGCACAUAUAGACUCCAGGCAACAUGAUCACUUCAAAUCCUUAUGUGCACAUGCCGGAUAAUAAGUCCAGGAUCCUUUAGCUUAUGUCAUCACUGCUAUUUUAUUAUUUCACGUAGUACGACGUGUUAACAUCGUGUGAUUUGGCUCACUUGACAGUAUUGUUUCUUUAUGAUGAACAUUUACAAAUCAUGAUAAAAUGGAUAAUUCAUGUCUGGGAUUUAUGCCCUUUUCCUAAUGAAAAAAAAGAAGCUGAAUUUCUCAAGUGUAUAAUUAAUUUCAACAGAUAAGAACUACAUAGUCAUGUGUCCUCCCUUUAAUUAAAUUAUAUUCAUGAGAAGAAGCAUCUAUGAGAUAUUUGUGCCAUUAGGGACCUACUUGCUUAAUUGUAGCAUUAUGAAGCUAAAGCAUUUUGUAUACUAUUAUCUUUUUAAUGUGUGUUCUAGUUUCGAAUAUGAUUAUUAAAUAAGAUGGUAUGCAAUUUUAUUGCACCAAGAAUAUAAGCAUUAUUUUUGUCUUUGUCAUAUUAAAAUAACUUACACAUCUCUACAGUAAAAACAUUUUCAUGCUACCAUACAAGAAGAAAUUUCUACCUAUCGACCUAUGUAUCGACUUAUUUAGACAUUAUUAAAACCCCACUAUACAGAGCUAUUUGACCUUAAUUUUCUUAAUGUUUUCUCCGAUCGUUGUCUUGUUAUCAGACUUCUCCUCUGUCAUUUUACUUCCUAUUCUCUCCUUCGUUCUUCUUUUAGUAAUGAAUUAAAAUAUGCCAUUUAAUAAUUAUCCACACAUUAGCGACUGCUGAUGAGUCACUUACGAUGUUGACGCAAUUGCAAUCUCUCUGUUUUUAUACUUUUUGAAAAUUGUUUUAUCAUUAAUGGCUCAGUGAAAAAGGGCCCUAUAACCUCAUUAUAUUUCACUUGCAAUCACUGAACUGGAUUCUAAUGGGUUAUUUUUGUAUGUUGUUGUUGCUGAUGUUUUUUUGGCUGUUGUAUUGGACAUUAUUAUUUUCCGUUGAGAACCUGUUACAUCAAUGUUAAUAUUAAAUCAUUUAAUUAUUUGUUUCUUUCUUUUUUAACAUUAGUACUAACUGUAGGGGCAAACAACAAAAAGGAAUUUACAUUAAGACUGUUUACUCCAGGAGGUUACCCCCCUUGCCUUCAAGCGAGAUGGGUUCAGGGCGCUUGAGAUAUAUUUCAGGGAGCUAGAGAACUCACCACCUCACUCCUCUGUCCUCAAGCAUGGAGGACAUAAUUUAAAAUAGCAGGCCAUAGCUAAGUAUGCCAAGAGAAACUGGAUGCUGAGCAAGCCUUUUGGAUGUUCCCCAUGGUUUUGAAAAAUUCUUUCAUAGAUGUCAUGUAUAAGCCCAUUCUUUAAAAAAAAAAAAAAAAAAGAUUUAUUAUUAGAGUUGAGCGGACACCUGGAUGUUUGGGUUUGCCAAGUGCGGUCGAACUUCGUCAAAAAGUUCGAGUUCGGCUCAAACUUGUCACCGAACUUGACCCCGAACCUCAUUGAAGUCAAUGGGGACCCAAACUUUUGGGCACUAAAAUGCCUCUAAAAAAGUCCUGGAAAGGGCUAGAGGGCUGCAAAAGGAAGUAAAUGGGGGUAAGAGUAGGACAAGUGCCCUGCAAACAAAUGUGGAUAGGUAAAUCACUUAAAAUAACAUAAAAUAAACAGCCGUUUAGUAGAUAACUCCCUAAUUCCCACGGUAUUAGGGAGCUAUCUACCAAAAGGCUGAAAGACCUAAAUUGGUCUGUCAGCCACAUUUACUAAUACUAAGUAAAUUCAGCCCCUAGUCGCUAUACCACGAGUAGGGACAUGUCUAGUAAACAGUGAGCAGCCACUGGCUGCUCACUGUAAAAACCAAAAAAAAACAAAAAACCCUAAAGUAAAAUAAGGGGGGGGGGGGACCUACUGUCCUCCCCCACAGCCCCCACCCCUGGUCGGUGAUUGGGGGUCUUAAAUAACAAUGAGAGGGGGACCUACUGUCCUCCCCCCGGGCCCCGACCCCUGCGCGGUGGGUGGGGCCCUAAAUACCAAUUAGGAGGGGUGGGGGCCCUUAAUUAGAAUAAGGGGGGACCAAAUGUCCUCCCCCCUGACUCCCACCCGUGAACGGUGGGUGGGGGCCCUAAAUAAAAAUUGGGGGGGACCUAAUGCCCUCCCCCCUGGCCCCCACCCUAAAUAAAAAUUUAAACCCCCCCCCUGUAAACCACCUCCCCCCAAAAAAUAACCCCUACCUACCCCCCUCAUCCUAAAAAUAAUGAGGGGGGGGCCCUUAUCUAAAUACCUGUAAAAAAAAAAAAUAAAUAAACUUACCAUUUGAUGUCUUCUUUCUUCAGCCCCAAAAAAGGCCAAAUAAAAAUCCAUAAUAACCGACGCACUUAAAAAAACAAACAAAAAAAAAUGAGUGCAAAUUUUUUUUUUAUGGUGGCCAGCCUAAGGCCUGUGCAAUAAUCGUGUUGUCUAAUCAGCAUCUUGAUAUGCCACACCUGUGAGGUAGAUGGAUUAUCUCGGCAAAGGAGAAGUGCUCACUAACACAGAUUUAGACAGAUUUGUGAACAGUAUUUGAGAAAGUAUUUGAGAUUUUUGAGUUCAGCUCAUGAAAAAUGGGGACAAAAACAAAAGUGUUGCGUUUAUAAUUUUGUUCAGUGUGUGUGUGUGUGUGUGUAUAUAUAUAUAUAUAUAUAUAUAUAUAUAUAUAUAUAUAUAUUAUAAGUUUUUAAGCUUUUGCACUCCUACCUCCAGCCAAUAGUAUCGGCUGCCCAGCCACACUGCAAUAUAGAAAGUAAUCAAUUGCCUUCACUCCUGGAUUUCCAACAUCAAUAUGGCUUAUUGUCUUGAACCGAUGUUUCAGUUCCUAGUUUGGAACUUUCAUCAGGACACACAAAAAACAUCUUAAAAAUGACAGGCUUAUAUACAGAAUAAAUGAAAGAAAUAAUUACUCACCACUAUCAGCGGUUUUCCAUGUGGAACGGCUGUACCGGAGUUAGGACGCUUGAUUGAAUCACCCAGAUGAUUCCAUGUGCGUCGUUGGCUAGGGCCACCCGUUCACUACAUACUUCUGGCGUCUAUGCGUUGCUCUGGCUGCCGCCGAUAACAAUUGGCUAUUGGCUGCUCAAAGGGCCGCUGACAGCAGACGGAAUCUGUGUGUGGAUCCCGCCCAUGCCUCAUGUGCAUCAGGACGUGUUUCCAUAGCAACCGGACGCCAGUUUCACUUAGACGGAAUAAAACUGAGUACAAACUUAGGUUAAUCCGAUAAAUUACUAAGUAUAGCAAUUAGAUUCAACAUAGAGGUAAUAUACAUACCAAUAUAAUUCAGCUUAUACUCCCCUAUAACCAUAAGCAAUAAGUAAACUUUAGAUAAACUAGCAAAUACUUGUGAGUCUUAGAGAGGGAACUUUUGUUCCAAUGUACUUGUGCAAAAGACAAACUUUAAAUAUGAUAACAUAAAACAUAAUCAUAGCAUAUUAAAUUCUGUGAUCCAUUAUUUAAGUGAUGGUCCAUACUUCGUGGGACCAAAGAUAAUUGUGUUAUUCCUACAAGGGAUACAUCUAAGACAGUAGAAUAGUACAAUAUCACUAAAGAAGUGCAAAUUUAAAGUGACCGUGCAUAGGACUAAAGUGACAGCGCUAAUGUUUAUUCAAAAAAGGUAGAGGGCAUCUCAAAAUAAAUAUGUACCCUGAUAAUCCAUAAUAUGGGCAGUGUCAGUGUCCUAAGUAAGUACUAGGUAAUCAAAUUAAUUAUUAAAAAAAGUGAAAAGUGCAAAAUAAAAUCUUAUAUGUGUCCCCAACAAGUCUGGGGACACGGCCUUAAAGGGGCAGUGUCCCAAUCUUCCUGAUGUCCCAAAAAAGGUGUUUAAAGGGCCAGCACCCGUCACAUAAAGAGUCCAUAAGCCCCAAUAUGCCCACCGACAGUCUUAAAGGGCCAUACACACCAAAUAAAAGUGCAUAUUUUCACAAUCUCCCAGGGGCCAUAGUCACGCGGGAGGAGGCUGGCAAAUAGGCUUCUCCACAACCCAGGGAAGCAGGGCAAUUUGCCAUUUAAAGGGCCCGUUACAAAUAGCAGCUUGUAACAAGGUGUCAAUCCAUAUCUGCCAAGUGACCCUAUGUAGGGGGACCAGUCCCUAUUCUGCUCUGUGUCAGUGUGUAUCAGGGAACCUUAGGACAGGUGUCAAUCCAUAUCUGCCAAGUGACCCGAUGUAGGGGGAACAGUCCCUAUUCUGCUCUGUCAGUGUGUAUCAGGGAUCCUUAGGACAGGUGUCAAUCCAUAUUUGCCAAGUGACCCGAUGUUGGGGUAACAUUCCCUAUUCUGAUUCAGGCCAGUGUGUAUCAGGGAUCCUUAGACAGGUGUCAAUCCAUAUCCGCCAAGUGACCCGAUGUUGUGGGUAACAUUCCAUUCUGCUCUUGUGUCAGUGUGUAUCAGGACCACUGGAUAGGAGACGCUGAAGGUAUUAAACUGAUAAAAAUAGUACUCAAACACUCCACUCCUAUCUGGUGUCACAUUAGCUUGACAGCGCAGUGCCCCAAAUUUGCAGUAAGAGGAUCCCACCGCUCUUCCAUCUCCCUGUUACAAAAAUCACGCCGUACACGCCCACUGAUAGGAGACGCUGAAGGUAUUAAACUGAUAAAAUAGUACUAAACACACCACUCCUAUUGCUUAUAUUAGCUUGAAGCAUGCCCCAAAUUUGCAGUAAUGGUCCCAUUCCAGCCUCUCUUCCAUUUAAACUAAAAAUCAAUGAGUAUUUUUGAAUCUGGUUCUGAAGUAAUGAAUGUAUAAUUAAGUUUUUGUUACUCAUGCCUAGUCUCCCUCCUUUGUGACCUGCUGUAAGGGAAUGACUGGUUUGUUGACGGUGUUACAGUUUUUCCUCUACAUAAUCACAGUUAUCACCCCAUUUCUAGAUUUAAUUUAUGCUCCCACAUGAAUGUGCGAAUAACAGGCGAGCAGAUUUUAAUAAAAAACUGGCAUGUUUAUCACUCAGAAUGACAAGAGGUGGCAGGAUGAAUAUUUUGUGUGUCUGCAUAGAUUGAUGCAACGCAAGCAUAAUAUAAUAAUCUGUGUCACAUAACUAUAAAGAUGCAAAUUAUAUUUGUUUUCCAUAGCUGAAUUUUAUAGGCAGUGAUCAUUUCUAAUUUUUGAAAGGGCAAAUAGGCACAUGUUUUUGCUCCAUAUCAUUAUGGCUAAUGAUAAUUACGUGCACAUGAUUAUUCCAUAUAAGAAGGGAUAUACUGAGACCAUAUUAUAUCAGGCUAGGGAACACAGGCAAUAUCAGUGCAGUAACAGGCCUGAGACAUGUGACUGCCACACAGCUGUACUUUGAAUGCAUAUGUAGUCUAAACUUAUAGAAAAAUCUAUGUUACUGUCAUUUGUCAAUUGUUUAUUACCCCCAAUUUCCAGCUAACUCAGUUUCUAUAAUAUUGUAACUCAUAUUAUGUUUUACAAUAUUAGUUAUGAUAAUACUGAAAUUAGAUUAUUUUCAUAAGGAAAUUGUCUCCUGAAGGGAUCCAGUUCCGGAUUUGCCAUAAGGCCACUGAAACCACAGCCUCGGGGUGGCACAGCCAGUGGGGAGAUCAAAGAUCUUCCUCACCAGCAAGCCUGUUUUUCUCUUUUUGGUCCUUCUUGGUCUACCCCAUAGCCCUGAUCUAUUGUACCAGAGCAUUAAACAGAUUACACAGUGACGCUCUGAUAAAUAUUGGUACCGAGCUGUUUGCAUGCACAAGGGGUGCAGAUAGCAACAUCUCCCACCGGACCACAGGGAUCAGGAUUUACCCUUAACUGGCCCAAGGUAAGUCUCAGGAGCAUUGGUUGUAACCCGCCGGAGGAGGCCCUGCCUCUUUCAUGAUGAUGCCUGGGAAGGAGGGAGCCUGAGCAUCUGAAACAGGUAAGUAAGAAGGGUUUUUAACCCUUCCCAGGCCUAUGCCCAAUACUUUGAGGCGCAUGGACACUAUGAUGCUAGAUUUGUAUUCCUAAUGUUAUAGUGUUCAUUUAAGUGGGCAGGUGGGAAGAUAAGUACCAGGAGCCUUUGCUAGUGUCCUCUGUCCUCUGUGAGCCUCCUAUGCUUGAUAGCAGAGCUCCAGAGAGUUUUAUAAGGUGUAAAAUUCAGUUCUGCCCCAGGUCUUCCAGUAUCUGUGUAUACAGUGUCGCUUUGUAGGCUGGACAGGAAGUGGAAGGCAUACGUACCCACUAACACAUGAAAUACAUAAAAAUCAGGGAAAGCACUGAGUGAUGUACAUUGUAUAACAGUUACUACAGCUCUGCUAUCAACCAUAUGAGUGACCGGAUUACUGAAGACACUAAAAUGUAACCCAUCCCAAACCUAAACAAACCCAUUCCUUAUUCCUUGAUUUAAGCACUAAUGGUUUUAUGACUGCAAUGUCCAAUGUGCAAUAGGAGAAGGGUGUCAGGGGACACAUUAGAAUUCUGUUACAAAAAAACAUGUCCUGCGCUCAAACUUCCAUCACUCCUGGGCAGCAGCAAUGACCAUAGUACACAUCAGUCUCAAUACAUACAGUAAAAACCAAAGAAAAAAGUUACCUGCGCUCUUCCCAAAUCCCUAUGCAUAUUUAAAAAAUUGAGGUUAUUUAGUUUCUCCAAUGGCCAUGAGAGACUUUAGCCCACCUGCCACGUCAAGGCAAACCUCUCAGGUGGGUCCUACACUAACGUUGCACCUUGCUUCCUUGAGCUUCUGGCAAAGAUAUGUCUAAUGAGAUAGAAAGGGGUAUUUUUUUAUAUACAUCCCUACAUGCUUAUUAAUCCUUAAUAGGGAACACAUGGGAUGGGCGGCAGCAUUGUAACAUAGCUCUGUGAUACAAAAGUGAAUACAAAUACAAAAAAAAAGUCCUGCACUCAUACUCCCAUCACUCCUAGGCGGCAGCAAUAACCCACCUGGGAGGUUUGCUUUGACGUGACAGGUGCGCGAAAGUCUCUCAUGGCCAUUGGAGAAACGAAAUAACCUCAAUUUGUUUAAAUAUGCAUAGGGAUUUGGGAAGAGCGCAGGUAACUUUUUUCUUUGGUUUUUACCUUCAGAAUUCUGUGCCUACAUGCACCGGACAUGUAAAUCCAUCCCUGAAAGUUAGAAAUGAGGUUUAAAGAGCUUGAGGAUGAAAGCCAGCACCCUACCAUCUUAAAACCUCACUAGAAGUCAUUGUUUGUGACAAAACACCUGAAAUAUGAAGAAGUCAGAAGUUGCAGAGAUAAGACGUUGCUGAGACUGUUGGUUUCCGAUGGCUGCAAAGUGGCAAUUUUAAAAUCUAGUUUGUUUCCCCAAACAUGCCCUAUUUGGGAACUUACUAAAAAUGCUAAAUAUGCAGUUUGGAAACCACUGCUGCAAAUGAUUCUGAAAUUAUUUUGGAAACUUGGUCUCCUUGAAAGAAAUGAAAGCAAAUCUAAAUAUUAUGCAUUUUAAUUAAAGGGAACACAUACUUAUAUUAAAACCUUUUAGACACAUUUGUAAAGGCAAACUCCAACUGAAGUACCAAUAAUGUCACAAAUAAUGCAUGUAAAAUUAGAUGAAAUCUUAUACUACCAUAAGAUAUUCUACAGGCAGCAUCCUAAAGUAAACAUGUAAUCAGGAAAAUAUGUCGGAAAUUGCACACAUUAGACAGAUAAUGCACACAUCAUAAUUCUAUGCAAAGUGAGAAAUGAUACAAAAGAAAAUUUACAGAAGAUCAGUAAUGUAACUUGAAUAUUUGCAUAAUUCGACAUAUAAAAUCACUAAAAGUAUUGCAAUAAUGUUCAUUUCAAGACCAGAAUAAAGAAAUGUUUCUAUUUUGUGGAAAAUGGCAAUUAUUCAUAACAUUCACAGCUACGUUUCAGCACCAUGGACAGAUAUACUGAUUCUUGUAGACAGUCGUGCCUAAGGCAGCUGAAAAUAUUUUAGUGUAGAUGCGACAUAUAAAAUCACUAAAAGUAUUGCAAUAAUGUUCAUUUCAAGACCAGAAUAAAGAAAUGUUUCUAUUUUGUGGAAAAUGGCAAUUAUUCAUAACAUUCACAGCUACGUUUCAGCACCAUGGACAGAUAUACUGAUUCUUGUAGACAGUCGUGCCUAAGGCAGCUGAAAAUAUUUUAGUGUAGAUGCAUCUACUACUUUAAGAACUGUAAACACUUCAAUGUGCUAUGUGGUCAUGAUGCCGGGAGAGUACUGGCGUUCCUCUAAAAUAAGUAGUCAUACCGUUUGCUAAUGUUUAGGCUUCUUACUUGGAGUCUACUGGGCACAGGUCACUUCCUCUAUGGAACUAAUACUAGGGCCAGAGCACUAGUAUAACGUCUCCAAAUAUCCUGUUGAUGACAGCCUUCCCCCCUCCUUCCAAACAGCAAAGGAGGCUUCAAAGGUCAUAUCAUUCAUACUGUCCUGGAGGGUGGUGGGCAGUGAAUGAUAUGUUUCAUAUGCCUCUUUAAAUUACAUUAGCAAUACAGAAAUGCCAGAAAUUACUAUACACAUUUCAAAUACCUUUAUUUAAAAUAAUAUAUGAUUUAACUGUACUUACUGUGUGUGGACAUUGUUCUAAAAUAUAGACAUUAUUUUUACAUACUGUUUACAUUUUUAGGUGUACUGCUGGUAAUAUCAUCAAGGUCCUUACAAUUCCUUAUAAGCAGGAUAUUUGACCAUUUUUAUAUCUAUGUUUGUCACACCUACUGUACAAGAGAAAAAUGCAUUUUUGUUUUAUAGUAACAUUUGAGACCAUAUGUGAAACAAUAUUAUUAUGUUAUUAUUUGUAUAACGCCAACAAAUUCCGCAGCGCUUUACAGUGGGUGGACGAACAAACAUGUAGUUAUAACCAGACAAGUUGGACACACAGGAACAGAGGGGUUGAGGGCCUUGCUCAAUGAGCUUACAUGCUAGAGGGUGUGGGGUAAAGUGACACAAAAGGUAAGGAUAGUGUUAGACUAAUGACAGUUGCAAGAGAGGAAUCAGUCGGGAGCUAUUAAUAGUUUAAUUGAUUUGCUUUUAUGAAGAAGUGGGUUUUUAAUGAUUUUUUUGAAGGAGUUCAGACUGGGUGAGCAUCUAACGGAGGAGGGAAGUGAGUUCCACAGGAACGGUGCAGCCCUCGAGAAGUCGAGAGGUGGGAGUAUGGAUAGAAGAUAAACGUAAGUCUUCAGCAGAGCGUAAGGGCCUAGAUGGGACAUACUUGUGUAUUAAGGAGGAUAGGUAGGUGGGAGCAGUAUUAUGUAGAGAUUUUAGGGAUAUCGAAAUCCCCAAGUAUAAGGGAAGGAGUGCUAGACGAGAGGAAGUGGGGAAGCCAGGAAGAAAAAUGUUCAAUGAAUAGCCUAGGAUGGCCGGGGGGAGGGAGGGGGCAGUAGAUUAUAUCAAUUCUUAAAGGAGUGGGUUUAAAUAGGCGGACAGUGUGAACUUCAAAAGAAAAAAAGGAUUGGGCAGGGGCAGUUAUGAUUGGUCGAAAGGUACAUUGAGGGGAGAGAAGGAUGCCUACACCACCUCCUUUAUAGUUGAGUCUGGGAGUUUGAGAGAAUUGUAGCCCACCAAAACAUAAAGAGGCAGGAGUAGCGCUAUCAGAGGGGGACAGCCAGGUCUCUGUAAGUGCAAGUAGAGUUAGUGAGUUUGAGAUGAAAAAGUUGUGUAUGGCUGUUGAUUUUAAAUUACUGCAGAUGGAGCGGAGGUUCCAGAGUGCCCACUGAAUGUUGGUAAGUGAGGGUAAAGGGCAGGGUAUUGUGAUUAGGUUCGUGGGGUUUCUGUUUUUUUUUAGUGUGUGUAGAGAAAGUGAAGGGCCCUGGAUUGGGAGAGACAUCACCAGCUGCUAGAAGCAGGAGGAGAGAAAGUGAUAGGAGUUGUGAAUGGGUUUUGUAUGCAUGGGAUCUAGGAUGAGAUCGAUUGUGGGUAGAAGAGCAGAAACAUGAGUGCAAGGCAUGAGAUGAGAGAAGGGGAGUGUAGCAGAGAGGGGCAUAUGUAAAUAUGGAUGGGGGGAUGAGUGAAGUGGGUGUAAGGAGAGGUUUUUAUACUGAGGGAGAAGGAGAAAAUAAAGAGAAGGAGAAGACAGAUCAUUGCUAAACUGGGAAAAAGUAAAUUGGAAAUAAUUGGAAUAUCAAGAGCAGGUGAAGGUAGGGUAAAUAUUAAGUUUUAUGGGUUAAGAAAGUGCAGGAGUGUACUAAUAAGAGGCAGUGUGUACACAUGCUAUUUUUACUUAUCUAAAAUUUGAGUGUGACAGACAAUCUAUAAAUGUAAUAAUGAGCAUGGGGUGGGGUGGGGAGGGGAGGAAGGGUAUCAGACUUUCUUACAUCAGUAUUGGGGCUUGAUAGUUUUGAAAUCAGGCUGUGGAAUAAAGAUAUGUGAGGGUCAGAUAGGCUUGCAAUAAAGCUGAGGGAGGGGGAUAUGUAUCUAGGCAGAGAGAUGAAGAGAUAGUUAUUCAAAUAAAAACAAACAUAUCAAUAAAAGAAGGGAGGGGUCAGAGGUCAGUCAGAAAUCAGAGGGGAAAUAGAGGAAUGCAUAUAGGUGAAUAAAACCAUUACAUACAGGGCUAGAAAAACUACACUUUAGCAUGACAGACAAGAUAUAAAGGCAAGAAAAUAUACGAUGCACAGAGGAUAUAUAAAAUAAAUGUACAGGGUGGUUAAAUUAAAUAUAAAUGAUGCUGUGCAGUAUAUAGUCUUAGUGUUGUCUUCCAGAAGGCUACCUUUGCUUAUUGCAGUCGAUCAGCCGAUGGAGCACAGACUUUCUUACAGCAGUAAUGAGGCUUGAUAGUUUUGAAAUCAGGCUUUGCUUAUUGCAGACGAUCAGCUGAUGGAGCACAUACUUUCUUACAGCAUGGAAAGUUUCCUUCUCCCAAUGUUUCAAUAAAGCAUGAAGGAAUAAGUGAAAAAUAAAAAUGGUGUAGAUUUGCAUCAUUUUAAUUUCUUUGCUUUCAUGGCAAUCGAUACACAAAGUUGCUGUUUCCAUCAUAAUUCACAAUAGACAUUUCAGGAAAACAUAUACUUGUCUCUUAUGCAAGAACAAACACAGCGCAACUAAAAAAGCAGGGUGAUAAUUUGCAUUGGUGCUCGUUCAUAUGUUCUUUUAAGGAGAGUAAUGAUAAAAUCUUGAUUCUAUAUUGCCCAUUAAUUCUGCUGUGUGAUAUCAGCAGCCCUUGAGGAUAUGAGAUGUACACAUCACUGAUUUAUGGUAAGCUGUACAUCUUGCUCUUUCAGCGAAGCUCUGAGUCACUCAUUGAUUCACAGAUAGAAGUAUAUUAGUAUAUUAGUCAUGUCAUUUUUGCUAUAGCUUAGAACCAUAGAGAAUGUGACUGAGACUGGGGAGGAGAAAACUGGAUGUUUUAAACUGGAUGCAGUGGUCACAGCCAGAGUACACAAACAUUUACCCAAAUUAAUGGAACUUUAUGAGUCAUUGGCUCCCUGUUAAUGCUGUGAUAUCACUUUAUUUAAUUUCAUUUUAAAUCAACCAAUGUAAUAGGAUCCAGAUUUACAUUGCAUGCUACAAGCAACAUAUAUCGAACUUUUUUUCGGUCUGUUGGUAAUUUAUGGGCAAAAUUUAAUCUGUAAUGUAUACUUAAAAAUAUAUAAUUAGUGACAAGUAAAGUGAGAUCUGAGAAGGCCUUUAUUGUCUUUACACUUGAUUAGGUUUAUUUAUGAAAAUGGCUGUGACCGAAUUACUUUUAAAACACUAAGUGAUCGAUUUGGUAAUACUUUCACCCUUGUACCUGCAUGGUAAAUAAAAAGUCAGAGCAGGAGCGUUGCUGGGUUCCAUAAACAUGUGGAGAUUGUGUCAAACAGCAAAAUCUGUAAACGCCUACACUAAAAGAAAUGUGGUGUAUGUCAUGACACAUCUUCAUGUUAACACCCUUAGAGGAGGCUUUGGCACCCCUAUAUCUAUGCCACCCCUUGCAGUGAAAAGGCCUAAAAGCUUUGGCAUACACAAAAUGACCUUCAUGCACAUAGAAAUCUGAUAGCAUGCUUCUGGAUAGAUUAAAGGCUAGGCCUGUAGUUGUGGGAGGGCUUAGGUCACUUUUAAGGGACACCAAUCCUCUCUCUCUUACCGUUACUGGUUUGGUGAUUUGCCCCUCCCACCGCUCCCUCUUUUCACAUCAGCCUCAAAGGUGGGCCCUCUUUAUUACAGGCCUACCCCAUCAUCGGUUCCGGUACACCACAACCGACUUGUGCUUUUUACUAUUGUGUUACAUCCAUAACUUCAUUCAUUACAGCAAUAUUGCCUCAAACACAAAUAUAUACAUAUAUAUAUAUAUAUUCUAGCAACUGUCAAGCAUGUUGAAUAUUAUCUUAUAUUAUUUAUAUUAUUAUUUUUUUUAAUGAUACCUACCCAAUCUGUAUAUGUAAUGCUGAGUUUUUCACUGUAUGAUUAUACUUGACUCUCAGUCAUGACAUGUGUCUGUUGCAUAAUCUUUAUAGACCUAUGCAUUGCUAUUACCAUUCUGUUACCAUUAUUCUUAUUCUGCAUUUACAUCUUGUGUCUCUAUUAAAUUUCCGUGAAAAAAAAAAGAAAAUCAGAGACCUGUCCAUGCAUAGAGAGAGUGGAUAUUGCUAGCACAAGCCUUGCACCCUCUUUCCUACAGUACCCUGUCAAAGACAACCCAAUCCACAUCUCUCUUCAUUUAAUCAACAGUCGAAUGCUACUGGUGAGGCAGUGGCCACAAAUUGUACAUGUUAGUGGCCUGGGGAGCAAUUACUCCUCUUGCCAGCCCUCCCCUUAUAUGUCUUAUGUAAGUCCUCCUUUUAUGCAGUAUAAUAGGAAAAAGGCUGUAUGCAAUGAAUUGCUUUAGCAAUAAGUGACACACGAAGAGAUUAUUGAAUUGACAUUGUGACAUAUUAAACAUGUAGGUUGCAAUGUUGCUUUCACAUAUAGCAAUUCCAUUGCUCCAAUAUUGUCACCUACUCUUUGGGAAUAUACUUUCAUCCUAUUUUCCUUUCAUAGUGAUGGUGCUCAACUGGUGUGCUCCUCUUGGCAUCAUAGCUCUAUAUACUUCAAUGAUAUUUCUUGAUGGUUUUCAAAUUACCCCUGUCCAUGUCUAUUUUUCAUAAAUUCAUUCUAAAUUUUGAUUUCUGGAAAAUGAAUGUGACCUUUUUAUGCCUCCUAAUAGGUGUCAUCUUGAUGGGACAGUCACAAACAGCCUAAAGUAUUACUCUAGGCAUUAGGGAAGAACAGAAGAAAAAGGGCAAGUUUUGUAUAGUGUGUGAUCUGUACUCUGUCAUAUUCAAUUCACUGUGACGCCCUGCUCCAGGGAACAUAGCACCUCGCAAAUGGCACUUGUACUGCCGGUGAUGACUGUGGCUACUUAUUCCUUUAUUUUGCAUGUUUUGACACACGUUCACCAUGAUUUAACCUUUUGUCUACGAGAAAGAGUUUUUUUUUAAAUUUUAUUUAUUUAUUUAUUUUCAAUAUUAAAUUCACACAUAUUGAAUCGAAAGAAGGUAUUUAAAAUGUGUGCAUCUUAUAUAUUUGGUAAUGCUGCCUGUAAAAGGAACCUUCUAUAAAGAUUAUAGUUGAGCUGAAGAAUUAAGAUCAAACUAGAACAAAGGGGAACAAUGUUUGAAAAGGCAGAAAUCACAUUCAAUGAGACCCUAGAGCAGAGAUAGGCAACCUUAGGCACUGCAGAUGUUUUGGACUACAUCUCCCAUGAUGCUUUGCCAACAUUUUGGCUGUAUGAGCCUUGUGGGAUAUGUAGUCCACAGCAUCUGGAGUGCCAAAGGUUACCUACAUCUGCCCUCGAGUAUACAAUUUGCAGUCAUGUACAUGCAACAUUAGCUGUCAGAUAAUACAUUUUUUUUUCAUUACAAAUACAAAUUUAUCUCUCCCUUAAUAAUGUGUAUAACGCUUGAUGUAGAUUUACUACAAUGUAAAAACUCCAUCUGUGAUGAUUCACAAAAACAACUUCAUCUCUCUAGUGCAGGUUGAAGGUAUAAUAAAUGUAGAGUAUAGUUUGUACUUUCUGUUCAAUUACAAGCACUUACAGUGAUAUAUACCAGAGACUGUCAGAAGGAACAAAGACUUACUUUGUAGUCUACGUUUCUAAUAUAGCCAUCUCUAAAGCAGAUUGCAACUUCAGCAGGUAAAUAUGGGCCUACCCGUGCUCAGUAAGGUUCUAUGAAGUUCUGAAACAGAUCGUUAAGUUGAGUGAAAUACUCUGCAGCUUUACUGCAGAUUAACACAACUGCGGUUAUAAUCAACUAACUAAGCAAAGUAGCAGAUUAGUUCCGCUUCCCUUUCAUCAAACUAAUUUGUGUAAUUGUUAUGUUGGGUUAGACCUUGUUUUCAUGAAGCUAUGCCUGGUAAAGCAAUAAAUGUUUAUUAGGCAUAGUAACAUUCGUUCGGUGUAAUGAGGAUUAUAGGCUACCAGCUGCAUUGUUUGUAUGUCCUUCUAACAAAAUGGCCGUUGAUGGCAACUACGUGACCCAACUGGCUCGCUCUCUGCUAUAUUUUAUGGAUGCUUUUGCCUGUUAUUUUAAAACAAUGUUUUUGCUACAAUAAUGUAUUUAAAGCACUCCUCGUUCAUUUAAAAAAAAAAUGUUGGCAUAUCUGUUUAUGAUAUAUUGCAUAACAUAUGUUCUUUAAUACUUUAUAGUGAACAGUUUUAUGUGUGGAACACUGCACAAAAAUGUCUUACCCAUCCAAAACAUUGUAAAAGUUAACAACGCUAUAAAACUUCAUGCAAAAUAAAAGGGGAGGGAGAGAAUGUAAGAGAGGAAACAGGUGAAGUCUGAAUUAGGUGUCUUUGUAUUGGGUAUCCCAACAAAUAUAAAACUGUAACACACAACUGACUGUUUUGGAAUGACAUUCUUAGGUUAAGUACUCUUUGUUUUAUAGCCUGUAGGGAAAUGUAAACCUUUUUUUUUUUUCCUUUCCUUUUUUUUUUCUUUCUUUCCUUUCUUUUGUCGAGUACAAUUGCACUGAUUGUUUUUUGCUGUGUAACUUCUCUAAUGGAUAUAAUGCAAGGUCCUGAAGUAUUCAUCUAAAUGUUCUGACUGUCACUCCUCAUUCUAUUGAAGCAAGGAAUUAAACACAGACCUGGAGCUGCUGACAGACUGCAAGAGCAUUAGGAGGUUUGAUAUUGGAUGCAGAAGCUUACUUACCACUAAUGCUAUCUAAAAUCAGUCUCUCUGGUAUUGUAGCUGACAUUUUGAAUAUGUCCCCGAGGAGGUAUCGGCCAUCUUGGAUUUCGUUGUGUUGGAAUGCACUAGAUCUUGGCUUCAUGUUUUGAAAUGUUCUUUGCCAGAUCUGUGUGUAAACUCAAAAGGGUAUUUUUUUUUUCUACCAAUUAGGGAUUUGAAAGAAUUGAAUUUAUUGUCAGGAUAUUGUAUUUUUUUUUGAUUGGUUAACUAAAAUAAUAGAUCAGGCUUGUGCAGUAGACAUUGCUUACCUAGAUUUCAGUAAGGCGUUUGACACUGUUGCACAUAGAAGGCUUAUCAAUAAAUUGCAAUCUUUAAGUUUGGAUUCCAAUAUUGUUGAAUGGGUAAGGCAGUGGCUGAGUGACAGGCAACAGAGGGUUGUAGUCAAUGGAGUAUAUACGAAGCUUGGGCUUGUCACCAGUAGGGUACCUCAGGGAUCUGUACUUGGACCCAUUCUCUUUAAUAUUUUUAUUAGUGAUAUUGCAGAAGGUCUUGAUGGUAAGGUAUAUCUUUUUGCUAAUGAUACUAAGAUAUGUAACAGGGUUGAUGUUCCAGGAGGGAUAAGCCAAAAGCCAAAUGAUUAUAGGUAAACUAGAAAAAUGGUCAGGGUUGUGUCAAAUGACGUUUAAUGUGGAUAAGUGCAAGAUAAUGCAUCUUGGAUGUAAAAACCCAAGGGCAGUGUACAUAAUAUUUGAUAGAGUCCUAACCUCAACAUCUGAGGAAAGUGAUUUAGGAGUAAUUAUUUCAUAUGACUUAAGGGUAGGCAAACAAUGUAAUAGAGCAGCAGGAAAUGCUAGCAGAAUGCUUGGUUGUAUAGAGAGAUGUAUUAGCAGUAGAAAGAGGAAAGUGCUCAUGCCAUUGUACAGAACACUGGUGAGACCUCACUUUAUUGUAUUGUACGCAGUACUGGAGACCGUAUGUUCAGAAGGAUAUUGAUACCUUAGAGAGGGUUCAGAGAAGAGCUACUAAGCUGGUUCAUAGAUUGCAGGAUAAAACUUACCAGGAAAGGUUAAAGGAUCUUAACAUGUAUAGCUUGGAGGAAAGACGAGACAGGGGGGAUAUGAUAGAAACAUUUAAAUACAUAAAGGGAAUCAACACAGUAAAGGAGGAGACUAUAUUUAAAAGAAGAAAAACUAACACAACAACAUAGUCAUAAAUUAGAGGGGCAAAGGUUUAAAAAUAAUAUCAGGAAGUAUUACUUUACUGAGAGGGUAGCGGAUGCAUGGAAUAGCCUACCAGCGGGAGUGGUAGAGGUUAACACAGUAAAGGACUUUAAGUAUGCGUGGGAUUUGCAUAAGGCUUUCCUAACUAUAAGAUAAGGCCAGGGACUAAUGAAAGUAUUUAGAAAAUUGGGCAGACUAGAUGAGCCGAAUGGUUCUUAUCUGCCGCCACAUUCUAUGUUUCUAUGUUUAAUAAUUUAUUUCUUAAUUUAACUGCUAAGCAUGUUUUAAUUGUUUGUUUUAAAUAUAUUGCAGUUGCUCAGUUUCUUGUGCUUCUAGUGUUCUCUACCAGGGAUCCCGCCUAUUGGGUUACACUUUGAUCCAUCACGGCAACCCCUCAUAUUCAAGCUGACUUUUUCUUGGCUUGUUAAGCUGCUCUUUCUGCAAAACCCGACUUAUAUUACUAGUCAACUCAGUCCAGGAAUGGGAUACUGCAGCUAUUAAGGAUCGUUCAAGCUUCUCACUGCCCUCUGUACCCUUUAAGCAAUACUCAAAACAGAUCACACCUUAGACUUACAUAGACUUUAUUUAUAAAUAUUUUUUUUUAAUUUAAUUUUUUUUGCAGUGCAUAGUUUAACAAGCAUGCAGGGAUAUUUCAAAAUAUAUGAUAAGUAGAACAACAACAUUGCCAUGUGAUAUCUCAAUAGUAGUACUGCACGUUUUGUAUCAAUAUGGAAUAGACUUAAACACAUUCCUCAGACAUGGAAUGGGUUUUUAAUCUUAAGACACUUACCCUGAAGGUCUAAAUGCAGAUUUUGACCUUUUUAAUUUUUUGUAAACUAACAUUUUUAUUAAUUAAUAUUAACUAAUAUUUUAUAGAUUUUACGUAUUAACCCUUUUAUCUUGUUAUAUACUUCUCCUAUUUCCAUCUACAUCUCCAUAUCAUCAUAAGAACCAAUAUGUUUUAUAAUGUACAACCAAUUAUGUACAUACUCCAUGAAAAGUAUUUUAGGAAAUAAAAAGAUGAAGUGGUUCUUUAAUUUUAAUUUAAUUUAUAUGCAUUAGUCCCAGAAGGUAUUAAGGCUGAGUUUAAAGGACCACUAUAGUGCCAGGAAAACAUACUUGUUUUCCUGGCACUAUAGUGCCCUGAGGGUGCCCCCACCCUCAGGGUCCCCCUCCCGCCGGGCUCUGGGGAGAGGAAAAGGGUUAAACUUACCUUUUUUCCAACGCCGGGCGGGGAGCUCUCCUCCUCCUCUCCGCCUCCUCUCUUCCCUUUUGGCUGAAUGCGCACACGCAGCAAGAGCUGUGCGCGCAUUCAGCCGGUCUCAUAGGAAAGCAUUCAUAAUGCUUUUCUAUGGACGCUUGCGUGUUCUCACUGUGAUUUUCACAGUGAGAAUCACGCAAGCUCCUCUAGCGGCUGUCAAUGAGACAGCCACUAGAGGUUUUACAGGCUGUUUCUCUGAAACUGCUAUGUUUAUUAAAAAAGGGUUAACCCUAGCUGGACCUGGCACCCAGACCACUUCAUUAAGCUGAAGUGGUCUGGGUGCCUAGAGUGGUCCUUUAAUUGUCUUAUAUUGUUUUCUAACUUUUCAUAACUAAAUACCUUCUGACUAUAUUCUAACAUUUAAACCACCAAAACAUAUAGCUGAUGUAAGUGUGUGUAUAUUAUACUUUAUAGGUUUAAAUGCUUACUUGACACAUAAGUUUGUCCUUUAUAAAUAUGCUAAUAUCCGUUACUUGUAUGCCUGUCACUUUAAAACCUGUCCCCUGUCCUUUUUUACAAGUAACUAUAUAUUCACUUAUAACUUUCUACUCCCCUCCCUCACUUUGCCCUUAAACAAGAUGGCCGCCACCUCAAUAUCCUAUAUAGAUUACCCUUGUACUAUUUCACUCUUCUAUGAGUGAUUCCACCCACUUUCAUUCAGUAUCUAAUCCCCUCCAAUUUCUGCAAUUAGGACCGCCCCCUUUCUGAUCACGAUCUGUAUUUCGGACGUGAUCAGCACUACAUUUCCCAUCCUGCCUCACGGAAAUUGCCGGUCUCAUCCACUCCUCCUCUAAUAUUCCCCUCCCACUCCUACACUUCAUAAUAGUAAAGGUAUUUGUUACGAAAUACCUAAAAAUAUAUAUAGGAGUCAAAAGUGUAAAACUACAAGAGCAAAAAUAAAGUGCAGAAUAAAUAAAUAUGGAACCACUCACAUUCUCUUGAGCUAUAAACAUAUGAAAGUAUUUAUCCAAUUGCAGUUUAAACAUCUGUAUGGACUCUGAUAAAACCACCUCUUCAGGCAGAGAAUUCCAUAUCCUUAUUGUUCUUACAGUAAAAAAACCUUUCCUUUGCCUUAGAUUAAAUCUCCUUUCUUCCAGCCUAAAUCUGUGACCUUGUUUAUAGCCCUGUUUAUGAAUAGAUUUCCAGAUAAUGGUUUGUACUAGCCCCGAAUAUAUUUGUAUGAUGUUAUCAUAUCCCCUCUGAGGUGCUGUUUUUCCAAACUAAAGAGAUUUACAUUUUUUAACCUUUCUUCGUAACUAAAAUGCUCCAUUCCUUUUAUCAAUUUUGUAGCUCAUCUCUGCAAAUUUUCUAGUGCCAUGACAUCCUUCUUUUGAAUAGGUGCCCCAAAUUGCACAGCAUAUUUAAGGUGUGGUCUUACCAGUGACUUAUAAAGAGGCAAAUUUUUAUAUUUACAUCUCGAGAAUUUAUGCCCCUAUUUAUACACGACAAAACCUUACUGGCCUUAGCAACUGCAGAUUGACAUUGCCUAUUGCUGCCUAAUUUGUUGUCUAUAACAAUGCCCAAAUCCUUCUUGUGUGUGGUUACCCCUAAUUCCUUUAGGGUGUCAGUUGCUUGUGCAUUCUUGACCCCGAAGUGCAGAACUUUGCAUUUCUCUACAUUAAAUUUCAUCUGCCAUUUUAGUGCCCAAUCUAUCCAAAUCCCUCUGCAGCAAAGCAAUAUCCUGCUCACAUUUUAUUAUUUUACAAAGUUUUGUGUCAUCUGCAAACACUAAACAUGGCUUUCAAUGACUCUUGCAAGAUCAUUUAUAAAUAUGUUAAAUAGAAGCGGUCCCAAAACAGAACCCCGAGGGACACCACUUGCCACUUUUGUCCAGCUUGAAAAUGUACCAUUAAUUAACCAUAAAUUGUGCUCCUUUGAUUGGUGCUAGGAAUAGAACCAUAAAUCUCGAGGCAACCAAACAUAUUAGGCCAAUGCACUUGUCGUUUGCUAGAAACAAAAUGAAUCCGAACGGUCUCAAAUUAAGUUUAAUCAAGUGCACACGUCUGAUAUCUAUACAUACAUAUAUACAUAUGUAUAUAUAUAAAAUAGUAUAUCUGCAUACACAUAGCCACACAAAUAGUUGUAAAGGUCACUACUCUUAUGAACUGAGUUAUUUCACUUGCAUCUCUAUCAGAAAAAUAUCAUCCAGCAAAGUACUGCACUAGGCCAAUCAAACAACUGAUUUAUGGUCCCCAUCAGAGUAAUAGUAAGCUACAAAUCAUACACACAAUGCAGUUUCAGCAAAAAGAUUAUGACUGCUCCAUUUUGAUUGCAAAACCCAUUGAUGAGAUAUGUGAUAUUUUGAAGCUGGUGUGUUAAAUAAAAAAAAAAUGUAAAGGAAUGUUAAUUAUUUGUAUACCAAAGAAUACCAAAGUAAAUAUACCAAAAAAAUCUAUUUAAAAAAAAACAAACAAACAUAACCACCAGACUUAUUGUGGGUACAAUCAUCUGUUUCUGUAAGUAUUAUCCCAUUUGUUACUUUAACUUUAACAUUUAUAUACACCAUUUCACUAAUAGGAACACAGAAAAAUUAGUUAGGGAAAAAAAACAACAACAAGACACAUGCUAUGGAACAUUAUUAAUGAAUGACUUAGAGGUUCUGUACAGCUACAUUUCAUGCUUUGUGUAAGGCUCACAUAAUGCGAUUGGGCAACUAUUCUCUAAAGAUGCGCAGGAUAGGUACAUCAUUUCAGAAAUGUACUUAUUAAGCUCCAGAAGGUGUCUUCUGACAUAUCUCAUGAGUUCUAUUCUGAAGAAAAAUGUGUACUACGUUUAAAGAACAGCUGACUGAUUAGUGCAUGAACAUUAGCAGCUAGUCAAGAGUGAAACACUAAUUAUUCCCAAGACCUUUAGGACCGCUUACUUUAAGGAACAUGUAUGACCUAGAUAAUUUUCUUUUCAAAUCAGAGUGCCUUUUGUUCAAAAUAUUUUACAAGUAACGUUAAAGAAAAAUAUAUGGGGGAAUAAUAAAAAAAAGAGGAGGGACAAUUACCAUUCAUAAAUCUAUAAUCAAAGAAUACAAUUGUUUUAUAGAAUUAAAGAACGGAACUUUCUCCACUAUAAAUUUAUGCUGCGCUCAUACAGCUUGGCUCUUUCCUCUGCAAAAGUAAAUUACUUCAAUACCCUUAUAACCACACUCUCCCGCGAACCCAAACAACUAUUUCACUCACUACUCUCUUCUUUGCGCUAUUGUUCCUCCUCCACCUACUAACUUGACUGUCUCAGACUUUGCAACUCACUUCACUGACAAGAUUUCUACAAUCAGGAAAGAGAUCUCUCAUCUUUCUUCUUCCCCUUACAAUACUUCCCCUAACCUCACUCCCUCUGCUGUUCUAUGUUCAUUCGCAUCCACCACAGCGGAAGAGGUUUCUGCUCUGCUCCAGUCCUCCCGCCCCACCACCUGCUCCAUAGAUCCAAUUCCCUUGCAUCUCAUCUGUACUCUGUCUUCUUCUCUUUCUCUACCUCUCACUAAAAUUCUCAAUUUCUCUCUCUCCUCUGGCAUAUUUCCAUCACCCUUCAAACAUGCAACUGUAACCCCAAUUCUAAAGAAGCCCAACCUUGACCCUAACUCCCCGUCCAAUUACCGUCCUAUCUCGCUACUGCUGUUUGCAUCCAAGAUCCUUGAAAUAGUUGUGUAUGCGAGAUUGACAGACUUCCUCGAGUCCAAUUCUCUGCUAGACCCGCUUCAGUCUGGUUUCUGUGCUAAGCACUCUGUAGAAACAGCACUGACCAAAGUAUCUAAUGAUCUACUCACUGCAAAAUCGCUUGGUCGCUACUCUAUCCUAAUCCUCCUUGACCUUUCUGUGGCUUUUGACACUGUUGAUGAUCAAGAUAUUGCUCUCUCCUGGUGCUCCUCCUACCUCUCCCAGUGCUCUUUCAGUGUUUCUUUCUCUGACUCUGCUUCUUUUCCCCAACUCAUCUCUGUUGGUGUCCCCCCAAGGUUCAGUACUUGGUCCCCCACUGUUCUCCAUCUAUACUGCCUCCCUUGGUAAACUCAUUAGCUCCUUUGGCUUCCAAUAUAAUUUCUAUGCGGAUGACACGCAAAUCUAUCUGUUCUCUCCUGAUCUCUCCCCGUCCCUCUCUGCUAUUGCUAACUGGAUGGCUGCCCACUUCCUUAAACUAAUCUUGACCAAAUCUGAAAUUCUGGUCUUUCCUCCCUUAAGUGUUGCUACUCCUGUGUCUGUCUCCCUCCAAGUCAACGGUGCUACCAUCAACUCCACCAAACAGGCUCACUGCCUAGGUGCUCUCUUUGACUCCGACCUCUCCUUCACACCUCAUGUUCACACCUCAUGUUCACACCUCAACUUGACCAAAUCUGAAAUUCUGGUCUUUCCUCCCUCAAGUGUUGCUACUCCUGUGUCUGUCUCCCUCCAAGUCAACAGUGCUACCAUCAACUCCACCAUGCAGGCUCGCUGCCUAGGUGCUUUUUGACUCUGACCUCUCCUUCACACGUCAUGUUCAGUCUAUCGCCAAAUCCUGCCGCUUCCAUCUCAAAAAAUUGCGUGCAUCCGACCCUACUUAACGCCAGAUGCGACUAAGGUGCUGGACCAUUUCACUGUCCUUUCUCACCUUGACUACCUUCUCAGUGGUCUUAUGUGCUCCCAACUUGCUCCGUUACAGUCCAUAAUGAAUGCGGCUGCCAGGCUCAUCUUCCUGUCCGCCCACACCGCCCACGUCUCACCCUUCUUUCAGUCCUUACAUUGGCUUCCUGUAAAAUAUAGUUAUAUCUAGAUACAUAUAAUUUAAAAUUUUGAUUCUUCCUUUCAAAUCUCUACAUAAUGCUGCUCCCACCUACUUAUCAUCCCUAAUACAUAAGUAUGUCCCGUGUAGGUCCUUACGCUCUGCUGAAGACUUACGACUAUCUUCUGUCCGUACUCCCACUUCUAAUGCUCGCCUUCAAGACUUCUCGAGGGCUGCACCGUUCCUGUGGAACUCACUUCCCUCCUCUGUUAGAUGCUCACCCAGUCUCCACUCCUUCAAAAAAUCAUUAAAAACUCACUUCUUCAUAAAAGCGUAUCAAUUAAACUGUUAAUAGCUCCCAACUGAUUCCUCUCUUGCAACUGUCAUUAGUCUAAUAUUAUCCAUACCUUUUGUGUCACUUUACCCCACUCUCUCUAGCAUGUAAGCUCAUUGAGCAGGGCCCUCAACCCCUCUGUUCCUGUGUGCCCAACUUGUCUGGUUACAACUACAUAUUUGUUCAUCCACCCACUGUAAAGGGAUGCAGAGUUUGUUGGCGCUAUAUAAAUGAUAACAUAAUAAUAAUAAUAAUAAUAACAAACAACAUAAUAAGUAUGUUUUAGUUAAUCUAAUAUUAUUAUUAUUAUUAUUAUUUUAUUAUUUAUAAAGUCCCAACACAUUCUGCAGCGCUUGGCAAUGUAGAAGAUGACUGUCUAAGGGCCAUUUCAUAAGGUAUGUUUUCUAACAUUCGGUACAGAACUUCUUUGAGAGAUGGGAUAGUUGGUGACUUCCAGUACCUAGAUUGUUUUCUAAAGCACAUAGGACCAAAAUCCAUCCAUUCAUUACAAUCCCAUAGUUGACAUUUGUAUCUAGAAAGAGCAACUUUAUAGGGAUCCGAAGGAGUUUUGCUUGUUUGUUUUUUUCUCUUCUGUUGAAAAGAUGUUUCUAACAUCUGUCAUGACUUCCCUAUUAGAGGUAAGUUGCUGCUGACCAGGAUUUAACUGAGAUUUAUUUAAGCUAUGUUGCCACUAAAUAUACAAAUUAACAUGAUAUAUUUUUAUCUGAAAUGGCAUGCAUUUUAAUUUCAGUUUCUUAAACCAAGGCACUGUACCAUCACGUGUUCUGCUGACACACGCUAAUGAGAGCAAAUUAACAAACAUGUUUCUUGUGCACCCAUUCUGAGGACAACCUGAAUUUAAUUGAAUGUAAUUCAAUCCACCCUGUUUACGGAUCCUCUGUCAGCAGAAUCAAAACUAAAAUGUUUUAAUUAAAGGGAUUGGCAAUAAUUUGGUAUAAAGCCAUAAUUUUCAGUAGGUGUUUUCUAGAAAAUUACUUAACCUUUGCCUCUGUUGCUACGGUAACUAAUGGAUAUAAUUACACUACAGUGUGCGAUUGCUCCUCUUCCAGUAUCUGUGGUUAGCAAAGCUGCAGAUUAAAAUCUUAUACAACACUGUGAGCAAGAUUUGUCCUGGCAACAUUUUGCCCAUCUUUUACAGAUUUUCAUCUAACUUAUUGUUUUGGUGACGCACGUAAAAAGUGGCAUCUGAGAACUGUGCUUCAGUCAUAGGAUGACAAGUAGACUGGAAUUUUAAUCUGUAAAUUGUACCAGGCAGGCCUGCUGGGACUCCCAAUAAUGUGUUUUGAUGAGAUCUUCCUUCUAAAUUCAUCCUGAAACCUUAGGAUAGAACAUGCAAUUACCAUUUAGCUCAUCAACUCUGGCACGCUGCCUGCUGCAUUUUCCAAUAGCUCUAAAGAUACUGGGGUAAAAUAAAGACUUGUUUUUUCUUUCAGACAGCUUCCCAUAGAAAGUUGUCAAAUUUUCAAAGAACACAGGUAUAGUAAUUAUAUCACAUUCCAAUGUUGUUAAUGCCUGCUUGUCAAUCUGCUGGCCCCUCUAUUCUCCUUAUCUUGAGAUGGGUAAAAUGUUACCCAGGCUUGCUGCCCGUUGAAUCCAACAUGUUGAAUAUUCGAAGGUAUGAGGGGAUAGAAUGUUGUAAAGUGAAUAGUUAUGGUCCAGAAGGGCCUUAGUAAUGUGAUCACAAGUCCCAAAUUCUACGUAUAUCGGAGCUCCAUUGUUUCAUAGCUUAACAUAGGUUAGUGGUGUCUUGAGGAAAGUUCACAGUUGUGAACUGAAACGUUGACCACUUGGAUUGAAUGCCUAUUUUUUCCUUGAGUGCUGGCUUUUUUUUUAUAGACUGUAUUUGUGUGCAGCUGAGCACCGGGCCAAGAUCUGGAGGAGAGCUGGAUUGCAAAACUCCCAUCAUAUUGUUAAUAUAGGUUAGUGGAUGUACAAAGAAAGAUAGGAGUAUUUACUUAGUUAGUUAUGUAGACUGAAAAAAGACUUACAGAAAAGAAAGAAAUGGAAUAAGUGGCGCUAUUUCAAAUACAACCCAGUGGAGCAAAAAAAACACCCAAAUGUAUUGUCACUAAAUGCACUCAAUAAAUAGAUAAAACCCAGUACAAAAGGUCAAAGCACACACAUUGAUUAUAUUUUACCUUUUUAGAAAAAAAGACUUGCACCCAUCAAGUUCAGCCUUUCUCACAUCAGUUUUUCCUGUUGAUUUAAAAGAAGGCAAACAAAUCCCCCCCCAAAAAAAAACCAAAAAAGAAAAAAACAGUGGAACAUGUUAAGUGGCACAUGCCAUUUAACAAAAAAAACAAAAAAACUGAAUCUUUCCCAAUAUUACACAAAGUGCUUAGAUAUAAUAAAGUGUAUAUAAGUGUAAUUGCACUAAUGUUUAAGAUAAUAAAGUGCUUUAAGUGAGCUAAAGUGCACAUAUUGAAACACUUAACUUUCCCUUCUAGCAAUGGGGUUACCUGAAGUUCUCACAUCUUCUAUCAGUAUAAUUGCAAUAUAUAGGGUUGGUCCAGCUAGGGGAGACAAGAAUAAUACAACCUAGUGCAACACUGUGUAACCUAAUAUGCCACAUGCCAAUUACAGUCAGGUCCAUAAAUAUUGGGACACAAUUCUAAUCUUUUUGGCUCUAUACACCACCACAAUGGAUUUGAAAUGAAAUGAACAAGAUGUACGUUAACUGCAGACUUUCAGCUUUAAUUUGAGGGUCCAGAGUUUAUUUCAAGUGUGCUAUUUGCAUUUGGAAUCUGUUGCUGUCAACUCUCAAUAUGAGAUCCAAAGAGCUGUCACUAUCAGUGAAGCAAGCCAUCAGUAGGCUGAAAAAACAAAACAAACCCAUCAGAGAGAUAGCAAAAACAUUAGGUGUGGCCAAAUCAACUGUUUGGAAUAUUCUUAAAAAGAAAGAACACACCGGUUGGCUCAGCAACACCAAAAGACCCGGAAUACCACGGAAAACAACUGUGGUGGAUGACGGAAGAAUUCUUUCCCUGGUGAAGAAAACACCCUUCACAACAGUUGGCCAGAUCAAGAACACUCUCCAGGAGGUAGGUGUAUGUGUGUCAAAUCAACAAUCAAGAGAAGACUUCACCAGAGUGAAUACAGAGGGUUCACCACAAGAUGUAAACCAUUGGUGAGCCUCAAAAACAGGAAGGCCAGAUUAGAGUUUGCCAAACAACAUCUAAAAAAGCCUUCACAGUUCUGGAACACCAUCCUAUGGACAGAUAAGACCAAGAUCAACUUGUACUAGAGUGAUGGGAAGAGAAGAGUAUGGAGAAGGAAAGGAACUGCUCAUGAUCUAAAGCAUACCACCUCAUCAGUGAAGCUUGGUGGUGGUAGUGUCAUGGUGUGGGCAUGUAUGGCUGCCAAUGGAACUGGUUCUCUUGUAUUUAUUGAUGAUGUGACUGCUGACAAAAGCAGCAGGAUGAAUUCUGAAGUGUUUCGGGCAAUAUUAUCUGCUCAUAUUCAGCCAAAUGCUUCAGAACUCAUUGGAUGGCGCUUCACAGUGCAGAUGGACAAUGACCCGAAGCAUACUGCAAAAGCAACCAAAGAGUUUUUUAAGGGAAAGAAGUGGAAUGUUAUGCAAUGGCCAAGUCAAUCACCUGACCUGAAUCCGAUUGAGCAUGCAUUUUACUUGAUGAAGACAAAACUGAAGGGAAAAUGCCCCAAGAACAAGCAGGAACUGAAGACAGUUGCAGUAGAGGCCUGGCAGAGCAUCACCCGGAAUGAAACCCAGCAUCUGGUAAUGUUCCAGACUUCAGGAUGUAAUUGACUGCAAAGGAUUUGCAAACAUGUAUUAAAAAGUGAAAGUUUGAUUUAUGACUGUUAAUCUGCCCCAUUACCUUUGGUCCCUUAAAAAGUGGGAGGCACAUAUACAAACUGUUGUAAUUCCUACACUGUUCACCUGAUUUGGAUGUAAAUACCCUCAAAUUAAAGCUGAAAGUCUGCAGUUAAAUCACAUCUUGUUUGUUUCAUUUAAAACCCAUUGUGUUGGUGUAUAGAGCCAAAAAGAUUUGAAUUGUGUAGAUGUCCCAAUAUUUAUGGACCUGAUUGUACGUCUGUCUCCAUCAUUUGCUGCAACUAGUAAGUGCAAGCUCACAGCCCGGUUCCUUGGCCAGCUCAAAGUGUGGUACACUGUGCACAGCAGAGUACAGUGCUACCUGCAUACAUCCUGCCAAUGAAGUAGAAUGGAUUGUAUGGUAUGAACAGCUAGUGCUCAUUGAUAGUUUAUUAGAUACACCUUGAAUUACAUGCAUGUAAAUUUUUUAUGCAUUUUUUUCUUUAGGGGAUAAUGACAAUUUUGCUUCCUAUGGUUGCAAAUCUAGUAUCUCAAGUGUGUGUGGCUGUCUAAUUAGAGAUUUGUCAAUGAGCUGUACAUGUGUGCACAUGCACACAGCCACAGUAUAGCCUAGCUCAGUACAAGUGACUGCCACUUCUGUUUUGCUCAAGAGAGCAACUAAAAUCAGGAAGAAAACACCUUUAGCUGUCUAACUGACAGCCGGGAUAGAUGUAGCUGAGAGCUUUUUGAAAUUUGCACUAUUUAAAUAAAAAAAAAGCUUUUUAGCAAGCUGUGUUUAGGAGUAUUUCUUUAAGAGAUAAAUAAAGAAAAUCCAAGGGAAUUAAACGUUAUGUUUUCAAGGCAGCUUUCCAGCAUGUAGAACAACUCCACAAGCCAGCGAUUCCCAAUUGGUGUUCCGCAGAAAAAAUGUAAAAACAAAAUGGCUACAGGGACUUCAUGCCAGCAGCCUCACUGGACCCCAGGGACUCCAUGCCAGCACUCCUAAAGGUAGGGGGGCUGGGUGGAGUAAAAUGUAAAAAAAAUAAAAUUGUAUGUGUGUCUGUUAGGGAGUUUGUAUGUGUUUGUGUGUUUGCCAGUGAGAGUGAAUGUGUGCUUGUCAGUGAGUGUGUGAGUGUAUGUGUUUGUCAGUGAGAAUGUAUCUGUUCUUGUCAAUGAGAGUGUAUAUGUGUUUGUAUGUGUGUCUGUAAAAAAGUAUGUGUGUCUGUCAAAGAGUGUGUGUUUGUCAGUGAGAGUAUGUGUCUGUCAACAAAUGUGUGUGUUAGUCAGUGAGAGUGUAUGUGUGUCUGUCAAAGAGUGUGUACCCUGUCAGUGUGUAUAUGUGGGUGCAAGUGUGUGUAUGUCACUGUGUGUAUCUGAGUGUGUGUGUGUGUGUAUUUGUGAGUCAAUAUGUGUGUGUCAGUGUGUAUCUAAGUGUGUGUAUCUGUGUGUAUAGGUGUGUGUCAGUGUGUGUGUAUAUCUGUGUGUCAGAUACAUAUACACACUGACACAGAGAUACACACACACACUGGAACACACACCGGCACAUACAAACACAGAUACACACAGCUUGGGCUACUGAUGUGCUGUGAGCUGCUGUGGGCUCCUGUGGGUGCUGGGAGCUCCUGGUGUGCUGAGAGCUGCUGUCGGUGCCGGGGGCUCUUUGUGUGCUGGGAGCUGCUUUGGGCUCCUGUGGGUGCUUGGGCCUCCUGGUAUGUUGGGAGCUGCUGUGGGUGCUGGGGAGCUGCUGUCAGUGUUGGGGGCUGCUGUGGGCUCUUGGUGUCCUGGGGGCUAAUGGGCACGUGGGCAAUGAUAGGCAACGAGGAACUAAUCAACACUGUGAGGGAUAACCCCACAAUUUACCAAGAACAAACAUGUGAAUGUCUUACAAAUCCCCGGGAACAUCAGCAUUCCAAUCCACAUAGGGGUUGCUCAUAAAUUGUGAGUCAGGGCAACUUAACCACCUACAGACAGGUAUCCAGCUCCCUAUGUACAACCUAUAAUGAGCCCUCUAUCACUCCUGGGAACCUCUGAUUAGUACAAUGAAAUUAUGUGUCUAUAUCAGGAAUGUAUAUAGCUAUGUUCCCUUUGAUGAUGUAUGUUUACUAUGUAUGUUUACCAACAUGCGAAUGUCUUACAAAUUCCAGGGCAUAUCAGCAUCCCAAUCUACAUAGGGGCCACCCAUAAAUCGCGAAUCAGGGCAACUCCACCACCCGCAGACAGGGACUUAGUUCCCUACUCACAACCUUUAAUGAGCCCUAUAUCACUCAUGUGAACCCCUGAUUAGUCCAAAUAGAUGACGUGUAUAUAGCAAGAAUGUAUAUAGUUAUGUUUACGUUGAUGAUGUAUGCUUACCAUCUAUGAUUCCCAACAUGCGACUGUCUUACAAAUUCCCGGGAACAUCAGCAUACCAAUCGGCAUAGGGGUCACCCAUAAAUUGUGAGUCAGGGCAAUUCCAACACUCUCAGACAGGGAUUGAGCUCCCUACUUUUAACCUAAAUUGAGCCCUAUAUCACUCCAGGGAACCUCCAAUUCGCCCAAUGAACUGAUGUUUAUGUAUACAUAGGUGUCCUUCAGUAUACAAGUCUAUGUCCUAUGAAAACUCAUGCAUGUUUACUUGUAAAUCUCAAUGUAUAUUGAUGCAGAGAGCCAGAGUGAUGUCAUAUUCCGGCUCUGGGCAUCACAGUAGGGCGCUCGAGGGAGCUGAUCAAGAAGAGCUCAGAGGACAGCACUCCAUUUACAAUACGAGCACAGAGAGCUUCAGGGAAGCCCUAACAUUGCCAGCCAGCCAGCUCUUGGGCCUCCAUGAAAGGAGGCUAGCAAGGCACCUGCCAGGGCAAUGGGGAUGGGGGAGGGAGGGUGGGUGGGCAGGCAAAGGUCAGGAGUAGAAAACAGCAUAAAUUAAAUAUAAAAAACAAACAGAGAUCAGGAUUCACAGAGUAGCAAGCCAAGGUCAAAACAAUGUAUAACAAAAAUAAGCAAGGUAUGUCCUAUUAGGUCAUGGAGAACAAUAUCAGUCAGGGCCGGACUGGGAGAAAAAUUCGGCCCGGGCAUUUUUUUAACACAGCGGCCCACUAAAAAGGGGGCGGGGCAGAGGAGGUGUGUUUUGUCAUCACCAAUGACAAACACGCCUCCUCUCAAAGUGAGCAUGUUGGUUCAAUGCUCUUCCAGGGCAGACCAUGCGCAGAGCUCUGCUGAAGAGCUCCAGCAUGAGAAAAAAGCCCUGUAUUUGUUCUGCACAGUGCAAGCAAAUUUAAUAACAUGCUUGCACUGUGUUUCCUUGCAACUUGUCUCUGGUGUCUUUAUAAAUGGAUACCAGGAGACAAAAGGCCAGGAAAGAGUAUUGUGCAUAUGUUUGGAGCCUGCUUGUGGUAUUGCGUGUGUGUAGAGUGAGCUGGUCGUGGUGUGGUAUUGUGUAAUAAGGUCUGUUUUAGUUGUGUUGUGUUUGUGGUGUAAUGUGAUGCAUAUGUGGCUCAGGGACCCCCUCCCGCCCGGCUCUGGAAAGGGGUUAAAACUUACCUUUUUCCAGCGCCGGGCGGGGAGCUCUCCUCCUCCGAUCCGCCCCGUUGGCUGAAUGUGCACGUGCGGCAAGAGCUGCGCGCGCAUUCAGCCGGUCGCAUAGGAAAGCAUUUAUAAUGCUUUCCUAUGGACGCUUGCGUGCUCUCACUGUGAUUUUCACUGUGAAAAGCACGCAAGCGCCUCUAGCGGCUGUCAAUGAGACAGCUGCUAGAGGCUUUGGGGGAAGGCUCUGAAACUGCUAUGUUUAUAAAACAAUGGGUUAACCCUAGAAGGACCUGGCACCAAGACCACUUCAUUAACUGAAGUGGUCUGGGUGGCUAGAGUGGUCCUUUAAGAGUGUAGUGUGUGUGUGUGUGUGUAUAUGGAAGUAUUGUGUAUGUGUGUGGUGCAGUGUGUUGGGGGGUUCUGUGUGUAUGUGAGGGGUGCAGUAUGUGUGUGUGUGAGGGGUGCGGUGUGUGAGUGAUGGGUGUGAGAGUGCUGUGUGAGAUGGGUGUGAGAGAGUGCUGUGUGAGAGAGUGCUGUGUGUGUGUGUGUGAGUGCUCUGUGAGAGUGCUGUGAGAGAGUGCUGUGAGAGAGUGCUGUGUGUGUGAAAGUGCUGUGUGUGAUGGGUGUGAGUGCUGUGUGAGAGAGUGCUGUGUGUGUGUGAGAGUGCUCUGUGAGAGUGCUGUGAGUGUGAUGGGUGUGAGAGUGCUGUGUGAGAGAGUGCUGUGUGUGAUGGUUGUGAGAGUGCUGGGUGUGAGAGUGCUGUGUGUGAUGGGUGUGAGAGUGCUGUGUGAGAGAGUGCUGUGUGUGAUGGGUGUGAGUGCUGGGUGUGAUGGGUGUGUGAGUGCUGUGUGUGAUGGGUGUGAGAGUGCUGUGUGUGCUGGGUGUGAGAGUGCUGUGUGAGAGAGUGCUGUGUGUGAUGGGUGUGAGAGUGCUGUAUAAAUGUUGUUGUGUGUGUAGGGGGGCUAAAUAAAAAAAAACAAAAAACAGUCAUUAUUCCCCCCCCCCUUCUUAUCUUUAGCCUGGGAGGGGGGGGGGACCGGCACGCUGGGACUGGGAGGGGUGGGUCCGGCACGCGGUGUUCCCUGGUGGUCCUCGUGGGUGAGUGAACUCUAGCCGGAUGUUCGCGAGAGGAAACCCCGGCGCGAGAGGAACUGGAGCUGCAAGUUAGAGCUCCGCCGAGUCCUCUCUCCAGCCUAGCUGGCUGUCUCCCUCCCUCCCCGCCGGCGGCCGCAUGUGGGCCGGUCAGGGAGAUCCUUGAUCUCCCCACCGGCCCGUCGUGGCAAACAGCGGGGCCGGCGCUAGGAGAGUGCCGGCCCUGCAUAGACCGGCAGGGGAGAUCCUGGAACCUCCCCUGCCGGCCUCGGCCCCACGGCCACCGCGGCCCACCGGGCAUUUGCCCGGUGUGCCCGAUGGCCAGUCCGGGCCUGAUAUCAGUGCACCUGGCUAUAGAUAGAAGGGCUGCAAAACCCCCAAAUUAAGUUUUAUUGGUUUUGUUUCAUUUCUUUGCACCAAAAUGUACAUGAGAAACAUGUGGCAACCUUCAUGUCACUUCUGACAUCAUAAUAACACAACCACUCCAUAGGAUCCAUAGGAGUGCAUCAAGUCUCGUCACUAAUGACUGCAGAAGAAUGUGACCCUUUGUCAGUAUAUGUUAGACAUAUGCAAUUAUUUUCGGUCCAAAUUUAAAUUCGGAUGAAUUUUGGCAAUUCGGACAUUCGGGUGCUUCCGAAAUGCCGAAUUUCCAAAGUGCCAAAUUUCGGAAGUGCCGAACCAAGACGAAUUUUGAAAGUCCCGAUCCGAGCCAAAUUGCCAAAGUGGCGAAUUUUGGAAGUGCCGAAGUGCUUCAGAUUUCUGAAAAGUGGCAAAACAGGAGAGGGAGGUAAAAUGAAGGGAAUGAUGACAGGAAUCUAACCCUAGCCCUCACCCUUACCCCAACCUUCCACUAACCCUACCCUAGUAGGGGUAGGGUUAGGGGUCGGGGUAGGGUUAGGUGUUAGGUUAGGGGUAGGAGUAGGGAUAGGGUUAGGGUUAUGGAAUUGCCGAAGUCUCAAAUUCCCUAAGUGCCGAACCGAGCCAAAUGUAUUGCCCAUGCACAUCCCUAGUAUAUAUGUGUCCAUAUAGGUGUAGCGUACAGAGUUGAAUAUUUACACUAGAAUGACGCGUGACGCAGUCCUGUAGGUAGACUGCCCUAGUAUAUGUAACAGAAAGUUGGUAAUAUCUCUUUCUUGAGGUUAUAUAGCCUUUAAAGAAAAGAUACUAGUAACCAGGCAUUCAUUCAUUUGAGGAAGUCAGGAACAUGCAGUAAUGAUGAGCUCAGAUUCACCCACAAUCAUACAAUGUAACCUUUUCAUUUGAGAACUCUGUUAAUAUCCUUUUUUCUGAGGUACAAUGUAACCUUUUCUUUUGAGUCUUGGCAAUGGGUCCUUACUAUUUGUGUUUAGUAUUUAUUUAUUCUAUGGAUUCCAUCCAUGUUUGCCAGCCAACAGCAAUUCCUUAUUCUGGUUUUGAAAAUCGUUGCUGUGUUAUAUGAAAUAUAACAGUACUGUAAGCUUGGGGGAGACAUCCUACCUCAUUGCCAUUUAUUAGUAAUUCCUUUCCUGUGCGACAUGAUGAGGGAAGGACUGGUUAGACACGGACCAAUUAAAAGUUCUAGAUUGUUGUAUGUAUUCACCAUAUUCAAUAACAUGGUUCUAACACCCAAGUUUUAAGGAAAAUGCAUGGCUAUGAAUGUUACUGCUUUUGUAUUUCGAUUUGGGUAAAUAUAUGUUCACGUUUAACAUGAAAAAGGACUGUGUGUGAAAAAAGGUGUCUGAAUUGCAAGCUCUUAGUUUAAUUAAAAAAAAUUUUUUUUUUUUUUUAAAAACAAACCCAAAAAGGGUUACAAGGUAUACAAGCCUUGAAAGAGAUCUAAAGAAUUAAACAUUUAUUUGGAAAGCUAAAGCUGCUUCCGUUUGGAAACGCCAGAAAAUUAAUUAAUGCAGACCAGGUUAAAAAAGAAACAUUUAUAUAAUGCACCAAAUAUAAUGCUUCCAUUUUUUUUAUAGCUAGGCGAAUUUAACUGCAUUGUGAUUACCGCAGGCAGGGAAAAGAUAGAAGAUAUUUUUUUAAGUGUGGUCAUAAAUCCCUGCUCAUUAUAUAAUCUAUUGCAGUUUAUCACAGCCUGUUUUGAAUGAAUAGGAAUACUUUAUGACUUAAAAUAAUUAGAGAAUAUAAUUGAAAUUCUCUACAGUUCCAAUCAUGCAAGUUACCGAUUAUUAAACCUUGUACUAAUAAGACAAUUUUGCCGAAUUAAAGGGACACUCCAGACCCCUAAAGGAGUUUGGCUUAUUGAAGUACUUUAUGUGUACAUAGUGUGUACUUUAAAAAAAAAAAAAAAAAAUUACAAAAAGUGCAGAUUUCUAUAGAAAUUUUAAUUUUUUUUAUAAUUAACCUUUUCACAACCCCUAAUUGUCAAAUCAACAACUGAUCCUGUUACUUCCUUGUUUUUUUUUAGUUCAGUGGACCUAAACACAAGAGGCAGCAAUUGCCAAGAGCAUUUACCUUACAACAGCUUCUCAGUGAGCUGCAUUAAGAAGUCUGUGAUUGGACAGUUAAAGAAAGUCUGGGCAGGGUUAGAAGAGGAGGUCUUGCAAAGGCAUCAGAGCCCCUUUAAGUCAAAGUUCUGUGCCAUACAAUGCCAAACUUAAUAAAGUAAUGAUGUAUUAUGAAUAUUAUGCUUGCAUAGGGCUUGCUAUAUUUGAAGGUAAUCUUAGUGGUGCAAUAGCUUGAGAGGCAAGUACUUAAUAUGGAACUGUCAUGUCCCAGGAUUUUUAAUAUUAUGCUUACUUAUCAUUAUGUCUAACAAAUACAUAAAUGUGAGGUAUGAAAAAAAAAAAAUUAGGGGGUGGAGCCUAACCUUUCGUGGAGACAGACACGGGAGCCCUUAGCUCUCCUACCCCGGGCGCACAGUCCGCUUCCAUCAGCUAAUAUAGCGGCGCAUCUCGCUUCACUAUGAUAUACCCUCUGCGCAUCAUACCUUUUUUAUACCUCUCCGACAUGGGGGACUCCAAAAAGCGCAAGGAACACACACCAUAGGUGGCCUCAAUGUCUCACGCCAAAGAAGCAGAGCGGCCAUCUUUGUCCCAGGGCCUAACCGACUCAGGUUCCGACUCAACGGAGAACAACGCUGGGGAAAACCUGGGAGCCCCUCUUACCAAAGACGACCUCAGCAAAAUGCUUUGGGAAACAUCAGAAGACAUUAAGGCCUACACCACGGUUGCAUUGGAGAAGCAAAUCGUGGGCCUGAAGGAGGACAAGGAAGCCCUAGCCUCGCGUACUAGCCACACCGAAAACUUACUCUCAGAAAUUCAAACCAAAUCCGAGACUCAUGACCGGGACAUUGACAUACUUAAAGAAAAAACUACUGUUCCUGGAGGAUGGUAUGGAAGACCUCAAUAACAGAUCUCGAAGGCAAAACAUCAGGAUUAGGAGGUUGACGGAGUCUGUCGGCCCUGACACUGUACUCCUCACUGUCAAGGCAAUUUUUCAGUCUCUCCUCCCGGAGGCCUCCAAACAGGAGUUUUCUAUUGAAAGAGCACACCUGCCCUUACUACUACACUUCCCUAUCAAAUAGAAACUAAUCAACACUGCAAGGGAUAACCCCACAAUUUACCAAGAACAAACAUGUGAAUGUCUUACAAAUCCCCGGGAACAUUAGCAUUCCAAUCCACAUAGGGGUUGCUCAUAAAUUGUGAGUCAGGGCAACUUAACCACCUGCAGACAGGUAUCCAGCUCCCUAUAUACAACCUAUAAUGAGCCCUCUAUCACUCCUGGGAACCUCUGAUUAGUACAAUGAAAUUAUGUGUCUAUAUCAGGAAUGUAUAUAGCUAUGUUCACUUUGAUGUAUGUUUACUAUGUAUGUUUACCAACAUGCGAAUGUCUUACAAAUUCCAGGGCAUAUCAGCAUCCCAAUUUACAUAGGGGCCACCCAUAAAUCGCGAAUCAGGGCAACUCCACCACCCAAAGACAGGGACUUAGUUCCCUACUCACAACCUUUAAUGAGCCCUAUAUCACUCAUGUGAACCCCUGAUUAGUCCAAAUAGAUGACGUGUAUAUAGCAAGAAUGUAUAUAGUUAUGUUUACGUUGAUGAUGUAUGCUUACCAUCUAUGAUUCCCAACAUGCGACUGUCUUACAAAUUCCCGGGAACAUCAGCAUACCAAUCGGCAUAGGGGUCGCCCAUAAAUCGUGAGUCAGGGCAAUUCCACCACUCUCAGACAGGGAUUGAGCUCCCUACUUUUAACCUAAAUUGAGCCCUAUAUCACUCCAGGGAACCUCCAAUUCGCCCAAUGAACUGACGUAUAUGUAUACAUAGGUGUCCUUCAGUAUACAAGUCUACGUCCUAUGAAAACUCAUGCAUGUCUACUUGUAAAUCUCAAUGUAUAUAUGUUUUUUUUUUUUAACAAACUCUUGGCCCACCCAAGGCCACGCACCAGGGUAGUACUGCCACCCAAUGCCCUAGAACGAGCACUCGACUUAAAACCCACAGAGAAUCCCACAUGACCACGGGGACUCACAGAGUAAAGCCCUUCAAUCUACAAAUUAGGUAUUUUCAUGUCUACCUGACCGAGGCUGGGCUGCCUCACAGGGCCCUGGAGACGAGCCCAUUCCUCUCACCACACCCACAAACUUAUUCCAUGAACAUCACAGUGUACAAACUGGCCAAGGGGUACAUUAGCACACCCUUCCUACAGCCAAUCUAUUAAGCCUCCACACACAAACACCCACUCAAGCCUUCCCUUGACAACCAAUCCAAGACGAGCCUCCGCUCUAGUGAUGAACAACCCAACUGACAGAGGGACUACCCCGACAACAUCCACCAAUGAGAUUUGUCUAAAAGACAACCCGGGGGCAACCAGCGACCUUACCAACGUCCAACCUCCUUCUGUGACCCUCCACUGUACUCAACCCCACCACUGCCCAGUGGGACAGACCAAACUCCCACCGGACACAAUCACCCUACCUCACUACUCCUCACUUCCUCCACCCACACGACCCCUGGCUACCAAACCGUAAGAUCAGGAGACCUACCCCCUUCUCCCUCUUCACCCAACUCUCCCACUCCCUCUCUUCCACCCCUUUUUGAAUUUUUUAGUUUUUAAAAAAAUUCUUCUUUUCUCUCUCUUCUCCUUCUCUCCUUCGUAUCCAUCCACCCCACCCUUCCCCCGUCACUCCCUCACCCCCAGGCCAAAUCACCCUCACACAACAGGCACCCCACAGCACGAGCCUCCACAGCCCCCAUUGUGUCAGCUUCUCUGACCUGCCUAUCCAUGAAUUCCAAGGGCCUCAACAAUCACUCCAAGAGACAUCAACUCAUGUGCUAGGCAAAAAGAUCGAAAGCAGAUAUACUUCUACUACAAUAGAUGCACUUCACCCAAGCCAAACAGUUCCCUCUCCUGAGCCGCGUAAUCUUCGAUAGCUCCCCCAUGGAAAAGCAAAAUGGGGUAGCCAUAGUGGUACGUAAAACCUGGCCACUAUCCAUAGACCAAACGGUCGCGGACCCCCAGGGAAGUUACCUCAUGAUCGCCGGCAAGAUCGGCACGCAUAAAUGCGCGUUCACGUCCGUAUAUGCACCGAAUACCCCCUCCAGCUCAUUUUGGCAAACACUUAGGGCACAUAUGGCACUCUUUACCUCACACCACCUUAUAUGGGAGGUGACUACAAUGCCACUUUAUUCCCCUCAGUAGACAGACACCGCGCUCAACCCCACACUCAUCUGCCCCCAACGGCUCAGGCAGACAAGAUGUUCUCCAUAUUUGUCUCCAAAACAAGACUGAUAGAUGCGUGGAGACCCCAACACCCCACAGUCUUAGAUUACACUGUCUUCUCACAUCCAAACCAAUCACACUCCCGCAUUGACCUGUUCCUGGUCUCCUCUGCCACCAUUGGCUCCAUACCAUGGUCUGACCAUGCAGACAUAACUCUCACAAUCACACUAACAUGUACAAUCCGCCCCUGGUCAUGGCGCCUGUAUCCCACGCUCAUACACAAUCCGCCGAUCCGAGAGUCGAUCUCCCAAACUAUGCAUGAAUAUUUUCAUUUAAACACGGAUUCAGUAGCCUCCAAAUGUUCACCAUGGGCAGCUCACAAAGCACUCCUCAUAGGCUCAAUGAUAAAUUUAGCAAUGAUCCACAAAACAAAAAACCAGGUAGCCCAACUAGAAAACACGCUGAUGACUCUCUGUUCUCGAGGCCAAACAUAAACUUGACACCACACCGGAACCGAACGCGCAAAUAUCAAAAUGUCAAACGGACAUAAAAGAGUACAUGACACAAGACUUGUUCAAGGCCCUACAAUGGAUGAAACAACUCUUUUACGAUAAAUCUAACAAGGCCAAAACGUUAUUAGCACACAGACUAAAACAAAGAGCGGCCCAGAAACAAAGAAACAAAAUCACGACUCCGGACGGCUCACCGACGGAAGACCCUGAUCGAAUUGCAGAAGUGUUUGAAAAAUACUUCAUGGACCUCUACGACCAUGACCCCAACACGUAUCAAAACCCAUCCACGUACAAAACCCUCAUAGACCACUACUUAGGUCAAAUUCCACUACCCUUCCUGUCUAGAGAAAUGGCAAAGACACUAAUAGAGCCGAUCACACCCGAGGAAGUAGCAGGGACAUUAAAAACUCUCAAGUCCAACAAGAGUCCUGCACCAGAUGGAUUCACAGGACUUUACUAUAAUACAUUCGCCCCAACUCUGAUCCAACAUCUAUGCUACCUCUUUAACGCCAUCCUAUCGGGAGAGCAACUACUGAAAGAAAUGCUUCUGGCAAAUAUAUGCCUCCUCCCCAAACCCAACAAAAACCCAUCUAGACCCGGGACACUAUCGACCGAUAUUCUUAUUAAACGUGGACAUCAAACUGUUCACGAAAACUUAUGGCAGACCUCCUAUGCCCCUUCCUGCCAAAACUUAUACACCCAGACCAGGUGGGGUUCAUCCCUACAAGACAAGCUAGCGACAAUACGAGACGGACAUACAACCUAAUUUGGACCGCACACAUCAGACACAUCCCGACUCUCCUGUUUUCCCUUGACACACAGAAAGUUUUCGACAGACUAUUAUGGUCAUUCCUCUUCGCCACCCUACGACAAUAAGGUUUCCCGACACGCUUCAUAGACGCACUUAAAACACUGUACGCCUCGCCCAUAGCUAACUUCUUACUUCCACUCAAACACCUGCCCACCUUUACAAUACAGAACGGCACAUGGCAGGGAUGCCCCCUCACCCCUAUCCUAUUUGCCCUAUCAUUAGAACCGCUCCUACAACACCCAUAUCAAAGGACUCAAAGUUCGCGGGGAGGAAUACAAAACUGCGGCGUACGCAGACAAUUUACUGAUCACUAUAACAGGACUCCAACAAUCCCUACCGACCCUGCUUUCUGCACUAUCUGCACACGCGGUAGUUUCUGGCUACAAAUGAAAUAUCGAUAAAAUGGAAGCCUUGCCGAUACACAUCGCCUUAGACACACUCGAAGCCUUGCAAUGAGCCUACCCUUUCAACAUACAAUCUACUCAUAUUCAAUACCUAGGCGUCUGCCUACCGACAGACUUCUCUCAAUGUUACCCCUUAAACUACACCCCCACCACACAGAAAAUUACACAAGAUAUGGCCAAAUGGCAAGACAUGCCUAUCUCAUGGAUGGGCAGACUAGCCUCCAUCAAAAUGAAUGUACUCCCAAGACUCCUGUAUCUAUUCAAUCUCGGGUCCAGAUUUUAAAAAGUUACAAACGACAAUCGACAAGUUCAUCUGGUCCAACAGACGUGCUAGAAUAAAGAGACAAACCCUAUAUGUACCCAAUAAGGCAGGAGGCAUGGGCCUGCCGCAUCUCACGCAUUACUAUCAAGCAGCGCACAAAGCACAGGCACAGAACUUGCAUGCUCCGUACGGGGUCAAGAGAUGGGUGGACCUGGAACACAAUAUUUUUGGUAGGGAUUUCCCCUCCCUUUAUCUUUGGCUGCCAAAACAAGCCAGCCCCCCCUUACCCCUGACGACCCGACCCUGAUCAAUACCAUCAAAGUCUGGGACAAACUGAUGCAUAAAUGUGGACUUGAACCCUUAACCACUCAGCCCAUUACUCUGCAACACACAAUUCGCAUGAAACCCAGGGACUUCGUAUGUUUCAAAGACAAUAACCUCACUCGCCUAUAUCACUUUUAUACUAACCAACAACUAAUACCAUUCACAGACCUCCUACAAACUACCCCUUUCUGGACGUUCGACUUUUUCAGACACAUACAGAUUAGGAACUUUCUUGAACAACCAACAAACAAACAAGCAGGUACCACUGCCCUGAAAUCCUUUGAAAGACUAUGCAUGAAAGCACCAGUCCAAAAAGGACAGAUCUCAGCACUAUACAUGUAUAUAAUUCAACCCGUCAAGAAGGGGGCCUUCACAUACGUGUCAGCUUGGGAGAGGGACUUAAGCUCGGCAGAAGACCCGUCCGAUUGGGUCGACAUCUGGGAAGCCACUUCCACUAUAUCCAUAUGUGUUAACCGGAAAGUGCAAGCUUAUAAAACAUUAAUGAGACCGUACCUCACCCCCACUUAAAAUGAAACAGAUGGGCAAGUCAGACACAGACUUAUGCUGGAAGGGAUGUGGACAAAAAGGCACCUACCUCCACUUGUGGUGGGAGUGUGCCCCAAUCGCCCUACUAUGGUAACAUGUCGCAUCUAUGGUCUCCGGGAUUCUACAUUCGGACAUUCCUUUAAACCCAUGGAUAUGGAUCCUUUCAAAGCCACACACUAACACGCCCCAAGCACAAAACAAAAUGAUUGCCAGGAUCGUACUAGCGAAAAGACGGGCAACUGCCAAAAAAUGGGGAAGCCCUGAUACCCCUACCAUAGACACGGUACGCCACAAAAAUACUGAUUCCAUCAAAAUGGACGAAAUGUCUGCAAUCAUACAUGACACAACCAAACACUUCCAUAAAAUAUGGGACCCAUGGUUCUAUGAAUUCCCCACCUCUGCGUAAACCCACAAGAAAUUACUUAGUUCCGGAACAUGACCCAACCACUACAGGGCAUCCAAAAAAAAAAUCUAGAUACCACGGAUAACACCACCUGUAUUCACCUCCCUACUCACUCCCCACCCCUGCAGCCUCCCCUCCCUUUUUUCUCUUCUAUCUUUCUCUUCUUCUCUUCCUUCUCUCUCUCUCUCUCUCUCUCUCUCUCAACCUCCUUACCCACCCAGUCUUAUCUACUGUCCCUUCGAAUAUGUACAAACUGCUAUUCCCACGCUACACGCCCAGCAUGCAGGUCAAGGACCUGGACACACACACAAAACACUUGCUUAGCAAUAGCCCAAAAGGACCAGGCCACGACCUACCAGACAAACUUACAAAACACCAACACGGAGGUCCUUUGACAGAGCCUACAUCUUCACACACCACAGGGUGCCCUUCACAACCCCCAAACGCUUUCCUCUAUGCUAACAAACCACUUCCAGCACAGACCCUGAAGAUUAGAGGGCUUCCCAGUUUCUUACCAGCUUCAUGUUCUCCCGCUCCCAUGCCUUCCCAGUUACCCCCUCAAAUUGGCAGACCGAUUAGAUGAACACGGUGUAGUCUAAAAAAGAGCCUGAUUAACACGCAUGCAAGAGUCUGUAAUCCGUGUAACUCGAAACUGUGCUGAUUACUUCUGCAACAUGCCAAUUAAUCCCUACUGUCGAAUGUAUGUUAAACCUAUGUUUUUGAAUUGUUAUACCUUGCUUGAUCUCCUAUUUCUGUAAACACUGAAUAUUUACAAAUAAUGACUUAUAAAAAAAUAUAUAUAUAAAUAUUAAAUCUAAAAAUUCACAACUCUUUAUCCUGCAACUGUGUACCUCCAUCUUGGCUGUCUGUCAAACAUUGUUAUAAGCUCCGUCCUUUGCAGCUGGCAGUCAGCACAGAUAACCAAAACCAAGGAGAAAUUAAACAAUGUUGCUGUGUCUAAUGUACAUUUGCAAUGUAUGUCGUAGCAUUGCCUUGUCGGAACUGAAUUAUGAUGUCAUUUGCUAAAUCUUUAAUUGGAAAACCUUUCAGUCACAAAGUAAGGAAACAAUAUCCUGACGCUAGAUACUUUCCUUUACAUGAAACCAUAGGAGAAUUCUUAUGUUUUAUUUAUAUAUAUAUAUAUAUAUAUAUAUAUAUAUAUAUAUAUAUAUAUGAUAUACAGAUUAAUUCUAGAAAAUGUAAUCAAAAAGACAAACUAGUAACUCCGCUUCAUUGUUGUUGCAUACAUAACUAAAAUUGUUUUGGUUUUCCGCGACACAUUUACAGUAUAAAACACAUUUGUUUAAUAGACAAAUAUUCUCUUAAUGUUAUACCUGAAUUUCAUAUUUUCUGUUACUCUCAGAGGUACCUUUUUGGACAGAUAUAAUGUUUGUAGAGGUUGUUAACUUGUGAAUCACAGUGUAAAACACAGAUAUCAGAUUCAAAUACAUCCACAAGACUAAAUUGGGAUAACUGGGCUGAAGCAAAUCAGGCCAUGUCAUACAUAAUCAAUGUGACGGAGAAGUUAGUGAGUUAAUAUCUGCAAGCAUCUCACUUUGAAGCAGAUUUUGAAAGUAUCAUGUAUGCUUUUGGGACUUUUGUCAGCAUUAUUUGUAUUUUUUUUUUCUUGUGCAUUUGUCUAUACUCCAUGGCUAUAACAUUUUCUUUGUAUUUAGCUCGGUCAGCUGAACAUUCAUAAUCAAUCAAAAUAUCCUUGAUGACAAAAUGCUGUAUGCUAGUUUGAGAUUCAACAGGACACAUUAAAAUAAAGAUUAUGUGAAUCUUGUAGUUAAACUAUACAACUGAAUAUUUUGUUUACUAUUUAAGGGCAUAUGUCAAUGAUUAUAAAGGUGACAUGUUCCUGAGUAAAGACAUACUAAGCCUAAUUCAAUAUUGAAGUAAUUUUACAAAUAUAUUAACAGUAAUUAACAAAUUUUUAAAAGUACAUGGCUGAUACAGCAGUCAGUUGGACUAUAUCAAUUUGCCCAUUUUCUUCUUCAACACAUUUUCACAAUCUUUAGGAUGCACUUUGAAUUAUUAGUCUUUAGAACCUUGGGUAUCAUUGCACCAAACCACCACUUCAGUAAACUCAGAAAUGGGUUUUUGGUGCUUAGUUUGUCUGUGAAUGGUCGAGCCAGAGCCCAACUGACCCACCGGCAUACCUGGAUACCGCAAAAUUGUCCGGUGGACUGUUAACCUUGGUGCCGGGAGGGCUGCGUAAUACCAUUUAAAUUAUUUAAUUAAGGAGGAAAGUGCCGGUAGGUGGUGCAGAUGCAUUGAGACUGCCGGCGGCCGCAGGGUGCACUGUAAAACUAUUCUGGGACUCUUCUGCUCUGCCCCAUGUUCAAGCUCUGCCCCAUGUUCAAGCUCUGCCCCACUCUUAAGAUCUGUCACAGCAUCAAGCCCCACCCAUGUGUGUCCCUUUUUUCAGGUAACACUAUUUAUAAGAAAUAUAUUAUGUGAAAUACGUUUUGCAAGAUUUAUAAUUUUACAGUAAAAUUCAUUUUGUACUAUGCAUUUAUAUGUACUAUUUGAACUUUGGUAUAAUUGUAAUAAUUAUGUAAAAGGUGUUUGUUGCUUACUCCAAUUAUGCUUCAAUGUGUAGGUUCAGAUAAGGAAAGAGAACCUUACUAUUAAUUACUUUAUAACUAUUUAUAUACAUUUAAAUGCAUGAUCACAAAAGUGGUGAGCUCCAUAAAUUUGACUUUUUUAAAUAGUUAAUGUGUAAAAGCAGUGGCGUACACACAACCAUUGGGGCCGCAACACAUGGCGGCGGGCACCUGGUCGCAGGGGUCGCAGGGCUGAAAAUCACAGUGAGAAGACACUGAAUGUCCAUAGGAAAGCAUUGAGUAAUGCUUUCUUAUGGGCGGUUUGAAUGCGCGCGCGGCUCUUGCCACGCAUGCGCAUUCGGAGCUGAGAGGCGGACCGGGGCAGAGAGAUCCCAAGCGCCAAGGGAGUCCGACGCUGGAGAAAGGUAAGUGCUGAAGACACACACACUCUAACAAAAAGAUGCAUACACACUAGCUAACAGACAUACACACUAGCUAACAGACACACACAUUUACUGACAGACACACACUCAGUGACAGACAUACAUACACACUCACUGACAGACAGACAUACACACUCACUUACAAAAGACACAUACACACUCACUUACAAAAGACACACUCACUAACAGACACUAAACAGACUCACUAACAGACACACACAGUAACACACUAACACACACACACACACUCUAACACUAACACACACACACAUACACUCUCUCUCACACACACACACACACUCUAACACACACACUCUAACACAAACACACACACACAGUCUAACACUAACACACACACGAACACACUAACACACACACUCACUAAAACACACUUUUUUUUAAAUUUAAUCCCCCCAGCCUCCCUACAUUUGGGAGAGCUGAGGGGAUUCCCUGAGGUCCAAUGGUAUCACCCGGCGGGCGCGCGAGGGAGCACUCUUCCCUGAGUGCUUCCUGUUCAGCUCCCUCGCACGUUGCGUACUGAUACUGGAGCUGGAAGAUUACGCCGGCUCCGGUAUCAGUGCGGUGCGCGAGGGAGCACUCAAGGGAGAGUGCUCCCUCGCACACCCGCCGGGUGACACCAGGCCCAGCCUCGGGGGGCCCUGAGGUGACCGGCUCCUGGGCCCCCCAGGAGAUGAGGCUGGCCACAGUGGGUACAUACCGGGUUGCAGGGCGGCCGGGCCCCCUGGUUACAUAGUUACAUAGCUGAAAAGAGACUUGCGUCCAUCAAGUUCAGCCUACCUCACAUUUGUUUUUUGCGGUUGAUCCAAAAGAAGGCAAAAAACCCCAGUUUGAAGCACAAUUUUGCAACAAGCUAGGAAAAAAAAUCAUUCUUGACCCCAGAAUGGCAGUCAGAUUUAUCCUUGGAUCAAGCAGUUAUUACCCUACAUUGAAAGAUUAUAUCCUUGAAUAUUCUGUUCUUGCAAGUAUGCAUUUAGUAGCCGUUUGAACAUCUGUAUGGACUCUGAUAAAACCACUUCUUCAGGCAGAGAAUUCCACAUCCUGAUUGUUCUUACAGUAAAAAAACCUUUCCUUUGCCUUAGACAAAAUCUUCGUUCUUCCAGUCUAAACGCAUGGCCUCGUGUCCGGUUUGUGAAUAGAUUUCCACACAAUGGUUUGUAUUGACCCCGAAUAUAUUUGUAUAAUGUUAUCAUAUCCCCUCUCAGGUGACGUUUUUCUAAACUAAAUAGGUUUAAAUUUGUUAACCUUUCUUCAUAGCCGAUAUGUUCCAUAGCCGCGACCCCUGCGACCCCAUAUGUACGCCGCUGUGUAAAAGGUAAACAAAUUGGAUAUAAUUCAAUGCUACAAAGGUAGAAUGAUAAAAUAAUAUAUAUAGAAAUUUGACCCGAAAAAUAUAACUCAAAAUCUAUACCUUCCAAAACGACAAAAGUCCAAAUGUAAGCAACACAUAUUUUUCUUUUAUUAAAACUGCUCAUCGCAAAAAAGAAUUGGAAAAGGUAAAAAAAUAAAAAUUCUCUCAGGCUAUUUGUUAUUUACACAAAAUAGGUUUAUACUUUUAAACUCUUUUUUAACCUUUUGACAAAUACCAUAUCAUAUAUUAUGUUUAUAUAUUAUGUUAUGUCAAAGUCAUUAUAUCUGAUGCCUGAAACCACAUCGAGCAUACGGUUUAAUAUAGUUUUGUGUUUUGGCUUUUGUGGCAUUUAGAACUCAAUUACAGUGCAAUCUCUAGACUCCAUAGACUUAGUGAUUGCAGAUGUAUGUUAAUUCAUACAAUAUCUGUGCAACAGCAAAGAAUAGAGACGUGAGAGGCUGGAUCUAUACUUAAUGCUUGGUGAAAGCUUAUAUAUACAAAGGGGGGGUUGGGGUUUCAGAAAAUAAAACAUUAAAUAAUUACUGGCUGCAGCUAAAAAAUUUAUAUUUUUUCCUGUGCGUCUUUUUCUGGACUUUAUUGGUAUUUGGCAACUACGGAGGGGGUGAAUACUGGUUCUUCCACCAUACUCCAUGGAAUGGUAAGAAAAAACUCCCAUAAAACUCUAGCCUGUGCAUGCUAGAACCUUUUAAGCAAAUCAGCAUUCUCCUUAUUGAUUCAUAAGGGAAAAGGAAUUAAUAUGGACCGCCAUCUGCUUAGUAAGUAGGGGUAUUUAACAAUGAAUUCUUCCUAACUUCAUAAAAGCCACUUUGACAAAUCAGCAAGACCAUAUUGAUCUUAAAAAAAAAAAAAAAGCUGGAGAUUGCUAAAUGUAUUUCCUCAUUGCAUUGGAGGACCAUUAUUUUCUUGAUCUAGGAUUUAUUUGUUUAACCCAUGUAAUGCUUAUCUAGAUUCCGAUCUUCGGUGACAUUCCUAUUGAAAUAGAUCUUAUAUAUACACACCUUAAAGGUAUAUUUUCUUUCUUUAUUAUGAAAGUACGUUUUACAGUUAAUACAAUACGUUUUAUUGUAAAUCGCAAGGCAUAUUAUUUUGUUUUUGUUUUUUUAAUCAUUCAAUGGAAAGUCCUGGUCAUUUAUAUUUUGUACGUUUUUUUUUUGUUUUUUUUGUAGGGAAUUUUUUUUAUUUUUAUAAGUCUAGGAGCCAUCUUGAAACUGAUAACUGGCAUUCAGGCACAGAAAAAAUCUUAAGAAAAGAGAACAAGUUCAAAUAGUGUAAUUUUUUCAAUAUGUAGAUAUUUUAUAUAACCAGGGAAUUAAUAUAUUUAUUAUAUUUUCAGUCCAUUGAAAUUAGAGCAUCUGAUUCUUUACACAGAUCAUUUUUAAACAUUGUUUUUGACACAUAAAAUAUCAUAUUCAAUUUUAAAAAUGCAAUAUUAGUGUUUUUCUGUCUUUCUUAAUAUUUGCUGUUGAAAAUGUUUCAAAUAUACUCAGCCCAAGGUGUAACCAUUGUUUAAAGGGCUAUGAUGGCACAAUAACAGUUUAGUCACAAACAGUGUAAUGUUAAUGAGAAUUAUUUAUUUAUCGACUGGAUUUUAGUUUGUUUUAUGAUUAGCUUCAAGAAUAAAAAGGGUUAAUACCUUUACUUUGGUACUUUAAAUGAUUCUUCUGCAUUUUAAACAUUGCACAGCAAGGUACAAGCAAAGGCGGUGCUUUUAGAUGGAGCUAGCAUUUAUCUACUUAUAGUUAGUAUGGGUGCAAGUUUUAAUAAAGUACAUUUCAGUCCAUUUGUGGGCUUUUUGUGGUCAUUAUUGUAAGAGCUGUUCUGUAAUUUUCUUUGAUGCAGGAUUAACAGCGGUAGAUUUGGUUAUGCCUUGGUAAGUAGUUUUAUUACUUGUUGUUGUUGUUAUUCUGCUGAUUGUAAAAUUACAUUGAACAGGAAACGCUAAAUUAUGAAAACUCUGUCACCUAUCAGUGCAGUGUUUAUGUAUAUUUCCAAUAGCUGCAAAUUGCCAUUGUAGACAUCGAGUGUCCUGUUUUCCUGUCCACUCAUGCUAUAAGCAUUUUUUAAUUUUUGUAUUUUUAUUUUAACCCUUUAGUGACUGAUGAUUUACUAAAAUUGAGCAUUCAUUACUAAAGCUGUUUUGGUGCACUUGUUGGGUGUUCAUUUUACAGUAAUUUCCUGUAUUCUCAUUAAAGGACCACUCUAGGCACCCAGACCACUUCAGCUUAAUGAAGUGGUCUGGGUGCCAGGUCCCUCUAGGAUUAACCCUUUUUUUUUUUUUUUAUAAACAUAGCAGUUUCAGAGAAACUGCUAUGUUUAUAAAUGGGUUAAUCCAUCCUCCAAAUCCUCUAGUGGCUGUCUCAUUGACAGCGCUAGAGGCGCUUGCGUGAAUCUCACUGUGAAAAUCACAGUGAGAAGACGCAAGCGUCCAUAGGAAAGCAUUAUGAAUGCUUUCCGAUGAGACCGGCUGAAUGCGCGUGCACAUUCAACCGAAUGGGAGGAGAGGAGGAGGAUCGGAGGAGGAGAGCUCCCCGUCCGGCGCUAGAAAAAAGGUAAAUUUUAACCCUUUCCUCUCCCCAGAGCCGGGCGGGAGUGGGACCCUGAGGGUGUGGGCACCCUCAGGGCACUAUAGUGCCAGGAAAACGAGUAUGUUUUCCUGGCACUAUAGUGGUCCUUUAAGUGCAGCCAUGCAUAUUAUAUAUUGUCUUUAUAGGGCUUUCUUUCGGAUGGCCUAUUACAAUAUAUAACACAAUAUUAGGUUUAAAUUAAAUAUUAUAAAAAUGAAAAAUAAGCUCCAAAAAUAGUUUUGCUCACAAUUUAUGCAACUCGUAUACAACUAGUGCUGUUAAAGAGAAUACUUUUAAAUAUAUUUGAUUAAAUUAUUAAUCCUGAUUUGUGGAAAUACCUCAUGCCUCAAAUUCUAACAACUUUUUGGAAAUUAAAAAUGAUCUACUUUAAUUUUAUUGCCAAUACAAACAAUAUACAAGUGUCUCUUAACAAAGAAAAAUGAGGAAACUGCAAGCUCAAACAGGCAGGGCUGGAUUAAGGGCCUCAUCGGGCUACAGCUGAAAGUUUUUAUUACAUAAGAACAUUAAAGGAACACUCCAAGCACCAUAACCACUAUAAAACAGGUCAGCUGCUCGAGAAAAAUCCUGUGAUAAAUGUACUUUAGAAGCACAUUUACCUCUUCUAGUGACCCUGUUAGACAUUAAAAAAAGAAAUAAAAACCUAUGGGGGUCAUUAUGACCCCCACAUUAGUAUAUAAGAGGUUAACUGUGAUCAGCUUGUGGUGGCUCUAAUAAUAAUAAUAAUAGUAAUGAACAGCAGGGACAAAGUGAUGCCCCAGCCCCCACCAUGGCCAGCAGCUGGUGGAUUUAAUAAUAAUGUAUGGGGGAUCUAUUGUCUCCAUCAGUCCCACCCAUUGGCAGUGGGUGGGCCCUUUAAUUAAUAAACCGAGGGGACCUAUUUUUUCCACCAGCCACCAACCAAAAGUGGUGUGUUGGAGCUUUAAUUAAAUAUACAAGAUUGUUGAAUAUGUCCGGGUUCGUACUGAACAUUAGGUUUUUUGGACCCAAACACGGACAUAUCACUGUAUGUUCGGGUUGGAGUUCGGUGAUUUAAUGAUGCAUUUUGAAAGGCCGCAGGGCAGCCAAUCAACAAGUGUUGGACUUGUGUGCCCUUAGAAGCCAUCACAGAAGCCAUCACAGCCAUGCCUACUAAUAACAUGGCUGUGAUUGGCCAGUGCAGCAAGUGACCCAGCCUCUAUAGAAGCUGGUCACUUAGUAUUAGUAAAUUAUGCCGCUACUCGCUAUACCGCGAGUAGGGGCGUGUCUAUUAAACAGUGAGUUGACCUGUUAAUCAAGUGAAAAUUAUACAGUAUCAAUCAACCAGACAUUCUUGUACCAGUAUUCAAAUACUUAUGUUAUUUUUUUUUAAAACAUGGUGCUAUUUCAUAUCCAAGUUAUGAAUUAGUAAAAUGGACAGUGUAAUCACCAAAACAACUUUAGCUUAAUCAAGUAGUUUAGGUGUAUAGAUCAUGCCCCUGCAGUGCUCAAUUAUAUAAUAUUUAGGUGUUAAUCACAUUAUUUAUGCAGCCAUAGCCACUUACCCCCCCCCCCAGCUAUGACCAGGGCCGGCCUUAGGCCUUUAGGCGCCCUGUGCGAAAAAUCUUCACAGCGCCCUCUUCCCCCUUUACAUCAUCCAUGUAUGAUGUAAUGUUUUUGUUGUCUGUGUAUGUGAUAGAUGUGAUGACUGUGUGUGAUAUGUAUGCUAUGUGUUGGCUGUGUGUGAUAUUUGUAAUGGAUUAACAGUGUGUGAUAUGUGCAUUGGUUGCAUGUGAUAUUUGUGCUGGGUUUAUUGGCUGUGUGUGAUGGUUAUUUGAAUGCAGGUGUAUAUUUUUGCAGAGUUAUGUGCACACAGUCCCACAGUCAGAUGCACAGUUAUACAUAUACACUGUCAAAUCCACCACAUGCACAUAGUCGCAGGCAGAUAGUCACAUACACAGUUACAGGUAGAUAAACACACUCACACACAAUUACAGGCAGACAGCCACACACACAGGCAGACAGCCACACACACACACACACACACACACACACACAAACAACACAAACAGUCUUACACACACAUACUUACACGCAGACAGCCACACACACACACACACACACACACACAGGCAGACAUCCACACACACACAGGCAGACAGCCACACAAACACACACAGGCAGACAGUCACUCAAACACACACACAUAGGCAGACAGUCACACACACACACACACACACACACACAGGCAGACAGUCAUACACACAAAGGCAGACAGUCAUACACACAGGUAGAAAAUGGAUCAGCGCUGUGUGAUGUGAUCAAGUGGAAAGCUGCAGCCUAUAGGUAUGAGGUUCCCUCUGAAGUCCUCAAAAGAGAAAUAACAAAAACAAGAAUAAUAGGUUGCGCUACGUAAAUAUCAAAUGAAAAAGGGAUAAAUAUGGCAAAACACUUUAAAACGUAAAAGAGGAAUAAUAUGUAUAAAGAAAAGGGGAUUUAAUAAAUAUAUAUAACAAAUAUAUAUAUAAAAAAAGAUAGUCCAAAUUCUUGAUAUAAUUUAAAAAGUUCAAAUAAGUGGAUGAUAGUGACAGUACUUGGUAUAUUUCUCUUUCAGGUUCCGGUAAGUAUUUGGAGGUAGAAAGUCCAAUAAGAGACUGAAUCUUCUAAUCUUUAGAGGAGUCUUGAUUCAGAGAUGAACAUGGAAAAUAUAAGCAACAAAGACGAUCCAAUAGUGUAGACUGUCUGUGAUAAAUAAUAAUAAUAAUAGGUAGGUAGUACACUCACCUAUCUUAGAGCAUGAACUUGCUCUAGUAUGUUGGGCGUUCAGUGGCGUUUAUCCCCCACUGGUAGGAUAUAGGUGAAGGUAAUUCCUCGGUAAUAAAAAGGAGAUAAAAGCAGAAUAUAGUGCUCACUGAAUCAAAAUGAAAUAAAGUGAAAUAAAAGGAAUAAAAAUACUCACAUUCGAAUGAGCAGGAUAAACUGCUCAGUAUAUUCGCAUAGGUGGUACAAUCCCCACCAAGGAUUCUUGGUCGUGGGUAGAUUCCAAGUUGGUGAAUGACCAGGUGACAGGAAAUAUUUUUAAAACAAAAUUAUUUAAAAAUAAGAUAAAAAGGUAUAUGGCAAAAUUGAUGUAAAAAAGCCACUAUUCCUUUAUUAGUACAAUAAAAAAUAUAUAAAAUAGCCAAAACGCGUUUCGCCACACAGGGCUUUAUCAACUGGCAAUAAUAAAAAUCAGCCUGGUACAUAGAUACUUUUAUAAACUAUGAUAAAACAUGCUUAUUCAAAUUUUGGCGCCAAAAUGACGUCAUCCAUACAGUGUGUAAAAAGCAAAAUGAUUAAUAACAUAAAAAUACAUAAAAAUACAAAAUGCAUAGUAUUCAUAAUUUAAAAUGUAAAGUAAUACAUAAUAUUUAAUAAUAAAACGAGUGUUAUUUGUUGAAAUAAUAGAUAGAAUCAAAAAUCAUGUGAUCGCAAGCUAAUGCGAUCACAUGGUGAACACUGAGGCAAUAUGGGAAAUGGAGUGACAGGGGAGAAAGCAAAAAUAGAUGGUCACGUGAUCGCGGACCUUCGCGAUCACGUGACUGAUUGCACACAUCGAUAUAGGGUGUAGCCGCUCAGACGGAGGUCGGCAGCCUACGGCACGCCUCCGUCUGACAUCAAUGGUGGGGGCGGUGUAUACCGCGAGUGCUCAUGGGGUAUGUAGUGUUCAGACGGGGGCCGGCAACUAGGGGCACGCCUCCGUCUGACAUCUACAAAAAAGGGGCGGCGCCUAAUGCCGUUCGUGAUCCACCUUGUAAAAAAAUAAAAAUAAGUGGCAUAACAGCCAAAAUUAGAACUAUUAUGAAUAAAACAAAUAUGAAUAUACAGAACAAAUAUGAGUAUAAAAACAAAUAUGAGUAUAUGAAGAAAUAAGAAAAAGGAAUAAUAGAACUAAAAAAAGUGAAAGGUGUAUUUAGGAGCUAAAUAGCUAGGUAUAUAUUGUUAACCUUAUAAAUAAAUGAAGGGUAAAAAGUGAGAUAUAUAAUAAAAAAUAAAAUAUAAAAUAUAAAAAUAAAAAUAAAAAUAAUUUUAUAAAAAAUUGAAAAUUUAUUGGAAUGUCCAUGCGGGCUCCAAUAUGUGGGCAUGACUAAAAGAUGCCUUAAAGUGAGACUAGCAGAACAUUGCCGUAACAUUAGGAGAGGUUAUGAGAAUCACUCAGUUUCCAAGCAUUUUUUAAUACAUAAUAAAGAUCCGACACUCCUAAAAGUAACUGGUAUAGAACAAGUCACUCUCCCAUGGAGAGGUGGAGAUAUUAUAAAAACUUUAGGCAAAAGAGAAAUGUAUUGGGUUUUUACACUUAAGACUCUUUUUCCUGAGGGCUUGAACGCUGAAUUUGACCUUUUCAAUUUUUUAUAAAAUUAUUUUUAUUUUUAUAUUUUAUAUUUUAUUUUUUAUUAUAUAUCUCACUUUUUACCCUUCAUUUAUUUAUAAGGUUAACAAUAUAUACCUAGCUAUUUAGCUCCUAAAUACACCUUUCACUUUUUUUAGUUCUAUUAUUCCUUUUUCUUAUUUCUUCAUAUACUCAUAUUUGUUUUUAUACUCAUAUUUGUUCUGUAUAUUCAUAUUUGUUUUAUUCAUAAUAGUUCUAAUUUGGGCUGUUAUGCCACUUAUUUUUAUUUUUUUACAAGGUGGAUCACGAACGGCAUUAGGCGCCGCCCCUUUUUUGUAGAUGUCAGACGGAGGCGUGCCCCUAGUUGCCGGCCCCCGUCUGAACACUACAUACCCCAUGAGCACUCGCGGUAUACACCGCCCCCACCAUUGAUGUCAGACGGAGGCGUGCCGUAGGCUGCCGACCUCCGUCUGAGCGGCUACACCCUAUAUCGAUGUGUGCAAUCAGUCACGUGAUCGCGAAGGUCCGCGAUCACGUGACCAUCUAUUUUUGCUUUCUCCCCUGUCACUCCAUUUCCCAUAUUGCCUCAGUGUUCACCAUGUGAUCGCAUUAGAUUGCGAUCACAUGAUUUUUGAUUCUAUCUAUUAUUUCAACAAAUAACACUUGUUUUAUUAUUAAAUAUUAUGUAUUACUUUACAUUUUAAAUUAUGAAUACUAUGCAUUUUGUAUUUUUAUGUAUUUUUAUGUUAUUAAUCAUUUUGCUUUUUACACACUGUAUGGAUGACGUCAUUUUGGCGCCAAAAUUUGAAUAAGCAUGUUUUAUCAUAGUUUAUAAAAGUAUCUAUGUACCAGGCUGAUUUUUAUUAUUGCCAGUUGAUAAAGCCCUGUGUGGCGAAAUGCGUUUUGGCUAUUUUAUAUAUUUUUUAUUGUACUAAUAAAGGAAUAGUGGCUUUUUUACAUCAAUUUUGCCAUAUACCUUUUUAUCUUAUUUUUAAAUAAUUUUGUUUUAAAAAUAUUUCCUGUCACCUGGUCAUUCACCAACUUGGAAUCUACCCACGACCAAGAAUCCUUGGUGGGGAUUGUACCACCUAUGCGAAUAUACUGAGCAGUUUAUCCUGCUCAUUCGAAUGUGAGUAUUUGUAUUCCUUUUAUUUCACUUUAUUUCAUUUUGAUUCAGUGAGCACUAUAUUCUGCUUUUAUCUCCUUUUUAUUACCGAGGAAUUACCUUCACCUAUAUCCUACCAGUGGGGGAUAAACGCCACUGAACGCCCAACAUACUAGAGCAAGUUCAUGCUCUAAGAUAGGUGAGUGUACUACCUACCUAUUAUUAUUAUUAUUUAUCACAGACAGUCUACACUAUUGGAUCGUCUUUGUUGCUUAUAUUUUCCAUGUUCAUCUCUGAAUCAAGACUCCUCUAAAGAUUAGAAGAUUCAGUCUCUUAUUGGACUUUCUACCUCCAAAUAUUUACCGGAACCUGAAAGAGAAAUAUACCAAGUACUGUCACUAUCAUCCACUUAUUUGAACUUUUUAAAUUAUAUCAAGAAUUUGGACUAUCUUUUUUUAUAUAUAUAUUUGUUAUAUAUAUUUAUUAAAUCCCCUUUUCUUUAGUCAUACACACAGACACACACACACAGUCACACACACAAACACACAGGCAGACAGUCAUGCACACACACACACACACACACACAGACACAGGCAGACAGUCACACACACACAGGCAGGCAGUCAUACACACAGGCAGACAGUCAUGCACACACAGGCAGACAUUUACACACACACAGGCAUACAGUCAUACACACACACACACACACACACAGACAGUCACCCUCACACUGACAAUCACACAUAGUUACCUCUGUUCAUUGUGGAGGCAGUGCAGCACCUGGAGACUCUUUGUUGGGGAAGCAGGGACUCCUUCCUGCUUCCCGGCAGCAGUUAUCCGGCACUUUUAGCUCAGCCCUUGCCAUCAGUUUUGCUCCACCCCGUCGCACGGGAAGCUCCGCCCCUGCUGCAUGGGAAGCUCUGCCAGGGCACAAUUUUUAUUUUUUUUAAAUCCCGUCCGGCCAUGUGUGAGCUGCUCCAUAGCGCCCUGUGCGGCAGCACAGCUCACACACCCCUAAGGCCAGCCCUGGCUGUGACUCACCUGGGCUUCAUAAAAAAAUAUUUUUCUAUCAGAUUUUAGGCACAGUUGUGGUACAGCAGCUAUGAACGAAUCAAAUGGCUUUUAAUCUACACCCAAAUGAAUUGGUCCAUGGAGGAUUUACCUAUCGAGUCUUAUUUAAUGAUGGAUCAAUUAAUUUAGAAGCAGAUUAAAAGGAAAUUGAUUUACUUUAGACUUUCUUAUCGCCUGCUUUGUUAUUUCAACUUUAAUCACACACAAUGCUCCAGCAGGCAAUUAACAGAGCAGAAGAAAAGACGUUCUAAAGUAAACAAACUGUGCUGUAAGGUCUGGUUGCAAAAGAAACAUUUUUCAUGGAGUCUAUAUGAGUCACAGUCAGGGAAGGUGGGGUUAGGGCAGCAUUAAAGGGACACUCCAGGCACCCGGACCACUUCUGCCCAUUGGAGUGGUCUGGGUGCCAACCCCCACUACCCUUAACCCUGCAAGUUUAAUUAUUGCAGUUUUCAUAAACUGCAAUAUUUACAUUGUAGGGUUAAGUCCUCCUGUAGUGGCUGUCUACUAGACAGUCACUAGAGGAGACUUCCGUGUUCCUAGAACAUGAAAAGUUGUUUAAAGCAACGCCGGACGUCCUCACGCUAUGUGAGGACCUCCAGCGUCACCGAAAUCCCCAUAGGAAAGCAUUGAAAGUAUUAUUCAAUGCUUUCCUAUGGGGAGGUCUAAUGCGUGUGCGCGGCCAUUGCCGGCAGGGGAGGAGCGUAGGCGGAGCCUGACCCAGCGCUGAGGGACAUCGGCGCUGGACUCCGGUAAGUCACUAAAGGGGUUUUAACCCCUUCAGCAACUUGGGAUGGGGGGUAGGAGGUAGAGGGGCACUAGAGAGUCCUGUAGUGCCAGGAAAACUUAUGUUUUCCUGGCACUGGAGAAUCCCUUUAACAGAAACAAAAGUGAUUCAACUCCUAAAUGACAGUGAUGUAACUCCAAAAUGACAGAGAAUUGUGUAGUGGGGUUGGAGGAGCAUGAGCUGUUAUUUUGGUGCUUAGAGUGUCCCUUUAAGCUCAGUGAUGACACGUCUGAGUUGAAUUCUGCACUCAUCAAAAAUGUCAGUAUCCAGCUUCCCUGUAUAGUUUUAUAAAAAGUCAAUUUAGCAUACAAUACAAGGGUAAAACAUAUUUAUUAUAAUAUCCCUCAGUAUACACAGCUAUUAAAACACUUAGUGGAUAGGCGUUGUCAAUUUUAUGACCACAUGAUAAAGGAUAAAAAAAAAAUAUGAAAACAGAAAAUGAUAAAGACUUCUAUGCAUUACAAGCAGAAGAAUAAAAAUGUAUUUCCUUAACAAAGACCUAUGCCAGAAGUGUAGAACACAAAGAGGUUAAAUCAUUAUAAAUUAUAUUGAGGUAAGCAAGUUUCUAAACUGGCAGCUCUGUCCCUGUAAUGGGUUGUAAAGUGGGUAAUAAUAUUCUUACUGACCUAUUCAAUCAAAAGCAAUCAGAUUAUUGACUUAAUGCUGUUUAUUGUAUAACCGCAAUCAUACAAAGAUGUCUCCUCUCCUGUGUCAUAUUUGCAAGUGGUCAUAAAGGUAAAGGAUGAAAGCGAAGGGAUUUAAGGCCUUCCUUUCAAAUUGUGCAAAAUGUCUCUUUCCUUGAUCAUCUCUUUAGCCAGCCAAAUUAAAUUCUGGCUCGCCAAUACUCAACACUUCACUACAUGUACGUUGAAAGUAAUUUUUGUGCAACAAUCACUGCUGCAAUAAAUUAAUACUUUAUAGGAACACUGCAAACAACCUGCUAUAGGUUUGGCAACUUACCUGGAGUCUACUUGGCAUCCAUCACCAUCACCGCCUCCUUUGGACCUGGAAGUUCAUGCAGGGAGCUCUCAUUAGCUCCAUUGAGCUAAGCCUUGAGUCACACUUGUGUGUCACAGUUUCUUUCUUAGCAUUUUGUUUAAUAUUUGUGUAUUUUGGUCACAUUUUCUCUUUCCUUUGUAAUAUUCUGGGAUCAUCCUUGAUAUUUAUAUUUCACUUUUUAAAUCUAUAUUUUUUUUCCCCUUUCUCUGUCUUUCUCCCCAACUAGUCUGUUGCCAAUAUGUACUACAAGACGAGUGGUGGUAAGGUUUAUAAGUGUUGACAUAGUAUAUCAGCUGACAUAGCACCCAGUGACAGCAAAGCAAACUGAUAUUCACUAAUUGGAAACAAAUCAAACCUUUAUAUCAAAGCUUGGGAAAUCUUGGUAAGAAUAUCAUGAUAAUAAUUUAAUAAUUAGUAUUUAUGAGGAGAUGCUAAAGGAUCACCCCUGUUUUCUAAUUUUGCUUUACUUGUAGAAUCAGUAACCAGAGGUAUUUAUGAGGAGAUGCUAAAGGAUCACCCCUGUUUUCUAAUUUUGCUUUACUUGUAGAAUCAGUAACCAGAGGUAGGGUGGGAAAAGGCAAUCCCUCUCAUGGUAGCUUUAAUUAAGGCUUCCGAUUCCACAUAUGGGCGUGAGUGUCAACCAAACACAUAGACGUGUAGUGGUUUCUCUAUUGCGGAAUAAUUUAGAAACUUUUUUUAAGGCAAUCCUGUUUAAUGACUGGUGAUCAUAAAUGGAAAGCAGUAGCCAGUGUCUACUAGCAAACACCAAUAAUCUCUUGUAGACUUGUGCACAGAAAUAAACAUUUUGGGUCAAACCAAUUUCAGGAUUGCAAAAUUUUUGCCAUAUGGCAAUUUGGCUCAUCCAAAUUUUGUUGAUGAGACUGUCAUGAGAAUGGCCCAAUGAGUGCACUGUAAAAUAUGCACAUUAAGUAUAUGUAUUGUGGCAGUGUGAGUGAACACUGCUAUAUUAGCCCCAAAAAGGCACUUUCAGUGUUCCCUGACUAGAUGAGGUUAAAAAAUCAGGCUACUCUAGAACACUAAUUAGGUAACUACAUAAACCCUAUGCAGGGGGAACCAGUCUAUCAUGUGAAGAGCUGGGACAGAGACUGUGAGCCAAAGAGACUUCUAAAUCUGUAUAGCAACCAAAGGUAUUUUGCAAGCCUUUUAUUUUAUUUGUUCAAUACUGGGGUCUGCUUAGCUGCCUCAUAGCAUAGAGAGGGUACUAUGUUUGUUAGUCUCCAGAGUGGAGUAGGAUUUUAUUUUUGUUCAAUGUUUUGUUGUGGCUAAAGUUAGGCCGGCUUGCUUAAUAAAACUUCGCGCAUAUUUGAUAAAAUACACUGUUUUUGUGGUUUCAGACCAAUACUCGGCCAGUCUGCCACAAGAUAUAUAAUUUUCUUUCCACCCAGAUUUCCAGAUUAGAUGAGAAAAAGUAACCAAUAGAGGAAAAGGGUGGAGCAGUAAAAAUCUCUAUUUACAUAUGAUAUAUUUAUUAAAUCUGAGAAAAUCAACAUUUAGUGGCUGUCCCUUAGCCAUCAAUAAUCUAUUGCAUGAUUUGUUUGUGUUGUGAUUCAGCUACACUUUGGCUCAGAGUUUGGGAAUUCUUAUAAUCACCUGAUUGGCCUUAAUUCAGGCUAAUUGACAUUAAUAACAAAAUGAAAAUCCAAAUCUAGUCUUUAGAUACCUAUAUAAACAUUUGACUUGUUAAGCAUCUUUGGGUAAAAAAUGUGCUCCUCACCCAUGUUAUUAAAUAUGCUUCCAGAUGUAUGAUAACUACCUGUGGCAGACCACCAAGGUAUCUAUGCCACAGAUUCCCUUUUCCCCAACAAAAGCAGCACCAAUAAUCCUGUGAAAUAUUGCCAGUAUCACAUAUCCCCCCACACAUGAGCCAAGGCUUAAUGCUGGGAGUAGAACUGUUUAAUGGGUGUCCAGUCAUUAAAUUUAUGCAGUCAGGAACUGUACAAACUCAAUUAUCUCCAAAUACAGAAAAGUAUAAUAAUUUUGAAACACCCCCAAAAUAUAUGGAAACCCUGCAAAAAUCACAUCCUCGGAUAGUCCUGAUCUGAGUGACCAUCAUAUCAAACAAUCACUCAGAUCGGUUUGGUAUUUUUUUAAUCGCCAUCGCAGGGAAGUUUGACCGGCCUGCCACGAGGUCGAAACCCAAAAUAGUUCCGGGGAAAUUGUGGCAGUGGCCGUUCUCCGUUCGCGGGAUUUUGUGUGAAAAUCACAUGAGGUAUACGCAAUAUUUUACUUGUAGAAUGCUCCCCUUGUUCAGUAGUUCAUAACUCCCGAACGCCAUUCGUAUAGAUGGUCGGGAACUUGAUAGGGCAGAGACCCGCUAACCCGUUCAAGUUCCCGACCAUCUACAAAAACGGGAUUCACGGGAAUGCCUGUCCGAAAUAAGUUCCAGGCACUCGACGACCUGCGUUCGGGAGACAAGAUGGCCGCCAUACGUUGUCUCGACCGCGUGCAAUUGGUUGCAUGAAAUGGCAGCCACCCAGUGGAGCAUUCUAUUAAAUAUUUCCUCUGCAGUUUUCGUACUGAAUACUUAAUGUUCCAAGUUCUAAUGAGGUUCUGGCGUUGUCCUCGUUCAGGAACCAAACCAGGUGGAAACUAACCAAAUAAACUAAUAUAAAUCCAAAGAAAUAAGCCGAAACAAGUGAUGGGGCUAUUCUUUCACACUACCAAUGAUGUAACAGUGGAUAGUCAAUACAUUGUUAAACACAGAUCUGUCAAGUCAUAAGAAUUGCUUUUUCCAUAGAAAUCUCAAAUGUGCAGUGAUGUUACUACUGCAAGGGAUUCUGAGUGGCCAUAUGAAAAUUAAUUCAACAAAGAAUCACCUUUUUGCCUCAUUACCCCAUUAUAAACAUGGAUUCCUUGGAGUUUGUUUGCUAUAUAAAACAGCUUUGAAACACAACUCUGGAAGAAAUGCAAAGCCAGUGAUCCAUUCAUGAUGUACAGUGUAGUCGAAAAUAAAAAUCCUUCCAUACAGGGUUAGUCAGCAAUGGGAACUCUGUCAGGAAUCAAAAUUAAUUCAAAGUGGUUUUCAACUUUUUUUUUUUUUACCUGGAAAGAUUCAACAGGUAAGCUUUGCUUCAGGUUUAGUUAUUUUGGUCUUACUUUAGGGAAUAACCAAUCAUGGUAUCUGAUCAAAGCAUUAUCUUUUAUUUCCACAUUGUUAAGCAAGUCUUGGAUAUUAAAGUGUAUAUCACAAACAAUCUUAUAUUUCAGGUUCAUUUUCAAAAUCCAUGGCACUGUCUGUUAACUCCACGUUAAUGAAAACGAUCAGUCAUUUCUGGCUCUUACGCAAGUUACAUAGUUAGAUAGGCUGAAAAAUUACAUGUGCCCAUCAAGUUCAGCCUUCCUUACAUAUGUUUACUUGCUGUUGAUCCAAAGGAAGGCAAAAACCUACUUCUAAUUUUGCAACAAACAAGGAACAAAAUUCCGUCUUGACCCCAGAAUGACAGUCAGAUUUAUCCUUGGAUAAAGAAGCUAUUACCCUACAGAUGAAAAAUUAUAUCAUUGAAUAUUAUGUUUUUGCAACUAUGCACCUAGUUUCUGUUUAAAUAUCUGUACAGUCUCUGACAAAACAACUUUUCAGUGGCAGAUAAUUCCACAUCCUUAUUUCUUACCGUAAAAAACCUUUGCCUCAGACUAAAUCUUCUUUCUUCCAGUCUAAACACAUGACCUUGUGUCCAGUGGCGUACAUACCAGGGUCGCAGGGGUCGUGGCUGCGACCGGGCCCAGCCCACCAGGGGGCCAGCCGCCCCUGCGACCCGGUGUGUACCCACUGGGCCAGCCUCUUCCCCUGGGGGGCCCAGGAGCCGACCACCCCGGGGCCCCCCGAGGCUGGCCCUGCUGACACCCGGAAGGCGGGUGGCCGGUCGGGCAGGCAGGCGCGCGAGGGAGCACUCAGUGCUUCCUUUUCAGCUCCCUCGCGCACCGCACUGAUACCGGACCACUGGACCCCAGGGAAUCCCCCCAGCACUCCAAAAGGUAAGGAGUCUGGGGGGGAUUAAUUUAAAAAAAAAAAAAACGUGUUAGAGUGUGGGUGAGUGUUAGAGUGUUAGUGUUAAAGUGUGUGUGAGUCUUAGAGUGAGUGUUAGAGUGUGAGUGAGUGUUAGAGUGAGUGCUAGUGAGUGUUAGUGUGUGUGUGAGUGUUAGUGUGUGAGUGUUAGUGUGUGUGUGUGAGUCUUAGAGUGAGUCUUAGAAUGAGUGUUAGUGUUAGUGUGAGUGUUAGAGUGUGAGUGUUAGAGUGAGUGUUAGAGUGAGUGCUAGUGAGUGUUAGUGUGUGUGUGAGUGUUAGUGUGUGAGUGUUAGUGUGUGAGUGAGUGUUAGAGUGUUAGUGUUAGAGUGUGUGUGAGUCUUAGAGUGAGUGUUAGUGUGAGUGUGAGUGUUAGAGUGUGAGUGUUAUAGUGUUAGUGUUAGAGUGAGUGUGAGUGUUAGAGUGAGUGCUAGUGAGUGUUAGUGUGUGUGUGAGUGUUAGUGUGUGAGUGUUAGUGUGUGUGUGAGUCUUAGAGUGAGUCUUAGAGUGAGUCUUAGAGUGAGUGUUAGAGUGUUAGUGUUAGAGUGUGUGUGAGUCUUAGAGUGAGUCUUAGAGUGAGUGUGAGUGUUAGAGUGAGUCUGAGUGUUAGAGUGAGUCUGAGUGUGAGUGUUAGAGUGUGAGUGUUAGAGUGUGAGUGUUAGAGUGUGAGUGUUAGAGUGUGUGUGAGUCUUAGAGUGAGUGUUAGUGUGAGUGUUAGAGUGUGUGUUAGAGUGUGUGUUAGAGGGUGUUAGUGUGUGUGUCUGCUAGUGAGUGUUAGUGUGAGUGUUAGUGUGUGUGAGUGUUAGCGUGUGUGAAAGUGUGAGUGUUAGAGUGUGAGUGUUAGAGUGUGAGUGUUAGAGUGUGAGUGUGUUAGAGUGUGAGUGUUAGAGUGUGUGUGAGUGUUAGAGUGAGUGUUAGAGUGAGUGUUAGAGUGAGUGUUAGAGUGUGUGUGAGUGUUAGAGUGAGUGUGUGUGUCUGCUAGUGAGUGUCAGUGAGUGUGUUACUGUGUGUGUCUUACUGAGUGUGUGUGUGUGUGUGUCUGUUAGUGAGUUUGUGUUUGUCAAUGAGAGUGUAUGUUUUGUAAGUGAGUGUGUAUGUAUGUCUCUCGCUGAGUGUGUCUCUGUCAGUAAAUGUGUGUGUCUGUUAGCUAGUGUGUAUGCGUCUGUAAGUGAGAGUGUGUGUGUCUUCAGCACUUACCUUUCUCCAGCGCCGGACUCCCUUGGCGCUGGGGAUCCCUCAGACAUAACAAGUUCAAAAGCCUAAUUCCCUUUGCUUAACCACAUGUUGGAUGGUUUUAUUGCAAUUGGUAUUUUCUUCCUGAACUAUGAUCCAACUAAGGAGCCAUGUAAGCCAACAGGUCAUCUUGAAAAAUGAUGUAAAUAUACACUGCUUUUAAUCAGUGUCGGAUUUACCAGGGUAGCAAUGGCACUACGGAAACCUUGCCAUGAAGCUCUGCCCGUACAGGGAAGGCUGGGGGUCCUCAUUGCAAAACUCAUUUAGUAUACUGCCAAAUUUGGGGGAGAAGGAGGGCGGUAAUCAAGAGCCCUGAAAUUCUGUGCUGCUUGCUCCUUAACCAGUCUUCAUACUGAAUCUCAGCCCUGGAGCCAAAGCAGCACCAUAGCCCAGUUCACAUAGAAAUUCAUAGUGUGCUGCUUCCUCUACCAGCAGAGACUCAGGAGACUGGGCAGUGGAGCGGCAUGGCAGCAACCCAGGGAACUAGAAAUGCAGGCUACAAUGACUUAUCUGACCUUUUCCUCACAUAUAAUAUAGGGAGAAACUUGCAACUUCUAUCUCUGCAAGUUUAUGAGCCGUCAGGUAUGGAAACUUCAUAGUGUGCCUGUGUGUGUAUGAGUUUGUAUGUCUGUUUGCCUGUCUGUUGGUAAAUAUGUGACUGUGUAGCCUGUGUCUGUGCAUGAAUGUUCCUGUGCAACUGUCAGUGUAUUUAUGGGCCUGUUUUUGACUGUAUGUGCCUGUCUGGGUGCCUUUGUUGGCCUUUGCCUUUAUGUGCCUGCCUCGAUAUGCCUGUGUCUGUCUGUGUGUGUGUGUGCACACUCCUGUGUCUGUCUAAUAAAUAUAAUUCCAUAUUAAUAUUUUAAUAUGACACAUACAACUCCCACACAUAAUCAUACUCAACCAGCCUUUGCACACAGUCACAUUGAGCCUGUCCCACACAUACACGCAAUCGCAGUCAGCCAACUUCACUCAUUAUUAUUAUUAUUAUUAUUUAUUACGCCUACAAAUUCCAUAGCGCUUUACAACAGGUGGACUAACAAACAUAUAAUUGUAACCAUACAUGUUGAAUGCACAGGAACAGAGGGGUUGAGGGCCCUGCUCAAUCAACUUACAUGCUAGAGAGUGGGGUAAAGUGACCCAAAAGGUAAGGGAAAUAUUAGGGGAGUAGAGUAGUAUUCACUGAAGACUUAGUGUGUUUAUUUUAUUUUUUUAUUGGCAGUUGCAGGAGAGGAAUCAGUUGGGAGCUAUUAAGAGUUUAAUAGAUAUGCCUUUGUGAAGAAGUGAGUUUGGGGCACUGGGUGAGCAUCUAACAGAGAAGGGAAGGGAGUUCCACAGGAACAGUGCAGCCCUAGAGAAGUCUUGAAGGUAAGCAUCAGAGGUGGGAGUAUAAACAGUGGAUAGACAUAGGUCUUCGGCAGAGCGUAAGGGCCUAGAUGGGAUAUACUUGUGUAUUAGGGAGGAUAGCUAGGUGGGCGCAGCAUUAUGUAGAGAUGUGAAAGCAAGAACCAUAAUUUUAAAUUGAACCCUAUAUUUUACGGGAAGCCAAUGCAGGGACUGACAGAUGGGUGUGGCGUGGGGGGUGCUGGCAGACAGGAAGAUGAGUCUUGCCACCACAUUAAUUUUAGACUGUAACAGAGCAAGUGGAAAGCCCCUAAGACCACUAGGCUAAAUAAAAUCACACUCAGCCAAGUCCCACACAAUCAUUCUCAGUCAACCCCCACACAACCACAUACAGCCACCACACACUUCCCAUUCAGGUCUAUUGCUUAGGGGGGCAUGAGGAGGUCAAAUUACAGGCCCUUUCUAGCCCCUGCUCUUAACCCUUUCACUGUGGAGUUUUUAUAAUUUUAAACAUAUAAACACUAAAGCAGUGAUGUUGGAUCUCUUUGAGCCCCAUAAAUUUUUUUGCAGGGAGGAAACCCUGGUCUCUCAGUAGUGGCUAAUCCCUCCCUUGUGGUCAGUGGGGUUAAUAAUAAAUUCCUCGUGGUCCACUGGAGGUAAUAAUAAUAAAUCCAUGGUGGUCCAGUGGUUUUAAUAAUGAUUUCCUGGUGGUCCUCUGAUGGAGUGCCAAGGUACAAAUCAUGUUAAUAACGCAUUCUGGUCUGGCACUCAGUGGGAAAGUCAGAGCAAGAGCUGGGAAUCUCAGUGAUCACGCUCACUCCCUCACUGAGCGAAAAAACUGCAAGUGAGCAAUUAAGAUGGUCUUCACGAGGCAGAAGUGCAGUCCAUGCACUCCACCCUCUGUGAACCAUGGAGUUAUUUUUUUAAAUUGAAUAUAUUGCCAAUUCUGAUGGCAGCUCAGUAUACCUGUACACUAGAAACUCCUGAUAUUGUGCCCUAAAGCACCUAACAUUAGCGUCAUCCACCAGAGUACCUACGGUGUAGUGAACAUCUGGCUCGCAAGCCAGCAGAGAGCCCUCUGUGUGCCCAUUAUGUCACACUUGCCAUAGUUGCACCAUCACUCCACUAGAGAAUAGAAUUAGCACUGAACCUGAAUUGAUUGUUGUCCAGUGUUACAAAAAUGUAAAUGUAACAAUUUUCUUUUAUUUUCAAUUUUUUUCGUCUCACAAAGCUUUAAACAGGGUCUGGGCUUUAAAUCUACAUGCACAUACAUUAUUUAUGGGUAUUUGUAAGGAAGCCUAGCAAAAUUAAAAGUAAUCCUCUUUGAUGGUUAUGGAAUGUACAUGCUAGAUGAGCUAGCUGUCAACAUUGUAGAUCAUUUCUCAGUGUUGGUCAACACUGUGAAUCAAAUAAUGGAUGUUUUUAUGUUUGAUUUUAGAGAACUAAGAGAUUUUAGGGGGUUCGCAGAUCAAAAUUGCUUUUAAAUACAAAGUAUCCAUCAGCACCACAGUUUAUUUACAACUUCACUUGUAUACUGUACUAUAAGCCCUAGUGAUCAAGAGUGUUAGAGCAGUGAACCUUUUCAUUAGGCAGUCCGGAAAGAGUCUGAAUAACUGCAGGAUAAUGUAGUUUUGCAAUGCAGUGUGAUACUUUUAGCAACAUAAAUUAAUUCUGUUUGCUUUUAAGAACAUUGACUUUUGGGAAGGAUGAGCUCAUGAACUGGACCUAUCAAGUCCCUCCAUCAGUUGUUUUUAUUUAUUUAUUUAUUUAUUUAUUUAUUUUUUAAAUUGUCAUUGCAUUUCCAAUUCGCAAAAAGUAAUGAACUUUCUACACUUUUUAUAUUUGCAGUCAGAAAAUGAACAGAACACAAGUCUGCAUAUAGUGCAGGUGUUUUCAUAUUCAAACCUUCAUGCUGAUCCAAAUAUUUUAUAGAAUCUGCAUACCAAACUGUAAUUUCUAUUAAAAAAUAAAUAAAUAAAAAUAACAAGCCUUCAGAUGAGUUACAAAUUUUAAACAUUUUUGCACACAAACAAAUUGUCUUUACCUUUUACACCUAUAUUUAUUAUCAAAAAUGUUUUCUAUAAUUUCAAAGCCCCUCACAAAAAAAUGCUUCAAAAAUGAAAAAUAAAAAAAUCUUAUCGGGAGUUUCAAGGAUACCAUAUUACCAUUGCAUUUGGUACACUUAAAAAAAAAAAAGUGUCCCCUGAAUAUUUCUAGUAGACAUUGCACAGAUCUUUGCAUGUACAUAACAAUUCUCUCCAGCGCAUGCAGGUUGAGAAAGAGAAAAGGCCAUAUUUUAAUAAUUUGUCCAAUGGAAACUUCAACAAUUUGUUUCUGUGGAUGAGUUUAACCAGUAACCGGUUGCAAUUUGUUAUUAACUUAAUUAGAAAAAUCAUUUCGUAUUUUUCCAAUAUUAAUAAUAUAAAUGUUUAACUGUUAUACAUAAAAUAAAAAACAGUUUGCGUCUUCAACACCUUGUCACGCGGCCCGCCUGGUCCGCCCCUGCCAGAGAGCGGUAUGGGCCUCGGCGGACGCUCAACGUUGCGGCGGGAUAUCCACAUGUCAAGGGGAAUGCCGCCAGAUCCUUACCUGUCUUGCAGACACCCGCCGGAUCCACUCAUGCCCAGGGCGCAUCUCUGUCUGGCGGCAUUCCCACGUGGUAAUGGGCAUGCCGCCCAUCACUCACCUCUGCUCCCGACGGGAACUUCUCCCUCUCACACAGCAGCCGGUUUGGCAAAUAUUAGAGACGCCGGCCACUGCAAAUUAGAUGCUUUCAAGGGUUUGUAAUUAAUCCUUAGAAUGUCAUUCCAUUUUGAACGUGUGGGUGUGUCUCACACACAAGUCCACUAUCACAUGCUUCCCUGUAGCCAAUCAGGGAGAAUCUUAUGCUAUAUAUAUAUACCUUUUUUUUUUUUUUGGUCCGUUUCUCUGUGCCCUGUCGUGGUUUCCAUUGUGGUUAUCCGAGAGCGCGUUUCUGGUAUUGAUUUUAGUGUAAUUUGACCUUGGCUUUCCUUCUGACUAUCCGAUCUCUGUAUUCCUUGACCUUUGGCUUGGCUCCUGGCUAUUCUGAUUUCUAUAUUCCUUUAACCUUGGCUUGUUCAUUGUUUCCGUUAAUUCUGCAUUCUUGUCCUUAUCUUGUCUGUGGUUUAUUCUUUUAUACCUUAAAUCUGGCCAUUCUAAGGCCCGGUAAUACGUCUUACGGUUUUCUUUAUUUUUAAGUUCUGCGUGUUGGGCAUCAGCUAUUCCUGACACACCUACAAUGAGUGAGGAGCAUUUUGAGAACACUGUCAGAGUUAUUAACUAAUGUGGGAAUUCAAAGUGCAUUAUAAAUUUAAGGCCAGGAUUGCUGGGCUAGAGAAAUUCUCUAAGUCUGCUUUGCAUUCACUUUGGCUUCUCUCGCCAUAAAUUUGAAAUUCACGAAUUCUCAUUUUAGUAAAUAACCUUGUGAGCUUUAACAGUUACCUCAGUUCACAAAUCUUCCUGAUUAACAGGUUUAUUUACUGAAGUGAGAAUUCCUAAUUGAUCAGUUUUGGUGUAUAGAUCAGGCCCCUGCAGUCUCACUGCUAAAUUCUCUGCUAUUUAGGAGUUAAUUCACUUUGUUUCUGCAGCCCUAGUCACACCUUCCUGCAUGUGACUUACACAGCCUUCCUAAACACUUCCUGUAAAGUGAUAUCUAAUACAUAACUUUUACCACAUGACAGGAGACUUCAUAUUUUGCAUAUCUCUCUUUACUAACUCCAUACAGCAGUAAAGAAACACAUAGAAAAAAGAACCACUCACAGGAGAGCAGGAUGUACAUAAGGCAAUGUGACCUCAUCAUUUCCUCUUUCUUUACUGCUCCAUCAAGCAGACAGGUCAGAGUAUUACUCUCCUCCAUUACUUUGUUUACAGUGCCUCUUUGAGGUUGUUUCUGUAUUAUAUUUUUUUUAUAUACUUUGAUGUAUGUUCUUGCUGUGCUUCUGUACUAUGUGCAGCUAUUUUUUCUAUGUUAUUUCAUAGAUAUUAUGUAGAUUUAACGUUAUCCUUAUUUCAUAACCUUUAGUUGUGAUUAAUAUCACUUGUAAUUUAUCAGUUUUAUAGGCAUUUCAUCCUUUGUUUUGAUAAGUAUUAUAUGUACUUUAUACGUAUUUAAUAGAUGUCAUAUGUAUUUUAUGACAUGGAUUUAAUAGGUGUAAAUUUUAUUAUUGACUUAACAGGUUUUAUGUAUAGUUAUGGUAGAUGUACUUUAUACCAUAUGUAUCAUGACUUUUCUGGCCUUCUAUACCUGGGGCAUCUGGGGACACUCUCUCCCCAUUUUCCUCCUUCUCCCCAGGGUCUCAUGGGGAUUCUGGGUCUGGCUGGGGCUUAACCCCUUCCCUCCCGCGGUUCCCAUCAGCUUCCGCCGGUUCCAGGGCAUUAAUCCCUUCUUCCGAGCUAUGCAUUCGACCCCUUCCUCCUACAACCCUCAGGGGGACGGCCGGACUCACUGCACUCGCUCUCUCAGGCUGCCCCAUACCGUACACCUGGUAAUGUGCUGGAUGCUUUCCAACAUCCACUACCUUGGUGCAGGGCAGUCUGUGGGGCGAUUAUGAGGUAGCCCGAGAAUGACGCGGUGACAAUCUUUGAUCCCGAGACUCCAGGGACCAUGUUCCCCCUCCUUUACUCUUCAUGGCCAUCUUUAAUCUUGCGUCUUGCAUCUCGAGAGUAACAUAUACCUGGGCUGUCAGCUAGUCUAGCUGCUCUCGUGGCUCACGAUGCUCUGACACGGACGUUGGACCCAGGCAAUCCAGGCAAAGGGAAGUAUUCUAACUGGCCUAUUAUUUACAGAUUUGAGUUGUACUCAUGUAUAGUGGUUCGAGGUGCUGGAACCUUAAGGAAUAUCACCCCCAAAAAUCCUGUAAAGGGAUAGCACCCUCAAAUUCCUUAAAGAUAACAUUCUUGGACCAUUAGAGGGAACUCCUUAAAGGGAUACACCCUGAAACUACUUAAAAGGGAUACCAAAUCCUUAAAGGGAUAUCACCCUUGAAUUCCUUAAAGGGAUAGCACCCUUGAACACAAACUAUCAAGAUGGUUUGAAGGGAUAUCACCUGGAUCAGGGUUCAGGAAGACUCUACGUCUGGUAAUGGAUGCUCAAAGAGAUGACUCCUAUCACUUAGAAUACCUGUCAUAACACGACAGACAAUGGAGCUUAGAGCUAGUGCUAUAUCCUAUUAUCCCUCAGAGGUCAGUCACUUUUGUCUCAUUACUGCCAUAUUAGGCACUAAAGGGCUUAUUACCCUGUGCCUGCCUGGGGUGCUGCCCCUAUUACCGUGCUGAUUUUUGGAGGUCACCCUGUGGCCUGUGGGUAAGGCCCAGUUAUACAAAUCC
This 123492-nucleotide long non-coding RNA is filed under the name Pelobates cultripes (western spadefoot toad). Lineage: Eukaryota; Metazoa; Chordata; Amphibia; Anura; Pelobatidae. The record is from RNAcentral.